UCUUCAUCUACUUCUCGUCCACUCUUUUACUUUCGUAACCGCAACCAUUUCUCCACCAGAGCUUCCCUCGUUUCUUCUCCAGGUAUCUAUCUAUCUAUUUCUCUCCAUAAAUAUUAAUAUUAAUCGAUUAAUUAAUUAAUUAAUUAAUUAAUGAUGAUUUUGAGGGGUUUGGUAGAUAUUGGUGGUGGCGAAGUAGUGAAGGAUGAAGUUGCGCGUGAACUAGGGUUUGAGAAAGUAUCAGAAGAAUUCAUUCCAGAAUGCAAAUCAAUAGCAGUACUUUUCAAACACGUCAAGACGGGUGCACAAGUCAUCUCUGUUUCAAACAAAGAUGAGAACAAAGUCUUUGGCAUUGUUUUCCGAACUCCUCCCAAUGAUUCCACUGGUAUUCCUCACAUUUUAGAGCACAGUGUUUUGUGUGGUUCAAGAAAAUAUCCUCUCAAAGAACCAUUUGUUGAGUUACUCAAAGGAAGCUUACACACUUUCCUCAAUGCAUUCACUUAUCCUGAUAGGACUUGUUACCCUGUCGCCUCCACCAAUACCAAGGAUUUUUAUAAUUUGGUUGACGUCUAUCUCGAUGCCGUUUUCUUUCCUAAAUGUGUCGAGGAUGUUCAGACUUUUCAACAGGAGGGUUGGCAUUAUGAGCUCAAUCAUCCUUCUGAAGAUAUCACUUAUAAAGGUUGCCUUUUACUAUUCUAUAUAGAUAUAUCUAUCUAUCUAUCCAUGCAUUUCUCACUUACUUAUAAUCAAUGCUUUUCACUCGUUCCAGGUGUCGUGUUUAAUGAGAUGAAAGGUGUCUACUCUCAACCAGAUAAUAUACUUGGACGAGCUUCUCAACAGGUGAGGCCAGUUUAUAUUUCAACUACCAACUGCGACAAUUUUUUUGAACUUAAGCUCCGUGCAUUCAUUAUUGGUGUAUGUAACUUUGUUGCAGGCUCUUUUCCCAGAUAACACAUAUGGCGUUGACAGCGGAGGUGAUCCUCAAGUUAUUCCUAAGUUGACAUUUGAGGAAUUUAAGGUUUGUUUUUAAGAAUAAUGUUGAAAAAUUAUUAUUGCGGUAUAUAGAGAUAACUAAUUUGAACAAGGAGAGAAUUCUGUUUAGUUGUUAGGUCUUAGGUGUUUGUGUCUACUAAGUCUAACAUUGAUUUUUGUAGUAUGCUGGGUAAAAUCGUACAUCUUUGUGGGAACUCAUACCUUGUAACUUUUUUACUUUCGUAUAGUCUACUGCAGAUCUCAAUAAUACCAGCUAUUUCAAAGAUUUAAUUGUUUUAUUUAAGAAAUUUUCAUUUUAAACUCAAUUGACAGGAAUUUCACCGCAAGUAUUACCAUCCCAGCAAUUCACGGAUUUGGUUUUAUGGAGACGAUGAUCCAACUGAGCGCCUCCGCAUCCUGAGUGGUAAUAAGCUUUGGUUUAACUUGCUCUUUAAAUGUUGAGACUGAGAAUUGGGGAGAGCCAUUUGUGAUGCCCUUGUAGAUCCAAGCCCAGACUCCUGAUUAAAAUGAAUGACUAAAGCAUUUGGCCUGACUUGCUGUGCAACCCAUUCUAUGACAAUGAUCGGGAUAUUUUUGGUAGCCAAGUUAGGUCUUUAUAGUUAUAUGCCAAGCCUAGUAGCUCCCUCACGCAUUCUUUCUCAAAUAUAAAUAACAAAGAUAGCUUUAUGGAUAAAUUUCAUGAGUUAUUUUGUAUCUUUUUUUGGGGGAAUAUCUUAAACUACUUCUAGUUGUACUUCCCAUUCUCUAUGAUAUUUCUUUAUAAAGAAUUGAACACAUAGUUUUGACAGUCUAAAAAUGAUUGAUGUUUAUGUUCUUUGAAAUAUUGAGGCAGGUUAAUCAAUUCUACAAGUUAAAAUGUUGUUAUCCUCCCUUUUGAAAUUACAUAAAUACACUUAUUUUAAAGACAGAGAGAGAGUUGGGGUAGUACCUAUAGUAGAAAAGAUGGUGGAAAACAUAAUUAGGUGGUUUGGACAUGUAGAGAGAAGACCUAUAGAUUCUGUAGUAAGGAGAGUCGAUCAAAUGGAGGAUGGUCGGAUCACAAGAGGCUGAGGAAGACCUAGAAAAACUAUCAGAUAAACUAUUAGGAAUGAUUUGGAAAUUAAUGAGCUGGACCGAAAUAUGGUGCAUGAUAGACCAUUAUGGCGUGAUUUCAUCCAUGUAGCUGGCCCCACUUAGUGGGAAAAGGCUUGGUGGUUGUUGUUGUUAUUAUUGUUGUACACUUAUUUUAGAAAUUAGAAUGAGCGCGAAACUGUAUUGAAUUCCCCGUUGAAGAUCCUGAAUUGUCCAACAGCUUCCCCUUAUGUUCCUAGAUUUAUCUUCCUUUGGACUUAUAUUGUUCACUGUUAUUUUUUAUGCUAAUUGAGAAUAUUAUUGGCAUCAUGGCAUGGUUGCUCUGUGUUCCUAAUAAUAUUCAAUAUCUCAGAUCAGUUAUGAAAGAUGAUUUUAGAGUUCUUACCAGCAGUAAUUAACCGCUAACUUAAGUCCUUAUCUGUUUUUCAGAGUAUUUAGACAUGUUUGAUGCAAGCUCAUCCCCAAACGAAUCAAAGAUUGAACCACAGAAACUGUUUUCAAAGCCAGUCAGGAUUGUUGAGACUUACCCUGCAGGGGAAGGGGGUGAUUUGAAGAAGCAUAUGGUUUCCCUUAACUGGUUGCUCUCUGAUAAGCCCUUAGACUUGGAAACUGAGCUAGCACUUAGUUUUCUGAAUCAUCUUCUACUGGGCACUCCUGCUUCGCCACUCAGAAAAAUUUUGCUAGAAAGCAGGCUGGGUGAUGCCAUUGUUGGUGGUGGGUUAGAAGAUGAACUACUCCAGCCUCAAUUUAGCAUUGGAAUGAAGGGUGUUUCUGAAGAUGAUAUUCCUAAGGUAGAAGAACUGAUUGUGAAUACACUUAAAAAGUUGGUUGAAGAAGGUUUUGAUACAGAUGCCAUUGAGGCCUCUAUGAAUACAAUUGAAUUUUCUCUGAGAGAGAACAAUACCGGGUCAUUUCCUCGUGGCUUGUCCCUCAUGCUCCAGUCCAUUGUAAGAAAAGCUAAAGUAUUUUGGUGUGUGGAAUGCCCAUCUUUCGUUGAUUGAUAUUUACAAUUGUUUUGGUUUGCAUAUUUAGGGUAAAUGGAUUUAUGAUAUGAAUCCCCUUGAGCCACUGAAGUAUGAGAAACCUCUCCAAGACCUGAAAUCUAAAAUAGCAAAGGAAGGCUCUAAAUCUGUUUUUUCUCCAUUAAUAGAGAAAUUCAUCUUGAACAACCUUCAUAAAGUAACUGUGCAAAUGCAGGUACUUAUUUAUUUAUUUAUUUAUUUUAGCCUUGAAAAUCUGUGUUUGUGUGAGAAGCCAUUUUGCACUCAAUAUGUUAAUAAUUGAUGAAAACUUUUCGUGGUCAGCCGGACCCGGAGAAAGCUGCUCGUGAAGAAGCAACGGAGAAACAGAUAUUGCAGGAAGUUAAAGCAAGUAUGACAACAGAAGAUCUGGCAGAAUUGACUCGUGCUACUCAAGAGCUUAGGCUUAAGCAGGAGACCCCUGAUCCACCAGAAGCUUUGAAAACUGUUCCUAGUCUUUCUCUUCAAGAUAUCCCUAAAGAACCUAUUCAUGUUCCCACUGAGGUUAUCAUUGCUUUCCCUUGGGUGAGAGUUUUGUGUGUUUCCCUAGUAGCCUGUAGAGAUUCAUGAAUACUUGAAUGUUAAAUGUAGGUUGGGGAUAUCAACGGAGUAAAAGUUUUGCAGCAUGAUCUCUUCACCAAUGAUGUCCUUUACACCGACAUAGUGUUCGACAUGAGUUCAUUGAAGCAAGAGCUUCUUCCUUUGGUGCCACUGUUUUGGUAAUCAUGCAACCUCUAAAAAAUGUUUUACAUUUUGUUUCCAUGGUAUUUAAUAUUACAUGCAUAGUGAAUUUCUAGGAUAGCAAUUUAAUCGGUACUUAUUUUGUUAUUAACCUUCCUUGGUCUGGAAUUUCAUAUUUAAUUUCAAUUCAGCAUAUGCUUUGUCUCCUUAUAGGUUUCUUAUAGGUUUCAUGCUAUUGUGAUUCUUCAAAACAUUAGAUUUUGUCAUAUACUCCCAAAUUCUCUACUGGAUUGUGUUAGUUCUCAACAUGUUUCUUUUUAGUAGUAUUGAUAGCUAUAAUUCUAUUUCUUUUUCCUUUUGGUGUUUUUAUUCUUCUAUUCCUCAUCACGUGUAUAUUGGAAGCACCUUCUUGAUAAAUAAAUGACAAAUCUUCAUGUUCUCACAUCAAGCUCUGUACCUCUCAUGCUAUUUUUUUAUAGCCAAUCAUUGCUGGAGAUGGGCACAAAGGACUUGACUUUUGUCCAACUAAACCAAUUAAUUGGGAGAAAAACUGGAGGAAUUUCAGUUUAUCCAUUCACAUCAUCAGUGCAGGGCAAGGAAGAUCCAUGUAGUCACAUGAUUGUCCGAGGCAAAGCAAUGGCUGGACGUGCUGAAGACCUUUAUGACUUGGUACAUUUUUUCGUCCAAACUUCAAACAUUUCGUCUUUCAACACUCAAUGCUUUGCAUUAUUAGCCUAAAAUAUUCCUUCAUGUAAAUCCUAAUUUCAUACUGCUACCGAACUCCAGGUUAAUUCUGUUCUUCAAGACGUUCAAUUUACAGACCAACAGCGUUUCAAACAAUUUGUUUCCCAGAGUAGAGCAAGAAUGGAGGUAAUUGCCAAAAUGUUUUAUGUAAAGGACCAAAAUUACAAAUGGUCAUUGUGCAGAACCUCCAUGCUGAUUAUCGAUUUUGUGCUUUUUUAUCUUUUGUUAGAACCGGCUAAGAGGCAGUGGUCAUGGAAUUGCAGCUGCAAGGAUGGAUGCAAAACUUAAUGCAGCAGGCUGGAUGUCAGAAAAGAUGGGUGGUCUCAGGUUGGAAUAUUAAGAUACCUUUAUGAUUUAAUAUGAGGACACAUUUGUGUACAUUUUUUUGACAUCCAUUCAUAGUUGUUAGGCGCGCGAGUUAGAUCAUGAGAUUGUACGAUCUCUCACGCCAUCAUCCCUCAACAGUGUUGGAUCGGUGUGAAGAUCACUCUAUACGGCGGCGUGGCUGGCAUGCGGUAAAAAAGCGUGAGAUGCGCUUUUCUCCUGCGCCGGUGAUGAAUGUUUACGACACCGUCUGCCAAUUUUAUUGUUCACAAAGUUGUGGUUUCCGGGUCAAGUUCGCGACAUGUUUCGUUGAAGACGACAACUUAGCAUUAAAAAAUACCCUAAAAAUAUGUUAAUGAUACAUUGCAUUUCACUUUGGCAUUUUACUUUUUUUCGCUUUGCUUUCAUUAUUCUUUCUUUUUACUCUAUUUAAUACACGUAUAACUUGAUUUCCAUUUUUUUAUUCUGUAAUAUGCUUUUUUCUUAAUUUUAAUAUAAAUUUUUUUACCAAAAAUGUUAGUGGUUAAUUGCUAAUGUGAUUUAAAAUAUUCAGGAAAUUAAUAAUAAUAAUUACAAUAAUAACUAUUAAUAAAAUGAAAUAUGUUAUGCUAUAUUAUUUUUUAAUUAAUAAGUAUUAAAUUAUUUAUUUAAAUUUUUUAAACAUGAUAAUUUUUUUUAUAAUUAAUAAGUAUAUUGCGUUUAUUUUUUAAAGUUAUAUAUAUAUAUAUAUAUAUAUAUAUAUAUAUAUAUAUAUAUAUAUAUAUAUAUAUAUAACUUUUUAUGCAUGUGUGGUUGAUUUUAUAUGCACAUAUAUGUGAAUUUAAUAGGAUCUUACUACCUGUGUUAUGAUCCCACGAUUUACGAUUUUCCUAUAAACAAUCUUAGGCCAAAAGAGACUUAUUUAGGUUACAACAAUAUUUUUUUUUUCCUUCUUCUGGGCUUGUCCUCAACGGGGUCGGGCCUCUGGCCUCUUAUACCAAUUGGAUUAUGGCACAUGGCCAAUUGGACUAUUGGAACAUUGUUCAUAUUUAGUGAUCCUAUGUGCGCAUUCUUUAAUUUGCAACAAUUUAUAAUAGUCACAUAAAUAAAAAAUAAUAUAAUUUUUAAUAAUAUUAUUAACUAUUUAUAGUUCUUUUUGCAGAAAAGAAAAGAAACUAUUUAUAGGUUUAAUUAUACAAUAAAACGUUAAUUUUUGCAUUUAUAGAUACGAGGUCAUUAAAUAUUUAAGAAAUAUUAUUUAAUGUAAUAAAAUAAAUUCAUUAAAAACCAUACAUAUAUAUAUAUAUAUAUAUAUAUAUAUAUAUAUAUAUAUAUAUAUAUAUAUACACUAUUUUUACUGUUUAUGAAUUAUAAAUAGAAUAGAAUGUCACGAAUAUCGAGACCUAACUCAUCCAUACAAAACCGGCUUGUACGGUGAGAGUGCCUCCUCUUUAUAAACUUUUCUCAAGAAUCCUAUAUAUCCGAUGUGGGACUAAAUCCCACCCGAGUGUUGGCCGCUAACACCCCCCCUCACGCUUCAGCCCAGCCCAAUGGGCCUGAAGCGUGGAGAUGCAAGCCCAACGAUGGACCCGAUAGGAUCUGAUACCAUGUCAUGAAUAUCGAGACCUAACUCAUCCAUACAAAACCGGCUUGUACGGUGAGGAGUGCCUCCUCUUUAUAAACUCUUCUCAAGAAUCCUAUAUAUCCGAUGUGGGACUAAAUCCCACCCGAGUGUUGGCCACUAACAUAGAAUAGCGGUCAUCCCUCACCAUACUAUCCCGCUAUCUGGGAUUGACAACAUAAAUCCAUUCUUGUCCUAUUAAGGGCUUCCAACAUAAGUCAACUUAUUAUGACACCUAGGUAUGACAUUAUCUGUGUGCAAGGUUUUAAACUUUCACGAUUUUCCUUUUUAAUCUAAUCUUUACAUUUAAUGCUGAAAUGGAAGUCUCAUUCCUGUUGUAUGCAUUGAUUAUAUUUCUGGUAUAUACUUUCUAGCUACCUUGAAUUCCUUCAAACUCUUGAAAAGAGAAUUGAUCAAGAUUGGGCUGAUAUCUCAUCAUCUCUUGAGGAAAUUCGCAAAACUGUAUUUUCCAAGCAAGGGUGCUUGAUAAAUAUCACCGCUGAUGGGAAAAACCUUGCGAAUACGGACAAAUUUGUGAGCAAAUUUGUUGAUAUGCUCCCUACUAGCUCUCCCAUUGCUACACCAAAUAUUUGGAAUGUUAGACUUCCGUUGACAAAUGAAGCUAUUGUGAUUCCUACUCAGGUAAGGAUUAUUUCAGUUGUCAUUCUUGUGAACAUAAUUUUAAAGGAAAUAUCCAAAUUGGUUGUACAUAAUUUUGAAUUAAAUAUCCAAAUUGUCUGGAAAAAACUAAAGAGACCUAUUGGUCUACAAGAAAUGAAAAUUAAUUAUUUGGUACAUAAGAAUGUCAAAUGUAAAAUGGCUUGGGAUCUGGGAGUGUGCUCCUCCUCAAGGUCUCAAGUUCGAUUCUCCCCGGUGCCAUUAUGGGUGGGCUAAUUUAGCUUCUUCAAAAAAAAAAAAAAAAAGAAUGUCAAAUGUAGGUUAAAUUAGUUAUUUUUUGGGGACAUAUUAGUCCUUGAGAAUAAUUCGAUCCUCAUUAGACAUUCUUAAGUAUCAAAUUGGUAUUUUUCAUUUCUCAGAAACAUAUAGGUCUCCAUGCAAUUUGAGUAUUUACCUACAAUUUAGUUUAUGUUAUGCACAUUGUACAGGCAGUGUAGUUACCUAAAGCCCAAAUUUUAUUUUAUUUGCUGCAUUUAAUUUUUUUUCCCUAUCUAUAACUCAUGUUUCUUUCUACAGGUUAAUUAUGUUGGGAAAGCAACCAACGUUUAUGAUGCUGGUUAUAAGCUUAAUGGUAGUGCAUAUGUUAUUUCCAAAUACAUUAGCAAUACAUGGUUGUGGGAUCGUGUACGUGUUAGUGGUGGAGCUUAUGGAGGUUUCUGUGAUUUUGAUACACAUUCAGGUAACUUGUAUUAUACUUGGGUGUAAUUAUUGAGUAGCAUGCUUGCAAUCUUACCUCUUCGCUUCUUUUUCUAGGAGUGUUCUCCUUUUUGUCUUAUCGUGAUCCCAACUUGCUGAAAACACUUGAGGUAUAUGAUGGAACUGGUGACUUCUUAAGAGAAUUGGAAAUAGAUGAUGAUACUCUUACAAAAGCCAUAAUUGGGACCAUUGGGGAUGUAGACUCCUAUCAACUUCCUGACGCCAAAGGUUAUAGUAGGUAUAAAUGAGCUAAUUGAUGCUUUUGUAGUUUGUUUACUAUAGAUUUUUUAGUUCUUCGUUAUUGGUGAUUCCUUUUAAAUUUCCAAAUCAUGCUGCUUUUUUAUUAUAGUUGCAAAUUAUGCUUGCUUUUCAUUUCAUUUUCAGCAUGUUGCGGUAUAUACUGGGUAUCACAGAGGAAGAAAGGCAAAAGAGACGUGGAGAGAUAUUAUCUACGAGGUAAAGAUUCUGAUUGAAUGAUAAUCCAUGCAUGAUACAUGACCUUUUGAUCUACUGCUAUUGAUAAAGCAAAAUAAUGCAGUCUGCUUUCGAUGCCAGUGUUUAUUGCAUGGUAUUGCGCUAUUAACUAUUCUGAAAUGACUUUCUGAUUACAGAAUAAAUUUAAAUUUUCAGUUGAUUUUGUGUAAAGAUUGUAUCAUUUUACAUUUAGUGUUGCUGCUCCUAAAGAUAAUAUGCUUUGCACUGCAGUGAUCUUGAUCUCUGAAACCAUUAGUUGUUCUUAUUCAGUUUAAUUAUUUUAUUCCCUCAGCUUGAAGGACUUCAAACAAUUCAUUGAUGCAAUGGAAGCAGUUAAGGAUAAAGGGGUUGUGGUUGCAGUGGCAUCUCCAGAUGACGUAGAUGCGGCAAACAAGGAGCUUUCCAACUUCUUUCAAAUAAAGAGAGCCCUUUAAAUUUAGGAUAUACUUUGCAAGGAUUGAUAAUUGCAUCUUUUCUUGUUAUAGAUUUUUCCUAUUUUGAGAUAAUUAUUUUGUUCACAAUAAACUGUUAUAGCUGUAGAUUUUUUUAAAUUUUUUAAAGGCGUAGAUUGCAAAAUAGUUUAUUAUCUAGAAAAUUUCUUGUAUAAAUACUCAUUGAAUUUACGUCAAUAAUUAAAAAAUAUUUGAUAUAAGAUUGGCGGCUUCUUUUAUUUUUUUGACGGUUAUAAAAUGUUGGUGGCUUCUUCUAUGCUCUUUCCGUCCUGAAUUGUACGAUGUUUCGACCAUUUUACAUAUUAAGAAAUGUAAUUAAUUUUGUGUGGGAAAGAGAUAUUAUGAGUUGUUUUACAAAAUUCUCCUCGAUAAAUGAUAUGGGAAAGUAAUGAAUACAUCUAGAAAUUUAUAGAUGAUCUUAAAUUUUUAGGGACUAAGGGAGUAUUUUUUUCUCUCUUCAUCGGAGAAAUUUGACAUGGCCAAGUGGGUAGCAUAUAAAAAUAGUGCUCCUCCGUCCCAUGAUACGUAAGUCAUUUGUAAAAAAAUAUUGUCCCGAAAAAAUUGAUCAAUUUCACUUCAAUAUAAUAUUAAUUACUUCCUUAAAAAAAAGCAAUAUUAAUUACUUUUUUUCUUCCAAUUAUUAAUUCUAAUUAAUACUACUUUCAUCACUCCAAAUUUAAUAUAGGGUUAAAUAUGUUUUUAGUCUUUAUAUUUUGCGUUCAUCUGAAGAAUAACCCCUACAUUUCAUUAAAUGUUUUUAAAAUCUUCACAUUUAACCCUAAAAUAUAUUGUCUAUAUAUUGUUCAAAGUCAUGCAAAAUGUAGGGACCAAAAACAUAUUUAACCCUAAAAUAAUUGGGACUCACUAACUACCACAUCAACAUUAUGUUAGAGAAUUAACAACAAAGACUAAUUUUGAUAACGGAGAUAAAAUGUGAGGAUUUUAAAAACAUUUAAUGAAAUGUAGGGACUAUUCUUCAAAGGGACACAAAAUAUAAGGACUAAAAACAUAUUUAACUCUUUAAUAUAUUAUACUUUGCAUUCAUUUUUUUUAUGAAGCUAAAUUAGCCCACUCAAAUUGACACUGGAGGAAUCAAACCUGAGACCUUGAGGAGGAGCACACUCCCAGAUUCCAAGGCAAUACCACUAGGCCAACCGAAGUGGGUUUAUACUUUACAUUCAUGACAAAAAAUAAUGCACUAAUUCGACAAAAAAAAUAAAUAAUGCACUAAUAUUUGUCAAAGACACUCAACUAUUUUUCUAUCUUUCACUUUAUAUAUUUUUCUUAAUAGAUGUGAAAUGAGUAAAAGGCUCAUUUAAAAUGUGAUGGAGGGAGUAAAAGCAACUUAAAUAUGGUAAAAUAACAUCAUUAAUGUUUGCUUUCAAAGUGGUCAUCAUAUCAUCAUUAUUACAAGAUACCUUAACUUUUUUACUAAAGUAAUAUCAACAUUGUCCCCAUGAGCUCAACUCAUUUGGUAAGGGAUAAUGCACAAUAUAUGCAAGGGUCGGAGUUCGAACUCCAGACACCCCAACUAUUCAUUUUUAAGGUGAAUUUCCCACUAGACUAUUUGACAAAAAAAAAUAUCAAACAUUAAUGUUUGCUUGCAAAGUGACCAUCAUAUCAUCUUAUUACAAGGUACCUUAACUUUUUACUAUUAGAGCAAAAUGUAUAUGAAUUACUUAAAUAUGACGUAACGCUGUAGAACCCACUUACUAGUAGCAUAUGAAACUCAAAUUAGAUUCCUUAAAACAAGACCAUUAAAGAUGCUCUAAUGUGUAAGCCAAAUUCAUUCUUUUACAUAGAGUAAAUUAACCACUUGGAACCAAACUCGUGGCUACAUUGUAUGAUUCCUGAAAGAACAAGAAUUGUUGGAUAGAACUUUGCUCCAAUUAUGACGUCAUCAAACUCGUGGCUACAUUGUAUGAUUUCUUAGGAACGAUCAAUUUUGCAGUAAAUGCUCUAUCUCCAGAACUAAAUGCUGAUUUGGAAAGUGAAAACAAGAAGCUGAAGAAAGAACUUCUAGAUCAGAAACUGCUAUUGCUUGAAUACAAAUCCUCCACAGAAGCAAAGUUAGAAGAAGCAAGAAUCAGAGAAGAGAAUUUGGUCAGAAGCAAUGAAGACUUCAAGAGAGAAAUGAAACAACAAGCAGAAGAGACAAACAGGAUGAUGAAACACAUGAUGGAGAUGUUCAAAAAACAAGCCCAACCUUAGUUUCACACCCUUAAGCUUGUUUAUUUAUGUUGUUUGUAUCUGUUUUUGAAUUUAUGUCUAUAUGCUUUCUGAAUUGCUACUUCUGAUCAAUGAUUAUGUGUUUCUUAACAAUGUUUAUGCUACUGAUCUAAUUUUGUUUGUUUCUGAAAUGUUUUCAAUUUAGAAUUUUCUCACUACGUUUUUCUCAUCUCUUUCUUUUUGUCUUUAGUUUUUAUACUUUUUGUGGAUGACAAAAGGGGGAGUAGAUGUAUAGUAUUUAUAGGCUCUGAGUCCCAUUAAUUUAAUUCUAAUCAAGUUAAAUUAAUAUGACUUUCUUAUCUCUUAGUCUAUUAAUGUGAGAUUAUUCUGAGUGUUAUUUCGUUUUUAAUGAUUAAUUUAAUUAACUUGGAUAGAACUAAGGGGGAGCUUACAAACCUCACCUUAAAGUACUAUUGGACUCAGGGGGAGCUUACAAACCUCAUACCCUUAUAGUCAAAUUGUUAAUUAGAUUAACAACAAUUGCACAUUUUAAAUACUAGUGUUUGUCAUCAUCAAAAAGGGGGAGAUUGUUGGAACAAAAUGUGUUUAACAUUACUCUUUGAGAGUUUUGAUGAUAACAAGGUAUUAAAAAUUGUCAAUUGGAUAUGCUAAUAUUUAUUCAAGUGCACAGGACCAUAGACAAAAAUUUGAUAUCUUUAUUAGGUUCUGGAAGAACAAAAGAGAGCUAAGGAAUCAACAAAAAGGAAGCUUGAAGUGUCUGAAGAGAAGUGCUUCUGAAGUCAAAGUGCUACUGAAGUGAUGACGUCAUCAGAAGCAAGAUCACCAGAAGUUGUAGUUCAUCAGGAGAUGCAAAACUUAAAGCUUCAAAAGUUGUUCAAUGGAUUUAAUCUCGUCUAAGAAUUGCAGAAGACCAGAAGAGUGAAGCAACGACUAUUUUGAAAGAAUUUGAAAGCAUUGCAUGCUUGUUCUUUGAAGAGCAUUGACAUAGUACAAUUGUACGAAGUGUACAACCACUAUCUCCACUACUCAGUUUGUGUCUCUGCUACAAGACAAGAAUAACAGCUCUGCCUGCAUCAAUGUUCCUUCAUACUUGGAAUGAAUUUGAAAUUGAUCCUUCAUAGGACAAUAACCAUAUCAGGCAAAAGAUCAUUGGUGAUUGAUCAAAGCUUCAAACGACUCUAUUUUGAUGUGCUGGCAAUUCACAACGUCUCUUUCACACCUCUAUAUAAAGGAGUGAAGACUUAGAGAAUGGAAAGACUCUACAACAAUUUGAAAGCGCCAAAACUCUGCUGAAAUUGUUCUGCAUCAAAAGUUCACUUAGAAUUUCUUAUCAAAGUUCAUAUCUUAGAAAUUCUAGAGUCUUAAGAGUCUGUAUCUGAUUUUUAUUGUGAACACCACUAAUUGUAUAUCAAGUGUUCAACCUUAAACAAUUUUCUUUGUAAUUCUGUUUGAAUUAAGAAGUCUCUUGCAGUUGUGCUUGAGCAUUAGAAGUCUCUUGCUUGUGUUCAGGAGCAUAGGAAAUCUCUUGCAGUUGUGCUUUAGUAAUUUGAAGUCUCUAGCUAAGUUUAGCAGUGAACAGUUGUAAUCAGAUAUUACAUUUUUAGUGAACUCUUCUUGGAAGUGCAAGGGGGACAUGACUACUUCCGGUUUGUGGAAGGAACCUGUAUAAUUGAUUUGUGUCCUUCUUCUCUCUCUCUCUCUCUCUCUGUGUGUUUUAUCCGCUGCAUUUAGUCAUGAACAUCACUUCGGAAGCAGAACUCUAUUUGCUUCUGAUCAGUGUUUUUCAGCUUAGGAGAAAACGAAGAAAAAGCUAACACAAUUCAACCUCAUUCUUGUGUUUUUCUCACCUUCAAACUUGUCUUUAGAAAUUAGGUCUAACAUAAGGUUCUAGGUUUAAUGGUUUGGUUUGUGAUGAAUUUGUCGCCAUGACAGACCAAUAAUCCCAAGGCUCUCUUUUAUUAUUAUUUUCAAUCAUUUAAAAACCCUAACUUUGCAACUUAAACCUUUUCUAAUCAUCAACUAAAGUUAAUUGAAUUAAACAACUCCAUGUUGGAACGAUACUCUCUUUUUACUACUUCGGUAGAACCGUGCACUUGCGGUUUUAUCUCAUCAGCGUGCGUGUGUGUUGAAAAUAAUAUUUAAUAUAGACAUUAUUUACCAAUUGUUAGAAAUUUUAAAAUAACAAAAUAAUAUGGAAAUAAUACAAAUAUAAAUUAAUUUUUUACUUUUACAACCUUUGAUUACACACUACUUGUCUUAAUAUAUUUAAAACAACCAACAUUGAAUUAGAGUGAUAUAAAUAUGAGGCCUAAAAAAAUCAGGGGCCUAAAGCCCUUGCUUUAAUGGCAUCCCCCUUAGGCCGGCCCUAACGAAAAAUAAAGAAGAAGUUUGGUCAACGAUCCACCGACUACCGCCUUGCAUUUAUGAUGAUUUCUUGGGUGUUUUCCUUCAGCAUUGGCAUCAUCUACCUUCUUGCUGCCAUUCAUCUCUACUUAUGUUGGUAUUGCUAGCGUGUCGUGUGUCUCUUUUUUUGAAUAAGUCACUACUACAAAAUACCCCCUUUAAUAGCAUCCAUUUUAGCGUUUAAUAGCGCUUUUGAAGCGCUAAGAAUGACUAUGUUGUAAAAGGUUGAAUGAUGAAGUAAUAACCAUGUUGUAUAAAUGUUGAAUAAUGACGAAUGACAUGCUUGUUUUAUAAUAGAGAAAUGAUAUUUACUUUGUGACAACUUUUGGACAACUUUCUCUCUCAUACUCACAUUAUAUUCUUACUCUCUCUCUUCCUUUUUCUCUCUUCAUUGUUUUUGACCAAUGAAAAGAGAGAAAAGAAAGGUUGUCAAAUAGGUUGUAUCAAAUGGUUGUUCAAAUAUCAUUGCUCUUUAUAAUAACAAGUAAAAUGACGAAAAUAACUAUGUUGUGAAGAUGAUGUUGCUGAUGUAUUUUCUAUGCGUUGUUAGUGAGUCUUCAUGCAUCAUAUCAUAUUGCAUAAAAAUGACGAAUGUUGUAUGUAUGUUCAGUAACAUAAAUCUGACAUAUAAAUGUUGAUUAGGUUGUAUGUAUGCUCAGUAACAAAACUCUGACAUACAAAUGUUGAUUAUAAACUAGUACCAAGAUGCAUAUAGGUUUAGGAACGAAGUGAUUUGCAUAUGUCUCAUGUUAGGUGUAUAUGAUGUGUUUGUGAUAUAUGUGGUAUGUGUUAAUAGUGAUGUAUUGCGAGUCUUACGUGUAUCCUUAAUAUUUUGAAACUGCUGAGUUAUGAUAAUGAUGAUGCGUGAAUGAUGUUGUAUAACCUGAUGAAGAAUUGUGAAUAUUUGUAAAUGAUGAUCAAAUGAUGGUAUGCCUAUUUAAAUAUUAUUCAUGUAUCCCAAUAUAUGUUAAGAUGAAUAUUCUCACCCCUUUGUUGUUGUUGUUAUGUAUUAUGGUGUCUGUACUCUUGGGGUACAUACACUUAGGACGAGGAGCUCUAGUGUGCGGGACGUUUAGAAGGUGGCGACGGAGAUAUACUUUCGUAGCUAUUACCUAAUUGUUUAUGUAGUCGAAUAACCAUGUGCUCUGAUCUGUAACACUAGGGUUGGGGUUAAACGUUGAAUGUAAUUUUAGGAAUCUUAAGUAUUUGAAAUCAAUAUGAUAUUUUCCAUAAUGACGAUGGAGAAUCAGACAUGUUUAUUUUAUGAAAUAUUUUAGAAGUAUUUUCCGCAUUCUGAAAUAUGACGUAUUAUUUAUUAUUCGAAUGAAUGAUUGAUGAGUAUGUGUAACAUCCUUUUUGUUUAAAUUUAUUCGCAUUAUUUAUUAAAUCAACGUUGGGAAUUAGGGUGUUCUCAAGUAAAUUUAUUCUGAAAUAUGACGCCAUUGAUGGAAAGUAAAUGCAGGAUUUUCUCAAUUAAAAGUUGAUUCAGAACAAGAAUUGUUUGUCCCCUUUCUGAAUUGCAAACGUUUUUGCUCAAAACACUUAGACAAAACACACUUCUCACUUCACAACCUACACUUUCUCUUUUCUCACUGAUUCUCUGCGAAGUUAAACGUAACUUCCUCAUUCAAAUCCCUAGAACCCUAAAUCUUCAUACUCAUCAAUGGCGUCUUCAAGUUCUGUUCCAGAAACGUCAACAAGCAUGCAAGAAGCUCGUGCGUAUGAAAUCAAAGGGAGGACCAUGUCCUUAGAGGAAUGGGAUCUUAAGAUUCAAACUGAGAAUCCAGUAGACUUCAUUUCAUUAGCACAUCAUGGUUGUGACAUCAAAAGCUACUACGAAGCACAAGGUCUCAUGGAUUACUUCGAAAUGUUGAAUGGUCCAACAUACAAGACUCUCAUCAUGCAUUUAUGGGUAAGAGCACAUGUCUACGACAGGAAGGCUGCUAAAUUGGAAGAAACAGAGAAAAUCCUGAUUGAUCCUACUAUGGAAGGGAAAUCAAGAGAAGAAAGGGUUUGAAACCAUUUACAUGCACAGAAAUCAGGUCAAGUAUCAUGGGCAUCCCUGUUUUCAUUUCAGAAGAUAUUAUUGUCUUUGUUCUCAGGAGACCUUCAGAAGGUAGUUUCAAAGGUGGUAUAGGUAACAGCAAGACCAGUCCCUGGAAUGGAAUAGUUCAUAAGUCCAUGUUCAACAACAAAAAGAAAGGUGCAUACUGUGAUUUGAGCAUGAAGAAGAAAAUGUUUCUGAAAAUUCAGAAUGAAAACCUCCUACCAAAAGGUGGUGGUAGUGAUCAACUCUCUUUGGAGCACAGAAUAUUUCUUCAUUACUUCAUCACGAAGGAAAAAGCAAAUGUGCCCAAGUACAUCUUCAAGCACAUGAUCAAAGAGCUAAGGGAAAGCCAAGAAAAAAAAGAAUAAUGCACCAAUACUUUACAUUCAUGACAAAGAAUAAUGCACUAAUUCGACAAAAUAAAAAGAGAAUAAUGUACCAAUAUUUGUCAAAGACACUCAAUUAUUUUUCUAUCUUUCACUUUAUAUUUUUUCUUAAUAGAUGUGAAAUGAGUAAAAGACUCAUUUAAAAUGUGAUGGAGGGAGUAAAAGCAACUUAAAUAUGGUAAAAUAUCAUCAUUAAUGUUUGCUUCCAAAGUGGUCAUCAUAUCAUCAUUAUUACAAGAUACCUUAACUUUUUUACUAAAGUAAUAUCAACAUUAAUGUUUGCUUGCAAAGUGACCAUCAUAUCAUCUUAUUACAAGGUACCUUAACUUUUUACUAUUAGAGCAAAAUGUAUAUGAAUUACUUAAAUAUGACGUAACGCUGUAGAACCCACUUACUAGUAGCAUAUGAAACUCAAAAUUAGAUUCCUUAAAACAAGACCAUUAAAGAUGCUCUAAUAUGUAAGCCAAAUUCAUUCUUUUAGAUAGAGCAAAUUAACCACUUGGAACCAAACUCGUGGCUACAUUGUAUGAUUCCUGAAAGAACAAGACAAAUAUUAGUUCUUGUGGGAACAAAAGUGUUUGUCCAUUAUUUGUUGAGGUAAAUUUGGCAUUCUAUAAGAAAAAAUAACAUUAAAUACAGUUAAAUCCCGUAAACAUAUGCUGCCAAUAUUACGUUAAUGUCCAAAAUAGAUGAGUGUGAAAUGUGAAUACAUCAAACCAAACCUGGGCAAAAACAUGAAGUAUAUUACUCAAAAUUUUCAUCAUUGUUAUCAACAUGACAUGCUUUUUUCGGUGAUAUUUGAUUUACAAAAGAGUGGCCAUCAUUGGAAUCAGCAGGGUAUGAUCUUUUCUGUCUUGGUAAUUCAUUUACAAGAGAGUGUUUGGUGUUUAAUGCUACACUCAUGGCGAUAUUUUGAGUAGUUCUUUCACAAUUUUUUGCCUUCUUCGUCCAAGCAAUUGAAGAUGAGCAUGACACAUUGGCAAUAUUGGAUGCAGAACGUAGUGGUACAAGCUUAUUGUGUAAAGCAAAAGGGGUGGAUUUUCGCUCGACGUUGCGGCUUGGCUUGUGUAAUUCCUUUUUCUGUAGCUUGGGACUUAUGGAGUCAACCGGUACCAGCUUUCCAUCAACUUGGUUUGUGAAGACAAAAGUCACCUAAAAAAUAUAGAAAAGCAGUCAAAUUCAAUUAUGCAUUAAAUGGAUUUUUUUUUUUUUUUUUUGUGGUGACAUUAAAUGGAAUAUGGUUAUUGAGUUAAAUUUCUUUUCUAUAAAUAAUUAAAAAAGGGAAGGGGAUGGGAAUGAAAAUGUGUAAAAAAGCUAUGGCACAUACCUCAUCACCGGCUGAAGCCUGAAGGACGCCAUCUGGUACAGAGGUUGGGAAUAAAUGAUGGCCCCAACUACUUAAAUCUUCUUCUAAUGGAUUCCCUACCUGCAAAAAGAAUAUUUACAAGAGUCAAAACCACAGUAAUUUGUUCCUUUUGUGUAUUGUAUAGUUGUAUUCCUUUAAAUCAAGAGGUGAGAUAGAGAGGAAAGCUAGUCGGUGGUAGAUGAAAUGAAGAGUUGAAAAGAAGGCCUCCCACUCAAAAGAGUAAAACAACUUUUAUCCAACAAAAUACAAAAGCAACCUGCUUUUCUGAUGUUUUCAAAUUCCCUAAGCAGCCUGCAAUCUCAGCAAAUCCACCUAUAUCAGCGGUUUCAUCAUCACCACAUUCGCUAUUAAUCAUUGUUGAUAAAACAUCAGUGUCUUGCGGCCCAUCAUUGUUUUGGCAACGACUGCAUCGCAUAUUUUCAUGAAUCUCUGACCUAAAGAAAUAUAAACAAGAAGACAUUAGACUGAGAAAGUGAGAAGUUAUGAUAGACAGUCGUGAAUAUUGGAGUGCCUUACCAGACGAUCAAUAUCAACAUUACUCUUAGAAUUCUUGGUUGGGCCUAACACAACCCCACAAAACCGGCUUGUGAGAUGAGGAUUGUCCCCACUUAUAAACACAUUGUCAGGUCAUCACCUAUCCGAUGUGUGACUCUUAACACACCCCCUCACGACCAGCACUAUUGGGCUUGGUUCGUGGACAUAAAUGGUGGGUGGCCCGAUGGCGGAAACCUGAUAGCAGGUGGCCCAAUGGAUCUUGGAGAGGCUCUGAUACCAUCUUAGAAAUCGUGGUUGGGCCUAACAUCACAAAAUGACCAACUUCUUUUAUGAUUAUCUUAUGUGUUUCCAAGUUGAUUCAAUCAACUACAUUUAUUAACUAAUUGAAUUGGUAGAGGAUACAGACGCAAAAACAGAUAUUCAGAUGUAUAAUCCCAUCUCAUGGAAAUAGUACAUCAGAAAACCAGAUCCCUAUCUGAUGUUAGUUUCAAUAGAAAAUCCUCAUUGUUGUAAAUAAUUAUAAUUAAUGUACUUAGUAGAAAUUAGUCUGUAUUAGUUGUCACAGGCCCGUUUGUCCAGCCCAUGUAAUUAGAAUUGGCUUAUGAACAUAGAUUAGUGUUUGUACUUUGAUUACAACAGCAAUUUUAAAUAACACUCAUAAAUAUUUUCUACAUGGUAUCAUGAGCUCCUGAUUUUGGGGGUCUUGCUUCCGAGUAAAAACCCUAGCCGCCUUCUUUGCAGCCCUUUGGGUUUAGUGCCCAUUUGUUUCCUGUUGGUCAUCUCCCACAGCAACAAGUUCCCAUUCGUUAUCGUUCUUUGCACACAACCAAUGUUCGCUGCCGUCAGUCGCCGCCUUCGCACCGACCACCUUACCCAGAUGUUUUCCGCCCAGAGAUUGGCCGGAACCAAGAAGCGUGUAACCAGGGCCAUCAGACGGGCCCGCAUGUGCCACUUGCCUUAACAUUUUGGGGUCAAAAUCACGAUUAGAGAUUAUUGAAGGAAUAGCUUAGCAUUAGAUAACUAGCAAUCAUUGUGAUCACCAUAGAGGUUCUGCACUAGAUUAUGUUCCCUGUAACUGAGUAACUGUUUAAACUGGCAACUGCCACUCAUCUAGAAAGUGUGACUGACAUGUGUUAGUCACUUAGAGGUCAUUAGUUUAGAAAUAGACUCUUCAUCCUCUUGUAACUGUAACCAAAAAUCAUUCUAACAGAAUUGAAUAGAAAAGUUAGUUACUACAGAGAAGCAAAAGCUCUCUGGAAUCUUCCAUUUACAGUUUUCUAUUAGAGAUACUUUUUUCGUGGGGGUUCUUGAAGCCCAUCAUUUGUUCUCCAUUGUGGUUGUUUCGCUGGUUUGUGGUGGUUACUACGUUGUAGAGCCUCUUCUUGAGAAUAAUAUGCCUAAAAAUCUUUGGAAGAUUAUGUAGAUUUAGAUUUUAGAGCCUCAUGUUGAGAAUAAUAUGGCUAAAAAUCUUAUUUCAACAUCACAAGAACUUUGAUAAUUUGACUGAAAAUUUCAGAUAUCAUAACACCAAUAGUAUAUAUAGAUCAAAAGGAAAAGAAUGCAUUACUUGACGUUCUCAUCAAAAGUAAACAAAUUGCGAAGAUCCUCUGUCGAGAGAAAGUUACUCUGAAACCAUAAACAAAUAUGACAUGAGUAGGAUUGUAAAACAUGGAAUAGGCAGCAUUAACUUGAACACAGGGUAGAAGCAACCUGUGCCGCGACGCUGUCGUUUUGCUCCCUCUGAAUGACCUUUUGCAGCCCUUCUUUUGCCAUCUGACGCUGGUAGACCUACAAAUAACUUAAUAGAUUCAGUGACAGAAAUAGCUCAACGAAGGAACUGAUUCCAAAUCAAUAAAAUGCACAAGAUACAUUUCUGUUCACUCAAUUAUCACAAUAAUGUAAACCUUUUCUUCUAUUGUUCCGGCACUCAAAAAUCUAUAAAUGUAAACUCUUUUCUUCUGUCCAUCCCUCCACACUCUUGCUGCGGCCUGUUAAUGAUUAGGAAUAGUAAACAAAUGAAGAUCAGUUAGAGAGGGGGAGAGAGGGAGGGGGAGAGAGAGAGAGAGAGAGAGAGAGAGAGAGAGAGAGGUGUGUGCAUGUAAAGAUUUCAGCUGUUAAAAUUGAAGCCAGUGUAUUUACUUGUUUAUCAUUUGCUGGAUUCCAAUCAGGAUCAAACAAGACGAGUCGAUUUGCCCCAAUCAAAUUGAGUCCACAACCACCAGCCUUGCUGCUUAAGAGAAAAACAAAUUCGUCCUGCAAAUAAGUCAAAAUGUUUUUAUCAAAGGAUAAUCGCAUGUAUUGGUGAAAUUUCAAGAAGAAACAACAUUAGAAUUUGGAAAUUUCAAGAUGACCCAUUUACCUUAGACGGGUCGUUCAAGCAGUUGACCAACUUUUGCCUUUUACUGAUUGAUGUAGCACCAUCAAGCCUCAAGUGAGGGUACUUUCGUUCCCGGCACAAUUGAGCAAAAAGAUCAAGAGUCUGUUACAUGGGAGAUAGUUUAGUGUAGUAACUAGUAACAGAGAAGUAGAACAGCAAUAAAGGUUAGCAUGAAAGAUUCAAUUGGUCAUGAGGAAGAUUGAGAAAUGUGAAUACACAUCUAAUUGUAAGGUUGUGAGCUUGAACCCAUAUAUACCGGGUAGAAAAAUAUGAUUGUCACUGUUGGGUUUCAAUAUUCUAGUUGCUAUUCCUUUACUUAAAUAUUCCUUUUAGAAGUAUUCAGUGCUAUAACUGAAAAAUAUUACCCAGCAAGCUUUUGUCUGAUAACACCAGAGAACAGUCAAGAGAAAAUAUCACAUAUUUCAUUUUCCCUCAUUGAGUUUAUUUACUUUCUUCUCAAAUAACAUGGUAGUCAAGCUUGGGCUCCAUUGUAGCUGUGAUCAAAUCUGAUUUUUCCUUCAUGAUUAAUUGCAUGUGGUGCCUUGAUUCAACUCAGAAUCUACUGACAGAAAACAUAAAGGAACCCCACAAACCAACUGAAUUUUUAUUGAGAUGAAAAGAGAUUGGGUAUCAUAAAAUUAAAAAGCAUAUGAAUUUGUAAAUCCCAAUAAUUGGAAGAAAAAAAAAGUGUUCUAUUUUGUUCGGCAAGCCAUGCUGACUAACUAAACGAUGAAACCAACGUGCUUUUCAUGUUCAUUAUCAUUAGAACUUAGAGAGCAGAAUUACCUCACCAGUAUAUGUUAAGAAGAAAUAAGGAUGGCUCAAAGAGCCAAGUGUGCCGCUUCUUUUCAAUUGUUAGUUAGACCUUGACGGUUAAAACUAUUAGUAGUAAAGUUGUUGGGUUCGGUUAGCACUCUGUCUGCUGUGGCAGAGGAUGGAAGGAGAAAAUUAGGAGAAAGCAAUUAGCAAAUUGGGUAGUUUUGGGUGGGAGGUCAGGUACUCAAAUCAAUGGAGGUACUGUUGUAAGCCAUUUGCUUCUCUACGCUUUGGACUUCCAUAAUGCAGAGUAAGAGGAGUCAGUUCAAUAAAAUUAUUUUCUUUUCUGUUAAUUCCUAUUGUCGAAAACAGUAUCGCUCACAUUACCAUUAACAGCUUUUCAAUUUGGGGGAGACACUAUCAACACUUAAUGCGAUCUAGAUUCACCCAGGUGGAAUGGAAUAAUAGAUGUGAUUUAUAUCUGUUAAGUUAGAUUAAAAAAAAUAAAAAAUAAAAAGGCAUAUGUGUUGUAUGAACAGUAAUCCUAGCAAUAUACAAUAAACUUGCUAAGGUAAGUUCUAACCAGCCUGAUAUGGAUACAGCACAUUGACAAAUAUAAGUGAUAUAAGGGUGUGAUUGCUGGUUCAUCAUCAAUUAAUAUCCAGAGGAUAACAGGAGAAGGGACUCAAGUGCCAUAAGAGGAUGAAUGAAGUUCUAGUAAAAUCAUAUUAUCAAGCAAUAUUGUAGGCAGAAACAAUGUAUGCACAACGCCACAUGAGUUAACCUCAAAACUACAUCCAAUUGUUUAUUUCACAAAUCAACAACAACCAAGUCUUCAUUAUUUCAUUAAAAGUGAUCGGCUAUAUGGAACAAACUUCUAUGGUAACUCAUAUUUCUAGCCAAACUAUUGACGUCUAAAUUUUUCUUAAUAGUUUCUCCUAUAAUUUUAAUUUUUUUAUCUCAAAAAAUAUAUGAAUCAUCUCACAUGAGUACAGAUCUCAAACCAUUCUAAACGUUUAAACGCAUAACCUUUCUUGUUACCAUAUACCUGAGUAUAGUUUGAGACAAGGACAAUGCGAUCAUUUGUUCUCUGGCGUAAUUGAUGAAGUAACCUUGCCAAGACUUGCAUUUUACCGGAAAGCUCAACCCAGCCUCCAUCCCCUCCUGUCCAUGAUCCAGACCUACAAAGAAUAUCCCCCUUAGAAUGACUAAAUUGUGGCACCAAAUGUAUAAGUCUAACUGAAACAAAAACUAAAUAUCUACCUUCCAGAUAACAUAUUUGGAGGGAAGAAUCGGAUGCAGUCCUCAAAACCUGAAGUUCCUGGGCUCCCACUUCGUAUGGUAUCAUAUAUGAGCUGCAAGACAUUAUUAUUGUGAGGAUGAAAGUGUGUUCACAACCAACCAGAAAUGAAAGGAGAAGAUGGUUUCCUUCACAAUUAUUUUUAUUUAACAAAGGAUCUUAAGUUGAGAGGAGGAAAUGAAUGAAAAUAAAUGGUUAUAAAUAGUCUACUUGCUAAUUUAAAUGACACCUAUAGAAGAGCUUCACAGACUAUUUUUAACAUAUAAGGGGAAAAUUAACCUAGUUUACAAAGUGAAUUUCAUCCAAGCGUAUAGACACAAAAGCAAUGGAAACCCCUCCUUCCAUCAUCCAAAAAACAAAAUAGUCUAAAUCAUACCUUUGGAUGAUUGCAUAACUUUUUUAGAGCCGUAAUGUAGGCCAAAAUCUUCGAAUGCUUCAGUUCUUCAGUAAUCGCCCGUUUAACCUGCGUUUGAGGAAACAGAUUUAUCUAUGCAGGCUCGACAACUUUGUUACUGUCGAUCUUAUGAAAAAUGUGUUUGCUCAAUCAAAACUAGACAUUACAUUUUUGGACUGUAUAAAAUGUUUAUAUAGAUCUGAUUGUAGCGGAGUCAACUUGCAGCAAACAACUUCAAUUAUCUGUACCACAAAAGUAAAAGGUCACGGUUACGAGAUUAAGAGGAGCAGAUAAUUAUCAAUUGCCAAUACAGUUUCUUUUCAUGUGCUUUACCAAUACAUGUUCUUUAUAUGUAACCAAAUGCGCUUUAACCAAUUCAAUACUAGACAUUGACCGAAACCUACCUUCUCAUGGAAUCAAAUGUCAUUACCAAAUCCUAAAGAUUUCACCGUGUGUAGAAACUAUUUUACUUAAUCUAGCUACUGGGAACCAACACCAAUUCAAUACUAGACAUUGGCUGAAACCUACUCAUGGAAUCAGAUGUCAUUACCAAAUCCUAAAGAUUUCUCCAUGUGUAAAAACUAUUUUACUUAAUCUAGCUACUGGUAAUCAACACCAAUUCAAUACUAGACAUUGGCUGAAACCUACUCAUGGAAUCAGAUGUCAUUACCAAAUCCUAAAGAUUUCUCCAUGUGUAAAAACUAUUUUACUUAAUCUAGCUACUGGGAAACAACAAAAGCCCAAAAUCAGCAUAAUUAUCUCUAAUGAGAUUUUAUAUUGGAUGAGAAACUUCUGCGGGAUAAGAAUAAGAUUAGGCUUUGGCUUCUACUUGUGUAUAAGUAUAGCACAUACAUGCUAUUUUUACUAGAUGGUCUCAUGCAGAUAUCUUGAGGGAUUGGACAGCUUGGAUUCGUCGAUUGUUGUUCACUUUUUUUUUUUUUUUUUUGUCUUAAUGAAAUUCUUUUUUGUCAUAUAAAAAAAAUGUGUAUAGUUUUGAAUCUUUCGAUUAUCUAAUGUAUGGCGUAUGGAAAGAGACUUCUGUUUUUUAAGGACACUGCAAUUGAAAAUGCAGAAGAUAAGAUUGGAUGUAUAUAAUUAUCAUAAUUUUUUAAAGAAAGGGUGAGUGAUAGAAUAAUGCAAUAUUUCAGACAGUAUGGCAGACAGAAAGAAAAAUACACUACCUUCGGUGGUAAGUGAUUUGAUAGCAAUGCAUUAGUCCUUCUUAAUAUGAACUGCAAAAGCAUAUUAGCAAGUCAACUUCAGGAGAGUAAAAGUAUAUUUUCUUGACAGACAGAAAACACGGUAGCACUGCAUUGUCAUUUAGCUACUAGUUCUGCAUAACACCCUUUCCAGUUUACCAGCAGGAUUACAACAUCAAGGACUAGUGAUGGAUAUUAAUACAGCUUUCUGAAAGUACACAGUGGAAUCUAAUUCACACGCACAGGCCAAGAAAAAAUAUUACCUGAUUAACUUUGGCACUUAAUUCUGCAGUGCGUUCAGCACCGAGUUUCUUCUCUUCUGCAGUAGCAGCAGGUUCUCUUCCGCAAAUUAUUGGCGCCUUUAUGAUGCGGAGCAAGUAGACCACAAUCAAAAUCAAAAACACAAGAGAAGGGUAACAUUGUUCUAGCAUCAUAUAUUCUGGAAGCUUUUUGAAGUUGGUUUGACUUGUUGUCGUAGUAAUAACAGUAAAAAUAUGUGGUACAUACUAUUGUUUGACAACUGAAUAACUCCUUAAUUUCUAGUAUAUUCGGACAUUAUAUGAAUUAUGAGCUUAAAGCUUUUGGAACAAUGUGCAAUUAAAAUCUAAAAUGUGAUGUAUAAAUGUACCUCAAAGUGACGUCGAAAAUGUGCAAUGCCGCCCAAUAUUCCAGGAUUGGUAAAAUUAACCAUUGCAAAGAAUUCUUCCAAGUCAUUCUGCAAGUGGCACAUGCCAUACACAUUUAAAAUAAAAUAAACAACGAUUUGGGAUUGUAACUCACAACACAGACAGGUAAUCGUGCAUAGAUCCUCACCUGCAAAGGAGUUCCUGACAGCAAAACUCUACGUUUACACGGGAGAGCAGCCAAUGCCUAAUCCAGGAAGUAUUUGUGAGUGACUCAGAAAUAUGCCUGUAAAGAGGAAGGAGAAAGGAGAUUUAAUAGUACCUUGUUUGUUAUUGUCUGAUCAUUUUUCAGUCUGUGAGCCUCAUCACAGAUGAGGAGAUCACAGGAGCCACUAGAGCUAAACUUCUCUGAAUGCAUUCGGAAUGUCUCGUAUGAAACAAUGAGCACCUGUAAAUCGGGAGUUGUUUUUAUUUUGCUAAGUACGUAAGUAGCUCGUAAUUAAGAAGAGUUGAGAAUUUAACCUGGAAUUUGCCUUGGGGACUUUUAAAACUGUUAAUCCCGGAGAUAACAUCUUGUCUUGUGGUUUCACAAAGAGCAACAAGGCGAACUCUAUCUCCAACCCACUUCUUAAUUUCUGCUUCCCAAUUGCUAACGAGACUGGUAGGAGUGACAAUGAUGGCCUUUCUAACCAUAGGCUUCCCAUCGAAACCUUGACAAAUAAGAGUAUAUAGUAAUGUGAUGGACUGCAGUGUCUUCCCCAAACUGUGCAGCGAGGAUCAAAGGCAGGCAGCCCUAGGUAAGUACGAAGAAAUUGAAAAGAAAACUAAAGAUUUCUUUGUAAAGAAUAAGAAGUUACCCACCCCAUAUCAUCUGCCAAAAUGCAUCCAUUGAUAUCGGGUGUCUCACAUAGUCCGGCGACACAAUCAAACAUGAAUUGAACCCCUUCUCUGCAUCAAAGAAGUAGACAGGAAUAAAUGAGUGAAUUAGGUUUUAUAGUGUAACAAGACAUAUGUAUAAUACUACAGUCUAGAUUACAAAUAUACACCAUACAUCCUCAAUAAAAAAAGGAAUUGAUUGAGAAGGAUUGGUACCUCUGAUGUGGACGAAGGAAACGAACAAGCAAAGGAUCAACGGCUAUUGUUGUGAAAUUAGAAUUAGAAGGGUCGUUGUCGUGAAGAGGUUGCCAGAGUAUUAGAGGAUCAAUUUCAGGGGGCAAAGGCGGCGAGGGUUUGACAGCCUCCUCUUUGUGAUCAGAGAUAUUCAAAUCCAACUCCGUCAAAGGUGUGGUGGAGGUGGGAAUAGGAAUAGGAGUGGUAGAACCCCAUGGGACAAAUCUUUUGCGAGCAGAGAGCCUACGAGCAAGAUCUUGAUUAUUGUUAUUGUUGUAAGCAUCGGACGGUGGUUUAAACGGUUUUCUGCAAAUAGCGGCAGCUCCAUUGGUGGAAUAUACUCUCGGCAGCAACGACUGUCUCUUCACAAUAAGGUUACCUUUGAUUAGGGCUUCUACAUUCUGAGAUUUCCGUUGUGAAACUUGUUCAAUUUCGGAAUCAGAAGAAGAAGAAGAAGAAGAAGACGAUGACACUUCAACUUCUUCAUCGGAAUCAGAAGAAAAAGACGACGAUGACAACAAAACUACGUCUUCGUCUUCCUCCAACAUUCUCUCUUCCCCGCACCGCCACUUUUCAAUUUAAUUUUCCUUUACCGCCAAACCAAUCAAUGUACUCCUUCUCUCCCUCAAAAAUCAAUCGAACUUUUCAUACCAUUUAAUACAGGAUUAAAUAUGUUUAUGAUCCCUAUAAAUAUACCAACUUUUCGUUUUAGUCCCUUUAAAAUUUUCUUUCAACUUUUAGUCCCUAUAAAAUUUUGAGUCGCUACUUUUGGUCCCUAUUUCAAAGUAAAUUUUGGUAUUUUUUUAAUGAAAUUGUACAGAAAUGUGUAGAAUAUUGUAAAAAUAUUUCCAAAAAAAAAUUAGAAUUUUUUAAGUAAACAUAAAUUAUAUAUGAAUUUUUAACCAUAAAUAAUAUAAAAAUUCAUAUUAAAUUCAUGUUUUGUUAAAAAAUUCUAAUUUUUUUUUUGGAGAGAUUCUUAUAAUAUUAUGAAUUUUUCUGGAAAAUUUGAUUCAAAAAUAUGAAUUCUACAUAUGAGUUUACUUUAAAAGAGGGACCAAAAGUGAAGAUGGAAAAAUUUUUAGGGACUAAAAGUUGAAGGAAAAUUUUAGAGGUACUAAAACGAAAAGUUGGUAUAUUUAUAGGGACUAAUAACAUAUUUAACCCUUUAAUAUAUUGUUUUAUUUCCGUCCUAAAAUACUUCCUCCGACCCAAAUUAUAAGAAGAAGAAAAAAUCAUACUUAUUAAAAAAAAUCUAAAACAUAAAAAUUUGGAGUAUUAUAUUUUUUUUGAAAAAAGUUUUAUAGAAAGAUGUAAAAACAAUUUUCAUUAGCUAUUAGUUAUGAAAAAAAUGAAAGAGAGAGAGAGAGAGAAAAUUGAAUGUAAUAUGCAUUUAAUUUUAUGAGAAUAGACAAAAGUUUUUCUUGAAAAAAAGAUUUAAAAAAAACAAGAUUAAAUAGGAUAAAAGUUUGUCUUUUUUACUUAUAUUUUGGGACAGAGAAAAAUGAAUUUUUUUGUUUAUAUUAUGGGACGGAGGGAGUAACUUAGUUCCAUACUCUCUCAAAUAAUAAGAGGGAGAUAUUUAUUCAAAUAAUAAUAAUAAUAAGAGAGAUAUAAGACUUUUAUGAAGAUCUCUCUUAUCGCAUGAUAAUGAGUUAUUACUUUCUGGGUUACAAUUAUAUUAUGUGUGGUGUCUUAGUGACAGGUAAAUAUCAUAUUGCAUUUAUUUUCAUGAUCAUGUAUUAGCAUAUGCAUCUCUGUGGUGCCUUAAUGGCGGAUUGAUUAUACCCAGAUCAUAUAAUUUUAGGAGCAUGCAUACAGAUAUGUAUUCCAUUAAAGUUUAUCAAAAUAAAAGAGAUGGAUGUGAACUGAAAAGAAAGGAAAAAUGAAGAUAAGGGAGAUCGAAACUCAAUUGCAUUAUAAAAUAUAGGAGAAUGCUAACCAUUGCUCUUGGGGUAUUGGAUAAGGGAGUAAAAAUAGAAAUAUAAUAUUAGAAAAUGUUGUUGAAAUCAUUGCCCUUAGGGCAAUGGUUAGCAAGACCCUAAAAUAUAUUAUUAUAAUAUACUAUUAUACAUAGAUGUAUUAACCAACUAUAACUUUAGUGUAAUGAGUAAUGUUUUGACUAUAAUAAUAGUAUUAUUAUUGAUUUUGAUUUUGAUUUGUGAGUAGUUGUAUCUUCCAUUGAUUUUUUAUUUAAGGUUGUACAAAUUAAAAAAAAAAAGGUAAAACUAUUUGGUCUCCUUCAUGUUCCUUUAGUUAUUUCUAUGUAUUUUAAAAGGAAAUGGUUUAUCCAAUCUAAUUUUUGGUAGAAGGAUAGUAUAUUUUUUUAUUUUUAAUUUUUUGUUUUGUUUAGUUUUGAUGUGGUUGGAAGUUGACCCCUUGUACUAACAUUUUUAGGUAUCCAUGAAGAGAUGUGUUUGAUUUGGUGAUUUUGCUUGAAGCGUAUACGGGGACAAAAUUGAGUUUUUGAUUAAAUAGUAAUUUUAGAAGUAAUUUUAAAGGAUAUUUACUUUAAGAAUUUUAAUUGAAUUAUGUUAAAAAAUUUGUAUAGAUUUUACUAAGAAUUUAUUAUUGAUGAUAAAAAAAAUUAGUAGUGUUUUUCUAAACAUGAAAAUGAAUUAGAAAUAAUGUCUUGGAUCAAAAUAUGGAACGUUACAUUUUUAGGUUAAAUUUGUGUUGUCUCAUUAUGCUUUUCCUUUGUUAGCAUAGUACACGACUUCGGUUGGUCCUACAUAAGUUAACCUAGAAACUUAGAACGAGUAGUAUCGUCGUGGCACAUUAAAUCAAUGAUCAUGAAAUAAAUUGUUGGAACAAAAUGUGUUUCACAAUAAACCUUAAUGAGUUUUGAUGAUAACAAGGUAUUAAAAAUUGUCAAUUGGUUAUUGCUAAUAAUUGUUCAAGUGUACAGGACCAUAGGCAAAGUCAAUCAAUCUCAAUAGGUCUUGGAAGAACAAUGGAGAGCAAAGGAAUCCAAAGCAUCUGAAGAAAACUGCGUCUGAAGCUAAGAAGUGCUUCUGAAGUAACAAAUGCCUCUGAAGUAAUGACGUCAUCAGAAGCAGAAGAGCAUCAGAAGCAAGAUUUCAUCAGAAGCUAUAUCAUCACCAGAAGCUACAAGUGAUCAGUAAAUUUUAAACUGAAGAUUCAAAUGAGCUGUUUUUCGUUUCAACCUCGUCUAAGAGAAUGAAGAAUUGAAAGGGAGGUAUCAACGGUCAUUUGAAAAGCACUGGGUACUUGUCCUUCGUUAUCAGAGUUGACAAAGUACAAGUGUACAACCACUACCUCCACUACUCUGUUUUUUUCUACGCUACAAGACAAGACAACAGCUCUGCCUGUAGAAAUGUUCCUUCAAGAUGGGAAUGAAUUUGAAGUUGAUCCUUCAAAGGACUACACCCAAAUCAGGCAAAAGAUUACUGGUGGAUGAUCAAAGGAACUCAACGACUCUUUAGACGUGCUAAAAAAUCUCAACGUCUCUUUCACACCUCUAUAUAAAGGAGUGGAGACUUGAAGAUUGGUAAGAGACAUUAACACAAGUUGAAAGCGCCAAAACUCUGCCAAAUUUGAUUCUACAAAGCACUUUGAAUUUCUGCACUGAUUUGAUACAUCUUAGAAAUUCUUAAGUCUAGAGUCUUUAUUGCAUUGUAUUGUGAACACCACUGAUUGUAUAUCAAGUGUUCAAAGUCAAACACUUUCUGUGUAUUUCUGUUUGAUUAGAAGCCUCUCGCCUGCGUGCUUGAGCAUUAGAAGACUCUUGCUUUAGUGCUUGAGCAUUGGAAGUCUCUCGCCUGCGUGCUUGAGAAUUUGAGAAGUCUCAUACUAAGAGAGUAUUGAGCAUUUGUAAUCUUUGAGAUUAUUAGUGAAAAUCUCCUUGGAAGUGCAAGGGGGACUGGACUACUUCCGGAUUGUGGAAGGAACCAGGAUAAUUGCUUGUGUCUUUCUUUCUUUUCUCUGCUCUGUUUUAUUCCGCUGCAUAUCUGAUUCUGAACAUUACAUCAGAAGCACUCCCAACUAGCUUCUGAAGUAAUACCAGAAGAAGAUUUUUUAAGAGAAAAAGAAAACACAAUUCAACCCCCCCCCCCCCCCCCCCGGGGUGUUGAAGGGUUUUUCUCACCUUCAUAAAUUGUUUAUUUCUCGAAAGGUAAAUUUCAUUCAAAAACGAAGGAAGGAUUAUAGGAACCCCUAAUCUCCGUUAGUCAUCUGAAUCUCGAAAACCUAAUCUCGCAUUGGGCAAGGCAAUUAAACUCUCCAACUCUAAUCAUCUUUUAUUAUUUUUCGUUUUAAAAUAAAUUUUGCUAAUUCUUGAGUUGAGCGAUAGUCUCUGUGGAAAACGAUACAACUUACUAUUUAAAAAAUGUUAGAUAGAGAUGAAAUAUUAUCAUAAAUAACAAAGCAUGAAACACUAUUGACUUCAACAAUCGUUUAGAACAUCUUUGAUGGUUUAACUUGUUUAAGGUUCUUUAGGUGACCUCUACAAUAUCGUGUCACUACUAAGCAACUCUCUGGUUUUUUUUAUUUUCAUUAUAGAACUCUAAAAACUAAACUUGAUGAAAGAAGUUUUUUGGAUGAUCAAUAUUAGAAAAUGUCUAAAUGGACUACAAAAAAGUUGAUAAUUUUAGAGUAAAGAGACACAUGUUUAAUUUUUUUUUUUUACAGGAACGUGUUUAACUUUUAAUUAGUUAUGUAAUGUGAUGAUAGAUCAUCUUACGUUGUUCUUAGCAUGUUUUUCACACAUUUUUAAUAGAGUUUUUAUCCACAAUAGAGGAGUAUUAGAACAAUUGCUUACGAUUUUGGAGCAUUUGUAAUGUUUUUUAUAUUCGAGUCAUGUAGUUGUAUUUUCCUGAAACAUAGAAACUUUAGGGUGUUUUGAUGUGAUUCACAAAGAAAUCGUACAAAUUGCAAAGCAAGACAUCUAAAGACUUGUAAAGACUUUGGGAAGAUCAUGAAUGAAGAUUCAAGAGGCAUCAGAAAACAUUACAAAUGGAGGAAUUAUGUUCUCAAGUCCCAUGACAUCUUACAUGGAACCAAUCACCCAAUAAGACGAAGAAACAUGCAUCUAGGCACGAGAGUGAACUCUCAUGUGCCCCGAGCAUGGGCUAGGCUCCCUGAGCAUGAAAAGCCUGACACUCAUGCGCCCCAGGUAUGAAGAAAAUCGGACGGAACUGUUUUUUGCUACUUUAGUGAAAAAAACUUAGUUUUUAAGCCUAACUUCAGGUGGAAACUCUCCCUAUAAAUACUGUAACAGCCCGAUUUUUAGCUAGAUUUAUUUUAUUUAUUUUAUUAUGUGUUUGUGUGUGUGAUUAAUCAUCAUGGGUGCAUUUUCAUGGAUUUUCGUAUUAGAAUGGUAUUUUGGUAAUUUUGUGAGAACGGGUAAAAUUAUAGUUUUGGGUGAGAAUUACUUUUAGUGUUUAGUGAGAGUGGUUAUUUCAUUAAGUUACUAGAGAAAGUCGAGAUUUUACCGUUAGUGACAUUUUACCGUUAUUAAUUAAAAUAUCGUUUGAAGUGUAGAAAUAUUUUGGUUUGGAUAGAAAUGGGUUAAGCCCACUAGAAACUAAGUUGAGCCCAUUAGUGGAGAUAACACUAGGGUUGUCUUAGAGAAAUUCAUUCAUUCACUUUCACAAGAUAUUUCUAGAGAGAGGUAGAGAGAGAAUGGGGUGAAGAGAAGAAAAAAGGGGUUUUGGAGAGAAGAGCUCGAGGAAUCAAGAUUUGGUGAGCUUAGGAGGUAAAGUGAAGCCUAAGUUGGGAUUAAUCUUUAUCUAAGGUAAGGGGGUUAGUCUUCAUCAUAAUCAUAAUUGUUUGUUUGCAAUUUUUCUUGGUUUGUAUGAAAAAGUGCUUAAUUGAGUGAGAAUUCAUAUGAACCCAAUCCCUAAUUUUCGUGCUCUUGUUUUGGUGAUAAGUUUGAGUAUGUUAAUUGAAUGAUAAAUGAAUUGUUGGUGAUGAAUUAACAUGUUCAUAAUGUAUGAAAAUGGAUUGUUGUGAAAUUAUGCUUAAUUGAUGACUUAUGACAUGUUGUUGUUGAAUUGGGGUGUGAAUCAAGUUUCAAUUGAUGUUGUUGUUGCUGAGAUAUGUUGUUGAUUAUGAAUUAUGGCUUGGGUGUUCAUAUAUCAUGAUUGUUGUUGAGAAAAUGAGUUGUUGUUGGUGGUUUUGUAAAAUGGGUUGAUAGAGAAGAAGUUUGAUUUUGAUGAUGUUGAAUGAGAUAAGGAAGUUGUUAGAAUGAGUUAGGAUGGUAUGAUUUUCUGUUUUAAUCACUUGGUUUUGGAGAGAAAUCGUUUUGGGAAGAAAACGGGUUUUUAAGUAAAAGUGGUUUUUAAGUGCUUUUGCAAAAUAAGUCAUUUUGGAAUGAGUUUGAUUAAGUUGUUUUAAUGUUUAAAUGUCAAGUUUUCAAGUGUGGUUUGUAUGGUCUAAGUGUUAGGAAUACAUUGGCGAAAACGGAACUGAAAUCGGAUUCGAAAACAAGAUUUUAUGCGCAAAAACGUAAAAAUGCAUUUUGCUGUACUGGUGAGGUGACACGACCGUGCGUCUAGAUGACACGACCGUGUCAGUUUCUCCUGUAAAGGGAGCACGACCGUGCUUCCUGAUGGCACGACCGUGUCAGUUAUGCAGAAUUCUGAAACCUCGUUUUUUCGUGUUUUUGUGUACUUUUAAGCAUGCCAAUGGAUUCCAAACUCGUAACCUUAUUCAAUCAAUUUAUAAUUAAGCUUCUAAGAGUAUCAUAGCUUGAUCCUAACUUGGUUUUUGUUUUGAAAAUGAAUUGGUUUUGCAAUAUGGAAGAAAUGAUAUGGAACUUGUAAUUUUGGGAAAUGUCGGAUUUUGUCAAAAUGAACUUUUGUGAACUAAAUAGGAUUACAAGUUAAACCUACAACUCUUAUAGACUUAGGUAAGACUUGUAUGGUUGGUCAAACAUCUUAAUCAUGUCAAAAAUGAUAUUUCGGGUGGGAAUGUGAAAGAUUGUGAAAUUGGGUUUUCUCAUACGAACUUAAGCUAUUCUUUGAACUGAUGUCUAAUAGUUUGUAAGUGGCUUAAGCUCAUGACUACAUGAUUGAUUAAGAUUGUUUGAGAGCUUUCAAUUUGUCUAAGUUGCUUUGUCUUGGGAAUUAUCAAUGUUGGCCAUUUGCCACUUGAUACGGCUUUUGUCGGAAAUGUUUCAUUUGAACCAAUUUUCUUAUAAUCUAUCGUGACUAUCCUUAUAUGACUAAGUGAAGAUGUGUGAAUGAAUGAUCGUAUUGGAUAUGAUGUUUACCAUGAGAUGUGUAUGCUAUCUUACUUAGAAUGUAAGGAAUGCUUGAAUGGUGAAACUGUAUGUGAUAGUUGAUGUUGAAUGAUUAUAUGUUGGAUAUGAUAUUUGUCAUGAGAUGUUGUAUGUUCUCUUCCUUGGAAUAUGAGAAUUGUUUGAAAUGGUGAAACUAUAUGUGAUAGUUGAUGUUGGAUGACAUUGUUGAUUAUUAAUAAUCAUGUUGAGGUGUGAUGGUGAAUACUAUGAUUUGAUUGUGUAUGGGCAUGUUUUCUUGAUAAUGCAAUGUUGUGGAGAUAAUCAAUAUAAUUGGGUGUUGUCCUGUAUAUUGAGGUUGAGAUUGUGAAUUGUUGUCGCAUUAUCGAGUCCUUAUACAUGUCCAUGCAUCAUAGUCGAUGUUGCUGUAAAAGGGUUGAGCUCUUUUACUUCGAGAUUAUUGUAAGGCAGGUGUGAGCCUUACAUACGAUGUGCAAGUGGCAUCGAAAGGUGACGACCUUGUUGAGAUUUGGUACCACAUGCAUUUAUGUGUCAAUAAGUGCAUAUCAUGACAUGAGUCUUAAAUGAUGUAUGUGAUUGAUGAUUGUCCUUGAUACUUGUGUUGAUGAUUGUACGUGAUACAUGUGAAUGAUGUUUGCUCAUGAAAUGUAAUUGGUGAAUGUUCAUGGCUUAUGAUUGGUGAUUGUUCAUGAUGUAUAUGAUUGGUGAUUGUGUAUGAAUAACUGUUAAUUGAUAUUGUUCAUGAUACAUGUAAUUGGUAUUGUUCAUGAAAUGUGAUUAAUGAUUAUUCAUGAUAAAUGUGAUUGGUGAUUGUGAAUGAAUAUUUGUAAAUUGAUAAUUGUUCAUAUGAUUGAUGAAUAUUGAUGUGAGAUAUCGGGGUGUGAUGUAAGUAUUAAUGUGUGAUUAUUAUUGAUCAAUUGCAUGAUGUUUAAAUUGAAAUAUCCAUGUUAACUGUUAUUUGAAUUAUGAUAAUGUAAUACUUACCCCCAGUGGAUCUGUUAUGGACCGCCUGCCUAUCUGUAUGGAUGGGUAGACGUUGUGCAGGUUUAGAUGCUUGGUGCAUAUCGCGAGCUUUCUCCGAUAUCGGUGUUUAGAUGUUUAGUCGGAUCUGAUCUAGGCUUAGUGGUGUCGGUCUAGAUUAUCUUUUACUUUGGUUUUUGUUAUGUUUGGAGAUGACCCGUUUGUUGGGAUUUUUGAUGCAUCUAUGUUGAUGUAAUUUAUUGAUUCAUAACAUGUAUACUUGGAUUUACUCUGGUUUAUAUUCCGCUGCGACUGUUGAGGUUUAUAUACAUGUUUAUUGGUUUUUGAAUUUUGAAUGUGACGUAGCCUCUAUUUCUUGAAUAAAUGUAUUAUUCGCAUGUUUAAUUGCUUUAAUAGAAGUAGGGUGUUACAAAUACUACUACUACUCUCGUUCGUAGUUUAUCGUUCAGAACAAAGUGGUUCAAGAGGAAGUCAAGCACUUGGAGCUCUUAGGGAGGAGUUUCUCUCCUCACUUCGAGUCUCUAGUGUAUGUUUUAUUUCUUUUGUAAUUUGUGUUUAAUUACCAUAAGUAACCAAGUCUUUUUAGGCUAGGGUUAUAAGUUGAAUCCAUAAUCUGUUUGUUGGAUGUUUUAUUUAACUUAAAGUCUUUAUUCAGUUAUUUUCCGAAUCCUAUUUAAUUUUACUGUCAUGCGUAAGGUUUGUCUCCCCUAGAGCGAACCACCAUGAGAUAUAGCUACUUAGGGAGGUGACAUAACUAAUAUUGGUGAAUACUUGCCUAAAUCAAGAAGUAACUAAGAUAACAAAUACAAUAGUUAGCGAAACACAAUGACUUCAUGACUUAAAUUAGCCCAAUAACUUCACUCUUCUUUCUUCCUUGAUAAGGUAGACGAAAUAUGGCUACCCGUUUGAAGAACUAUCCAGAGGGAGAAUAUGCUGAUGUCCUUCUAAGAUUCAAUAGACGAUGGCACCUUUAGGACACUGGGAAUUUAGGAACGAUAAUAUCUCUUAUUGAUUCAAAUACCUUUGAGAAAGUAAGAACAUGCACGUACCUCUACUCGCGUAAGUGUAUCUCCCUAUAGGACUGACAACCUUAAACACUGAAACCUGUAGAAACUCUGGUGGAAGGUUGCAACCGACAGCUGGAGGGAAAUGAACCCAUACCACCGAGAGGGUAAGACCCCACAUGUACGUACCCGUGUGAUCAGCAGGUGUAACUUGACAGCUGGUAGGUAGUAAAACCUCACGAACUCAUUGGUUUUAUUUUUUUUAAGGAAACUGUUAACGAGUGCCCCGGGGACACUCUUUAAGCACUUUAAAUAACAAAUUUUUAAUGAAAAAUUGUGUAUUAAAUACAUUGAAAAUUGUAUCAGUUGACUUUUCAAAAGAAUAAUUACUAAUUUUAUGAUGCUUAAAGAGUGCCCCGAUGACACUCGUUAACAAGACUUCAUCUUAUAAUUAUGGGUUAUGCUGACAAGUGCUCAUAGGGCACUAGUUAAAGAUUCAAUAAAAAAAACAAUUGUUAAAUUUUAUAUAAAAAAAUUACUUUUUGUAUUUCAAUAAGUCAAAUACACAAUUCCCUAUAAUUAUUAAUGCUUUUUUUUUCCCUACAAUUUACUACUACUCACAAUAUGUAAUGUUAUUGAUGCAUAAAGUAAUUUUGGUUUAUUUUUAUCGUAUCAAGAUUUUGUUUAUGGAUAUUCAUGUCAAUUUUGUUAUAAUCUAUUUAUGUCACUUUAUAAAUACAUAUAUUUCUUUUUAAUAGUUAUCUUUUUUUAUUAUAUCAUCAUGAAAUAAAAAUUUAUUUACAUUUGUCUUUAGGGAUCUUUCUUUAUCAAUCAAACAAAGUAUAAACAGGGUAUAGACUAAUUUGUCUUGAUUUACUUUUCUCUAAGAUGAAAAGUUAUUUUUAUUUUUUUAGGGACUAAAUUGGACGUGAAUUUUCUCAUAACUAAAAUGAGUUUUCACAAUAUAUAUUAAAAUAUAUAUUUAUUCCUACAAAAUAUUUAUGAUAUGGAGUGAUCAUAUAGGUUGGCCUCGACGUGAGCAAUUCGUCAAGAUGGAAAGUGAGGGUAACUACAAACACUCGGAUGAUUAAAUCACUACGAGAGCAAAAGUGGGAGGUAUUGAAAGAAUAAAAGUUAUGUAUCUUAUGUAGUGGUCUAAGAUCUAUUUACACAAUCGAGGAAAUAACCAUUGAGGGUCGGUUACAAACGACGAAUGGUUAGACUGUAUUUUCAACACACAUGAUUCGACAAGGAAAAGAUAUGUCGAGUUGGGGUUAGUGAGUGCACGUUCCAAAAAGUGUUAGAAUCGAUAGAUCACGUAAGUACUUAGCAUAUUGGAAAUUGCCAAGUCAUUUAGCUUCGACAGAAGAAAUUCAUAUUGCUUAUGAAGAGGCAAGAUCAAAAGGUCGAGGACACAUGGGAGCGUAUCAAGACAUGUAUCGAAAGCAUUUAGUUUGUGACCGUCAUUUUCAGUUAUUUUCUUACUUAGUAUAUAUAGUAAUUUUGUGCAGGAAAUAGGUGUCACAAAAUCAUUUAUGCAAUUAUGAAAUUCUAAAACUAUCCAUAAUCCAUGUUAAAACGAGUGUAUCCAGAGAAAUGUAUGAUUAUGUGCACCAACUUUCUACAUUUAUCUAAUCAAAUGUUGUUUAUUUAAAGAUUACUUGCAUUUGUCUUUAAAUUUUCUCUUGCUUUUAAACUUAUUUCGAUCUAGUUGAAUUAAACGGUUAUCUUCAUUUUUUUUAAACUUACAAACAACGAUGAACAUUCAAACUUUUUUGAGAAACUAUUGCACAAAUAUGUCUUAUGAUUUUUAAUUUGAUCAUGCAAGCAAUUAAUCUAAAACUAGUGAUUGUUUACCAAAAACACAGGUAAAAACACAAACAUCAACGAGUGAAACCGUUGUAGCAAAUUCAUGUUCAAAGGCACAGAUGUGCAGGGAUCUAUGCCUUCUAAUCGGGUAUUAGGCCAAAGCGGUGGAACAUGGUGGUGUCUUCAUAUGAUUGGACCUUGGUGUUUGGGUUUUGAAGAGAACCAAAUAAGAAGAUUUCAUGCGGUUACAGUAGGAUGUUGUAAUUAAAUAUUAGCCGUUUGAUCAAAAUUAUAUGAUAAAAAUUGUUUUAAUUAAAAAGACACAAUUUUCAUUCUUAACCGUUUGAUUUAAGAUGAACGACCAAAAUCGAAAAUUGUGUACAUUUAUUACAACAGCAAAUUUGUAUCUAAACCCAAAUCCUUCCGAGCUCUUCAAAAUUCAACUUGCAAUUGUUGUUAUCCUAUAGUUGAAUUGAAUGCAGUUGGUGGGCACCGGGGGAUAGGGACAGGGAUCGAGAAGAGAGGAGAAGAUGAAGCAUGGACGAAGACAAGUACAAACCCAUCCAUUUCUCGACCGUAUCAAGCUAAUGGAGACAACAAAUAGCAUGGAAUAUUGGUGGCCACACACCACACACACAUACUGGUAAGUGUUUAGUUUUGAGUUAUCCCCACUCCUCAUCUUCUGUCGCUAUCUUAUUCAAAUUUUAUGUCGCUAUGUACGCCAUUUGUCAAUUUCCCAACAUUUUUACAAGGGACAUAGGCAGAUGACUAUAGCAGCUUCCUUCCUUCCUUCUACACGUGACCAUUAUGAUGAAUCAGUAAAUAGCAGCAGGAGCUAUACACCUAAUAAUAGUACAAACAAAAAAAGUAAUGGAAAAGAAAAUGUGCCCUUUUUUUUUUUUCUCAUUAAAACAAAGGAGUAAUUAAUUUGUUUGGCUUGUAACGAGUUUUUGGUAAGGGAGAAGGAAAGUCCUACCAAAUCCAAAUGAUACUAUUCAAUAUAUAUCAAACAAAAUGAAAGCACUGUUCUGUUGUGCUGCGGUGACUUUUAUUAAUUACCGAACAAGGUGACAUGAUAAUGAUUUAUAAAGAAAAGUCCUAGCGGAAACGGAAGGAUAUCCUAAGAAUAGUAAUAUACUUUAUUUUUUAUUAUUAAAAAAAAAAAAAAGGUUUAUUUUGAUUUACUAGUACUAUUUGUAUAUCUAUAACUAUAAGGUGGGCAUAAGAGGAGAGUGAAAGUGAAAGUGAAAGAUGCAGGGUGAGGAUGAUGAACCUCUGACCCCAGCGGGGAGGUUGUUCCUACAACCAGAGAUGAACCAAAUAAUCCACUGUGUCAUAGGGUUGAAGAAACCAAUCGAUGUUGAUUCAGUAAAAACCCAAAUCCAAAACUCAGUUAUGCUCCAACAUCCAAGGUUCACUAGCCUCAUGGUUCGUGACCAUCGAGGUGUUGAACACUGGCGUCCAAUCAAAAUUGACCUCGACCGCCACAUCUUUAUCAUCAACAACGAAUCAGUCUCCGAGGAUAAGGAUGAUGAAUCAGCAAUCAGUGAGUAUAUGUCUGAUUUAUGCACAGAAUCAAAACUGAGCAUGGAUAAGCCACUUUGGGAGAUGCAUAUUCUGAGAGCACACAAGUGUAUUAUAUUUAGAAUUCAUCAUUCACUUGGAGAUGGAAUAUCACUCAUGUCGAUGCUCCUUGCUGGUUGUAGGAAGUUGCAAGAUCCAAACUCUCUUCCAACCAUAUCUCUUCCAAAAUAACAACAACACAAUCUCAAAGAAGAAAUUUAUGGAGUAUCCUGAUUGCUCUGUAUUUUUCAUUUAUAUAUGUCAUCCAAUUCAUUCUGAGGGUUCUAUGGAUUCGUGACCGUAAAACCGCUAUAACAGGCGGAGAAGGGGUUGACCUUUGGCCCAGGAAGAUAGCAACUGCUACUUUUUCAUUGGAACACAUGAAGACUGUCAAGAACGCUGUUCCUAACGCGGUACAGUAACUAAUUCAUUCCUCUUUCAAUUCAUAAAUCACUUUCCACUUCAAAAUUAUUACUUAUAUUACUAGUCUUUUCUCGCGUCAAUUUUAGAAAUGACUAUACACAUGUCCAAAUCAAACUAGUUCACUUGAUACAAAAUCUUAGUUUCGAUUCUUCCCGUUCCCAAUAUCAAUUUCUAUGGUUAGUUUGGUUUUUUCAAAUUUUAAGUCCGAUCUCUAUGACAUAAAUGUUACUAUAUUCCAAUGGCGUGAAAAAAAAGAAAAAAAAAACCUCUUCAUGAACAUAUUUAUCAUAUACAUAUUUAAGUCAACAUAAAUAUUAAACUAUGCGUGUGUUGUGGCCCACAUUUAGGUGAUACACAUUGGUCUAUGUUUUUAGACUAUUAAUAAUAAUUGAUUAGUUAAACUAACAAGCUCGUGGGUAGGUAGGUGUCUUUCAUGAUUGAAUUAGGUUAGUUUAUUCCAAAAAAAGAAAAACAUCCUAUCCAAUUUCUUUUAGUUUUGUUGUUCGGCUAUUGCAUUGCCAUUGGUUUGAUUGAAAAUAAACAUAGUGCAUAUUUGAUUUUGCUCAAAUAAAUAUUGAUUUUACUCAAAUGUGACAUAGGUUCAACAAUAAAUUUCACUGCAAGAAUCACAUUUAGACUUGAAAACUACAAAUACCAAUUUAAAGGUAAAAUAAAUUCCGAAGACAAAAUCAAAUUUAUUUGAAAAUAACCCAACAUAUCAAAAUCGAUUUUACACACAGACUCGAUUAUUUGGCUGCUCGCAAGAGUGGAACCAAACAUAGCCAUAGUGUGUCCAGACUUCCAAUCCAAUUUAAUUUGAUUAUGUACAUCCAUUUGUUUUAUUUAUUUAUUUAUUUACGACACCCUUUUUUUGUUUAUUUCUUUCACUCUAAAUAUACACGGAGGAAUUAUGGAAUCAAAUUGGGUUCAGUUUCUGUUUUUUUCGAUUCAAAUAGUUGUCAACUUAUCAUUCAAUAAAUUAUGUAGUAAUUGGUAGGUCUUGCUAAAUUACUAACAUGCCUUUGGUUUGUUGGGUUGCACUUAAUCUGGAUGAAAACAACGUGUUAAUGGAAGACAAGAUACAACCUUGUAUUUGCAGUAUUAAUGUGUUGUUCACCACUCAAAGUACUAAUGUGACAGGAAAAGUGAAUGAUAAACUUAAAAUUUAUGAACAUUAAUUACAGGCCACAUUGACGUGUGAACAUACUGAUAAAAUAAUUUUUGAAAACUUAUUUUCCUGUGAUUAUUAAUUUUUGUUUUUGAUCUGCAGACCAUAAACGACGUUCUAUUUGCAGUUAUAUCAUCUGGAAUAUCAAGAUACCUGGACUUCAGAGAACCUAAUGGUAAACACAUUUGAAUAAACAUAAUUCCCACACAUAUACGAAAACCAAUUACGACUGAUUAAGUGUAUGUUUGGUUCUGUGUUGACAAAAAUUGAUUGAGUGAAUUGAUUAUGUAAUAUUGAUUCUGACUAGAAGUGAGUUGAAGGUAAAAUGAUUCAUGUUUGGAUACAUCUAUGUAAAAGUGAGUUAAACAAUACAUUUGAGUAGAAUCAAAAUAUUCAAUUUCAAGCUUGAAGUAGAAUAAAUUUUGGAGGCAAAAUCACUUUUAUUCCAGAGCAACCAAACACGCAAGAAUUGAAAUCAAACAUACACUAAAUGUUUCUUUGUUGUGCUUUAAGGGCUGCAAGAUGGUGUUCAGCUAACAGGAUUAGCUAUGGUCAACUUGAGGAAGCAGCCAGGAUUGCAGGUAGUCCACUCUCCCCAAAAUUUAGUUCUACAUUGGGUAACAGGAGGAGUAUUAUAUUGAUUUAUGUUUGAUAAGAAUGAGCAUUACUUGCAUCAGGAACUGUCCAAUUUGAUGAAAAGCAAUUCAGGGGCAAAAUGGGGCAACAAAUUUGGUUUGUUCCUACUGCCUAUAUAUUAUCAUAGAAGCAACAGUUCAGAUCCUUUAGAAUAUUUGAAGAGAGCUAAAGUAAUGAUUGACAGAAAGAAACGAUCUUUGGAAGCCCAUUUGUCAUACAAAAUUGGAGAUUUAGUAAUGUCAACUCUUGGUCCAAAGGUGCUUUAAUUUCUUUCUUUCUCCCCUUAUUAUUUCUGUAUAAGCUUAUGGUGUGUGUGAAGUAUUUAUAAAUAUUAUAUAAUUAUUUAAAAAUUGCAGUUUGCUAGCUUGCUAAAUUAUCGAAUACUCUGCAACACUACCUUUACAAUCUCAAAUGUGGUUGGCCCUCAAGAGGAGAUUAUGAUUGGAGGCAAUCCUAUAACGUUCUUAAGGGCAAAUAAUUCUGCCUUGCCUCAUGUACAACCCCUUAACUCACUCUUUUGUUUCUUUACAGCAUAGAGAAUUUUAUUAUUUCUACCUUUUCGUUGAGUAUAAAUAUAAUGGAAGGUUCAUGGCCGGUGGUUGUUAUUGUUAUUCCAGGCACUUGUUUUGAAUAUGGUGAGUUAUGCUGGAAAGGCCGACAUGCAAGUGCAGGUGGCUAAAGACAUCAUUCCUGAUCCUGAAUUUCUUGCCAAGUGCUUUGAAGAUGCAUUACUUGAAAUGAAGGAGCAGGUUACAACCAAAAUCUGACAUUAAUUUGGAAAAUUGUAUUCAUUGGAUGUGGGGCAACAAAUUUAACAUUGCAAUGACUAUUAAUUGAUGAAUUAGUGGUGGUAAUAAAUUUGUCAAAAAGUUGAAUUAGUUUUUCCAAAGGUAUUUUAAAUAGGAGUACAUCUUGUAAAUCAUUAAUGUAUGUUGAAUUUUGAAAAAUGUCGAGUAUUAAAGGAUAAAGGAAAAUAUAAUCAAGUGAUGCACUCAAAUGGUUAACGAGCUCCACCAAAGAACAUAUCGUUUGGGAGAAUCUGAAUUCAAUUUAUAGGUGGAACAAUUCUUGACCGUACUAUAUUCUUAUCUCAUAAUCAAACUCCGAAUUACUAUAAUCCCUUAUAAUUAAGGAUGAAGGGAGUACGUCGGGAUAAUAUUUUCUAUUUUAAAUGUUAUAAAUGGACUAAUUUGUGAUCAAUCCAUUACCACCUUUCAUAGUUUUUAGGGUUAAAUAUGUUUUUGGUCCCUACAUUUUGCCCUCCUUUAAUAAAUAGUCCUUACAUUUCAAUAAAUGUUUUUAAAAUCCCUACAUUUUUCCUCCGAUAGCACAAAUAGUCUCUGCUGUCAAAUAAUUAACGAGAAGCUGACGUGGCAGCUAGUGGAUCCCAUUUUUUUUAAGGGUUAAAUAUGUUUUUGGUCCUUAGAUUUUGCGUGACUUUAAAGAAUAGUCCUUACAUUUCAAUAAAUGUUUUUAAAAUCCCUACAUUUCUCCACCGCUAACAAAAUUGGUCCAUGUCGUCCAUUUUCCUUGAUCGGACAAAUGGAACAUGCCACAUAGAUGCCACCAAGGACAUUUUAGUAAUUUCCAAUAAAGUGCAGGGACAUAAUUGAUUUUUUAGCUGAACCUUCUCUCUCAUCUUCAUCCUCUCUCCGUGUUCUCUCUAUUUCUCCCCAACCACCAUCAGCCUCACACACCCAUCCUCAACCACCACUGUCCUCUCCACCAUCAAUUUGCUCAGAUAUGUUCUCUCUCUUGUCACUGCCAGCUGCAUCCUCUUCUCCCUCACGUUGUCAGGGAACCAUUCAAAUUGCAAGUGACAAUGACGGACCAGAUCGGAGUUAAAGUUGGAAUUUUUGUGAGUAAAGACUUGCUAAAGGUGAAUUAGGCCCCUUCACUUUAUUGAAAAUUACUAAAAUGUCCUUGAUGGCAUCUAUGUGGCAUUUUCCGUUUGUCCGGUCAAUGAAAAUAGACGACGGGGACCAAUUUUGUUAACGGUGGAGAAAUGUAGGGAUUUUAAAAACAUUUAUUGAAAUGCAAGGACUAUUCUUCAAAGUCACGCAAAAUAUAAGGACCAAAAACAUAUAACCCUUAAAAAAAAAAUGGGAUCCACUAGCUUCCAUGUCAGCUUCUCGUUAAUUAUUUGACAGCAGAGACUAUUUGUGCUAACGGAGGAAAAAUGUAAGGAUUUUAAAAACAUUUAUUGAAAUGUAAGGACUAUUUGUCAAAGAAGGGCAAAAUGUAGGGACCAAAAACAUAUUUAACCCUAGUUUUUAAUCAUUUAUAAUAAGAGUUCAUCUUUGCUCCAUUUAGCUUUCCUCAAUUUACCCCAUUUCAAGUUAUAGAUGCGUGACAUAUGGAAAAAAUAAAAUAAAUGGUUGAGAUUAAAACUUUAGAAAAAACAAACUUGUUCCUCUCUUGUAUCUGAAACAACACAUCAGACUUCUUUCUUUUUUUUCUCUCCACUUAUUUUACUUUAAUUAAAGUCAUAAAUAAGGUAAUUAAUUAAAAUAAAAUAAAAAUUGUAUUUAAUAGCCCGUCAAAUUUCCUUCUCCAUUUCAUAUUUACAUUUCUAUAUCUUUUUCAUUUCUUAACAAAUCUUUUUCUUCUUGUAGUUUUUACUCAAACCAAUUUUUCUUUCCGUAAAUUUUUUGUGAAUCAUAUUUUUUUUUUCAAACCAAUUCACGGAAGCCUAUGCAUAAUUAGCAACAUUUUCAAUUAAAAUAAAAUCUAAAAUAAAUUAGCAAUUCCAAAGAUAAAACAUAAUCAAUUAAAAUAUCAAAUACAACCUCUGAAAAAAAAAUAUCAAAUUCAAAAUCAUCAAAUGUGUAAAAAGUGACAAAAUAUUCUUUAAAACAAAAUAGGAUUUCAUGCUUGUAUCACAAAAUAGGAAAUUUUAUAGAGUAUUGAAUACACAUUUUUCUUCUUUUAAUUAAUUGUUUUAUUUAUCAUUUUAAUCAAAGUAAAAUAAAUGAAAUUUGUUCAUUUAAUGCUCUUUAACCAGUGGUGGCACUGUAUAGCAUUACCCUUAUUCUUUUUAUGAUUUACCUAAAAGAAGGUAAUGCUUACCACAAUAAUGACUUUUUAAUUCUAGAUCUGACUUUUUUUUUUUUUUUUGUCUUUUUGUAGAUCUGAAAAAUUGAUAUAAUAGUAAUAAUGCUCACUUCAAUAACAAAUUAAAAAGUAUCUUUAUCUUGUAUAUUUUUUUGGCAGUAAAUAUUUUUUUUGUCAAGAGUAACAAUGCUACUAUAUCCCAGAAUAUUUUUUAUAAGCUUUUUAUAAAGAGGAUAUGUUUUAUCUAUUUGUUUUUUACUUCUUAUUUUACUCAAGAAAGUAUAUGUACAUGAAUGUUACGUUGAAUUUGUUUGUUUAAUGAUCUAGUCUUUUUUGUAGACAUAAGUAAUUUUUUUGAAACAAAAAAUAUUAACUUAUACUGUUUUAUGAUUUGGUCUUUUCUCUGAUUUAUUUGUCCAUCUUUUUCUUUAUUUUGUUCUCUUGUUUUCUAGCAUCAAUGAUACUUUUAUACAAAUAGGAAUCAUAGAUAUAUAUUAUAGUAUUUUUUUUUAGGCUAAACUACAGUUUUGACACUCUAAAUUUGCCAAUGUUGCAAUUUUGACCCCCUAAUAAAAAAAAUGAAUAUUUUGCCCCCUAUAUUUUAGCCCCUUUGCAAAAGUGACAUUUUGGUCAAUUUUGACCAAGUCAACGCCUAAGUGGCAUGCCACCUGUGUAAUUACUAAAUUAAAAAAAAUAAAAAAUCCACAUAAUCAUUUUCUAAAUUAAAUAAAUUGAAAAAUUAAAAAAAUAGAAAAGAUAAAAAAAAACCAAUAGUUCAUCCUCAACUCUUCAACACUCACAAAAUUGAUCCAAAUCCAGAUAAAUCAUCAACAAUAAAUUUUUUGAAACUAUGCUAUAACAACUACUGCUACUGUUACAAAGAAGAGAGAAGAUGAAGCAACAGUGGCUAUGGCGGAAAGUCAAACAAGAAAGGCUCAGCAGAAUACAUCUACGACGAUUUCAUGGCUCAUCAAAUUUUUUUGGAAGGAAUGUUUCAUCUCCCUUCUUUCACUAUUUCGUGGAUCUCUCAAAAUUCAUUCUCCAUUUCAAAGAUUCCCUCUUUCACAUGGAACCGAUUCAAUCCAACGAAUUUCACAAUGACCGACAAACCCUAAUCUCAAAGCAACAAGAAGAUUCAGUAAUGGAAGAUUCAAUCGAUUCUUUGUUCGAUUCCACACAUUUAAAUUUACACAGGUCCAUUUUUUCUUAGAGUUUACAUAUCUUCUUCAUCUAUAUCGUGUUCUUCAGCAAAACCAUGGAUAAAGGGUUUGUGAAUCUAAGGGUUUGAAUCUAGAGAUUUUCUGGGUUUUUUUCUUAAUCUUCAUGAUUUGAAAGUUGUGAAUCGAUAGAGAAGAUGAUAAGAAGCUGAAAAGAAAAACUGGAAUUUACAAGAAUUUGAAGCUUUGAUGAAAGUGAUAAAUGUAACGCCUACUUUCGUUUAAUUAAUUAUUUAAUCGAGUUAGAUUUGAAAAUAAAAUAAAAUAUUUAGUUGAGGGCUGUUUUGAGAUUUUAGAGAGUUUUGGGGGAGAAAGUGAGAUAAGAUAAGAUAUUAGGAAGAGAUAUAAAAAGAGAAAACCUAGUCUUAGAAAAAUUAGUACGUACGAUCAAACUUUGGAAAAAGGAGGAAAAAGCCAUAGAAGGGAGAAGACCAAGAGGAGAACUGCGAUUUUCAUCUAACAAGGUAAGGGUGAGACUAAUGAUUCAAUAAUGUUGAUUAGUAUAAUUCUGAUGAUUAAUUAUCAAGAAUUAGGAUUGAAUUGGAGGAAUCGAAAACAAGGUCAAAUCCCUAAAAUUGAUGAUCAAACGGUAGAAAUUGAUUAUGAUUAGAUUGUUGUAGAAACUGUCCUUUGACCUUAGAAUAUGUUUAGGAUGAAUUCUGGAAUCGAAAUUAGGCUUUAAAACAUGAGUUUAGAUGAAUUUUUGAAGAAAACUGCAUUCUGCCCGAGCCAACAUUCAUCGCUCGCCCUGACGAACGAUGAUCCUCGCCUCGCGAGUGAUAAAGUUCAUCGCUCGCCACGCGAGCCAAUACCCCUCGCCUCGCACAUGUCGUAGCUCGCCACAACGAGCAACCUUACUCGCCAUAGCGAGCAUGACCAAAGAGCUUGUCGAAUUUUGUGAUUUUGACUUUUGAGUUGAACCUUAGAUAGAUGCCUUUGAGUACCCUUAGAUGUUUAAUAAAGAUUAGAGGAUGUUUUAGAACAAGAUUGAACCUGGAACAACCGUAGUUGGAAACCUGGCCUGUACUCGCCAUGGCGAGCAGAUGCUCUCGCCUCGCGAGCACUUCCAGAAUUGAGUGCUUUUGUUAAUGUCGUAACCUGAGUUGUUUGGAUUGGUUAGGAAUGGAACCUUAGGUAGUAAUAUGACCUAUGUGAGAUGUUAACUGAGAUCUGUGAGGCUGUUAUGAAUUGUUAAGCUGUUGUAAUGUGAUUUAAAGAUUAAAUGCAUUACUUGAAUUAUUCUUGAAUAACUUUGAUGUUGUUGAAAAUGAAUUGUUGUGAUGAAAUUAUAAUGUUGUUGUGAUCUGAUUAUGCUGCUGCUGUUAUUUAACUAAGUUGCAUGAGUCAUUAUAAGAUAAAUAAGACGUUGAGCUCCAAAUUAUUGGAUGCAUAUUGAGAUGUUGAUUAAGAUUGUUUUAGAUUGAUUGAGUCCAUGCAUUAGCAAUGAUAUGUUGGGGGCUCAUGCCCUGGAGCUUAGUCCUCACCACGAUGGAGCAUUUGCUCAAAUAAAUGUUGGGGGCUUAUGCCCUGAAAGUAUAUUAAUACUAAACUAUUGGGGGCUCAUGCCCUGAUUGGUACCACAUGCAUAUAAGAGGUUUAGAUUUGCAUUGUCGCAUUUGUCGAGUCAAAAGAUGUUAUGUUAUUGAUGAUGAUUGAAAUGAUGUGAUUACUUGAUAAUUGUUUAUUGAAGAUGCAAUGAUGCUUAAGAUUGUUUAUGUUGUUAAUUAUGAUUUGAAAUUAUAUUGAUUUAUAUUAUUGUGUUAUGAAAUCUCACCCCUUCUGCUUGAAAAUGUUGCUCUUCGUAUGAGUAACUUGCAGGUGAUCGAGCUUAGUGUGCAGAUUGCUGUCGUGGGUGGCCUUGCCUCAUUGUGUCGUCUAGGUCGCUCUGAUACGUAACAGGAUGGGGUUAUAUGAUAUGCAUGCUUCAUUCUGUUACGUGAAUAAUUAUGUUAUUUUAUGAUAUUGAUUAACUCAUUUGAGAAAUUUUGAUGGGGCCUACGUGCCAAAAUGAUUUAUGGAUUUCGAAUUAAUUUUCCGCUGCAAUGUUUAAGAUAUUUGGUUGAAAGUUAAAUUGUUAUUUAACUGAUUUUGGAUUAUGUUUGAAUGUGAUAUCCCGUUUACGAUGUUUACUCUGAUUAAUGUUUAAAAAUUUUAAUAUUGGGAAUACGGGGUGUUACAAUAAAAGUGGAACGAAUCUGAGGGUUUUUUUUUUUUUUUGGUUACGAGGGUUUGGUUUUUCAAUGUAGAUGAACCACAUUUUUUUUCUUCUUUUUUUCCUUUUCUAUUUUUUUUUUAAUUUUUCAAUUUCUUUUUUAAUUAUUUAAUUUAGAAAAUGAUUAUGUAGAUUUUUAAUUUUUUUUUAAUUCAGUAUUUACACAUGUGGCAUGCCACAUAAGCGUUGACUGGGUUAAAAUUGACCAAAAUGUCACUUUUGCAAAGGGGCUAAAAUAUAGGGGGCAAAAUAUUCAUUUUUUUAUUAGGGGGCCAAAAUCGCAACAUUGGCAAACUUAAGAGGUCAAAACUGUAGUUUAGCCUUUUUUUUUAAAAGAAAGCCAAAAUUUAUGAAUCUACGUAAAAUAAAAUCAUUGAGUUUAUAUAAAAAAUAAAGUAAAUCUAUUUGUAGAGUGGAGUUGUAGUGGUGAGUGUCUCCAUGUUAUUUCCUGUUACUUUCUCGAAUAAGAUUGGUGUUUUCAUUUUUUUUUCUUCAUCAAUAUUACAUAAACAUGUUAAAAAUGAAAUGAGGAAAAAAAAAGAAAAAAUAUGUUGAUAUUGAUUAGCUAUUAGCUAGUUGUAGAAUAUAAUAUAUGUAUAUUAUUUCUUAUGCAUUCAUGUAGAAUCUUGCAUAAAAAGGAGUUUCAUUUUUCAUGUUAUAGUUUGUAAGAGAUUUGAUAUGAAAGGAAAAAUAAAAUAAAGACAAUGCACAAUCAAAAAAUGAGUUCAUUAUCAUCUUCUUAUACCUUUGUGAAGAUAAGAGGAGUUUCAUUUUCUUUCAUGUGUUGUUCAAGAUUUUUUUUGUGAAACAAUGAUGAAAAAUAAAAGAGAAAUGAUAUUUGUACAACUACUUUGUGACAACUUUUUGAUAACUUUCUUUCUAAUACUCACAUUAUUCUCUUAUUCUCUCUCUUCCUUUUUUUCUCUCUAUUGUUUUUGACCAAUGAAAAGAGAGAAAAAAGAAGUUGUCGCAAAAGUUGUAUCAAAUGGUUGUUCAAAUAUCACUACUAAAAAAAAUGGAGGUUAGAAAAAAUUGAGAAGAAAAAAGUAUACAUAAAAAACCAGUGAAAGAGAAGAAAAAGUGAGAAUGGUAUGAUAGUGAAGGAUUAUUGAAUGAUAUAUAAAAGAGUAUUUGAAAUUUAAAUUUUGAAUUUUUGCCCCCAAGAGUACAACUUGGAGCAUUGGUCUUGACAUAAAUGGUGACAUUGUACCAGCAAAAGUGAUUUAUAUAGUCUAGUUGCAAUGUAAGGAAAAAGGUGUUUUUUUAAAAGCAAAUCAUAGUUAAUUAUGGUCAUUUAGUUCAAUAAAGAAGUUUCAUUUUUAGCAACCAGCUUGGGAUAAUAGUAGAUUUUCCACAACAUCUUCUCUUCUUAUAUUAAGAGAGAUUGCAGGUGCGAUUUCACUUUGCCAUGCCGGCUGUCGGAAGCUAUGGAAGAUUCUGGCAUAGAUCUCUAAAACUGGAUUCUUACUUUCUGUGAAUUGCAUUUUGCACAUAAAAUUGCCAUGAAUUAUGGAAGGAGAAUUUUGGACAGUUUAAUUUGAAAAUUAAAUUCGAAAAAAAAACUAAAACUAAAAUGAACUUAUUAUACAAUUUUGGAUUCAAUUUGUGGUUUACAACGUGAUUGAUUGAAAUUGUGUAAAUUCAAAUCAACAAGUGGUGGAUCAAGUUGCGUUUGUUCAUUGUAUUAUGCUUGCCGUCAUUCUACCAUUAUCAUUGUCAUCUCCGUCAUCUUCAGUGCUGUGUCUAAAUAAAAAUGCGGUAAAGAGUGACGGAGAUGACGGCGAAGACGGAGACGAAUUUGACGGAGGAAGCUGACCCAAUUUGUGUGGUAUAGGCGGAGAGUAGCUCUGUCGGCCACGACGGCGAUUAUAAUGGGAGGAAGAUGGAAAAGCUAUCUGAGAAAGACAGAAUACGGGAUUGUUUUUCUAUUUUUUAUCACGUAAAUCCUUAGUAUUCUUGAUCUUUUAAUCAUAACCGUUAGAUUUAGUUUUGCCAUAUAUCACACAUCUAUAACUUAAAAUGGGUAAAUUGAGAAAACCUAAAUGGAGCAAAAAUGGUACCUAAAAGAGUAUAUACCUUUUAGCUAUGGCAAUUGCAGUGUGGGAGGUGGCCUAUCCACUACAGAGUUGCAAACUAAACUUUAGUUAUCAUAAUAACAGUCAGUACUAUAUAUUUAUAGUUAUAGACUGCUGGAGCGGCAUCUUGCUGUGAAGUUGGUUGGUCCAUCAACGGGGUUUUGAAAGCAAUGCUUUGUUGGUCAGUGGAUGGCUGGAUAGCAGAACUUCAUUCAUGAUUUGAGGAGAGGGUUAGGUAUUGUUUCAUAAGCUAUAGACAUAAAGAGAAGGAAUAGCGGGCAAAGCGAUCUCAAUGCUUAAAGAAUGGACCAAUCCAAAAUUCGGGAAUGCUAUCGACAACUCCGCUUACCUUAGAAAAAUGCUCUUCUCACAACAAGUUUUGCUCACUCCCUACUGCACUUUCGAAAAUAUUCCCAACGUGAGUUAGGUCAUGCCUGAGUUAAACACUGCAUGAGUUAACUCAAACUGUGUGAGUUAAGUCACGCAUGUGUUAAACACUUGCGUGAUAUAACUCACGCUGGAAUUAACACCUGCGUGAGUUAAGUCACGCUAUGUCGGUGCAAAAUACCAGAACAGCGGAAACUCAAUUUUCCCUAGUUUUUGUCACUCCUUCACUCAUUCACACAUCCAUUCACUCAAUUGCAUCCAUUUUUUCAUCAUUCAUUCACUCAUAAUUAAAAUACGCAUAAUAAAACAAAAAAUUACGCAAAAUAUCAUAAAAACGCAAAGGCGCAAGUGUAAAUAUAUUACAUCCAUAUCCGACAAAAUGUCAUAAAAAACUACAAAUAUACAAAAGUCAUAAGAUAAGACCCUACUCAUGUGGACUACGACUCCUACUCAUUCUCCGCGGAUCCGACACCUCCUCCAGCACGCUAUACUCGGCCAGGAUACCCUCCAUAAUGCCGAGAACGAUUGGAUUUGAAAACACAUCAGGAAACCCCAUUGCACUCUCCACUCUGCCUCUAAUGUUGCCGACACUGCUGCUCAACAAUAACAUCCUCGUAGGGAGGGACAAGAGUUGUGUAGUCAGGAAUGGCUGCAGGGGCGAUCAUUAUAGGCUGGAAUACUUUGUAGAACCAUUUCAUGUACCCUUUUGAAUGCUUCUACACCUCGUCUUCCGGGACCGGAUCACCCCUCUCCUGCUGGUUAAGGACAUGGACAAUAAACUCCAUGAAAGCCAUAACCACCUCUGCUGACUCAAAAUCCGCAAUCGUAAUAGAAGAUCUGGGAGGGUGUAUACAUUUUAUGUUGCUUGUCUAGAACAAAGAUCUUAUCAUUGGAAAGUCUAGAACAAAGAUUUUAUCAUGAAGUAGAGAAGCAAAAUAGCAAUUAGCGCAAUUUAUUAAGGAAAACACUAAAAUGCACGACAAAUAAUUCGUUAAAAUUGCACGAACGCUUUUAUUGUUGUCAAGUAUUUGUUUUUCUUUUCUCAAAAUGACCAGUUUCGUUUCUAAUGGAUUUUCCAUCACAAUCACCUUUUCACUUUGUGAAUAUUAUUAUGCACCACAAGCCAAGUAUUACCAUUGUCAAAUCAACCAUUGGCUGGAUAUGUUUGAUAGAUAUUUAUUAUAAAAAAUGUUUUUUUUUUUUAUUUAUAAAAUACUAUAAUACUAGUAUACAAAUAUCAUUAGUAAACGAGCAAGAAAUCCAUAAUUAACAAGUAUACAAAUAUCAUUAGUAAACAAGCAUGAAAUCCAUAAUUAUCAAAAGUGAAUUACAUAGGAAUGAACAAUCACAAAGUCUUUCGUUCAUUUAACAACACUCAUUUAUCAGAGAAAAUAUGACUCUUUUUUAAGUCAAGAUCCUCUCCAUUUACAAUUGUCUCCAUUUCCUCCAUUUAGAGAGAUAAAAACACAAAAAAAUCUUGAAAAAAUAUAAAGUAAAUUAAUGAUGGUGGGACACAUUUAAUUAAAGGCUUAAUAGCAGUUUUGACCCCCUAUGUUUCAAGAAGUUGCAAUUUUGGUCCUUUUACAAAAUAAAUUACAAAACCACUCCUUAUGUAUUGUCCCUUUUGCAGUUUUGACCCUCCAGGCCAAUUUUGACUAAAUCAAAGCUGACGUAGAUGCCACGUGUGUCAUUUUUUUUAAUAAAAAUAAAAUUUACAUACGUGUGUAUUGACUUGGUCAAAAUUGGUCCGGGGAACCAAAACUGCAAAAGGGGAAAUACUUAAGGGGAGAUUUUGUAUUUUAUUUUGUUAGGGGGCCAAAACAGCUAUUAAGCCUUAAUUAAAAUAUCCACUAUUUUUUUUUUGUGUCCGUCUCUCUCCAAAUUGUAUUCUCCAUUUAUUUUAACAAAUGAAGAAGAUCUUAACUCCCCUUUCAUGUCCAUCUUUGCUCCAUUUAGGCUUGCACCAUUUAUUCCAUUUACCUUCAUAGAUGUGCGACACGUGUCAAAAGAAUAUCGAAUGGUUGAAAUUUAAAAGGGACAAAUAAGUAAUAAAACAAAAUCCCUAGCAAUCAGGUUCUGAAAAAAGUGACAUCGACGACCUUCACAAUUGAUUUUUUAGAUUUUCAAAAUGGGCCAAAACCACCGCAUCCGGCGGAGCCACCGUCCUCCGACGAAGCAAAACCUUCACUCUUCCCUGUAUUCCCCGUAACAAACUUUUCUCUUCAAAUCAGAUGUUGUUCCACCUUCUUUGUGUGAUAUAAGUUUCGAUUAAAUAAAAUAAGGGAAGACACCGAUUGAAUUGAAUUAGCACUAAAAACUAGCAAGAAAGUUUGGAUUUCACAAUGUUUUAGUUGUUACCAUUGCUAGUUGUGAACUCAAGUAAAUUGGCAUAAUGGAUUUCACGCAGUCAUUCAAAAUUGGGUUUUCUUCUAAACUCAAUUUGGAUGAAAGUUUGCCAAUUUGGGUGGAAAUGAAAUUGAUGGAAUUGGGUUGGUUUCAAGCUUCUUCUGUUUUGAAACAGGCAACGGGUUAUGGAAAAAGAUAUGGAAAUUGUGUUUCUAAAAGCAAUCACAUGUGUGUUUGUUUAUUGUUGUCUUUUUUAUUUCAACCGUUGGAUAUUAGUAUAUCACGUGUCACACAUCCAUGAUGAUAAAUGAGGUAAAUGGUGCAAAGACAAAUGGAGCAAAUAUGGACUCUCCCCUUUCCCAUCCAAGGUCCCACACACACUCCAUCCGUCCAAUUCCCAAAAGGACCAACAAAACCAAUUACUAAGAGGACCAACAAAAUCAUGCUUUUGCAUAGUCCUUGGAACAAAUCACUAAAUGAGGAAGAACCCAACCAAAUACUCCCUCCGUGCCCCGUAUGUAAUUUUGCAUUUUUCAUAUUCAUUAAAAAAAAAAGUUAUCAGUGUAAUUAAUGUGUCUAUUUUGUGUAUUAAUAUUACCAAAUUGUUCUUUAGGGGUAUUAAUUAAAUUUGAUUUUUCAUAUUUUAAGACAAGUUAAUAGUAUUAAUUAGGGGGUAUGUAUAGGAAAUAAUAAAUGCAUCUAGUAAUUUAAAAAAUGGUUUAUAUGUAGAGACAAAAAUAAAGUCAAAUGAAUGCUUAAAUAUAAGAAUAGAGAGAGUAUAAUACUAAGAACCAAUUCAAGGAUGAGUCACAAGAUACACCCAAAAGACAUAAAUCAUCACCAUACACUAGAUCCACUUCUGGUAGAGUUCGCUUACACCAUAACAAAAAAUGCUUCUUUGAUCACAACCCAAAUAAAAAUAUUAGAGCGCACACACAAAUUAUAAAGAUUAAAAGAGUUAAUUAUAGAGUGGUGAUAGGUCGAUAUUCUUAGGUGGCAUAUCACCCUUGUACACACUUCCACAACACAAAGUUUUCUUAUAAUUAAAGGUUUAAAAGGCGAUUAAAGAAAAAAGAGGACACUUGUCACAAAUGUGUGUGGAGGUUAAAAAGUAUUCACAAUUAAAGAGUGUCAAUCUAUCAUUUUUCUUAAUUAACUCAUGUUAAUUGAUAAGAAUACAGAGAAAUUCUUGUGUAGGAACGAACCUAACCUGUCAACCUUACAAACAACAAAUUAAAACAUGACACGUCGUUGUUUUUCCACCAUAAAUGGUGUUGGUGGUGAAUGGUGAUGGAAGAUCACGAGUGGAGAGAGAGAGAGAAAGGACUAGUUGAUUUAUUUUUUUAUAAUUAUUUUAAAAGAAAACAACGACGUGUUAUGUUUUAAUUUGUUGUUUGUAAGGAUGAUAGGUUAGGUUCGUUACUACAAAAGAAUUUCUCAAGAAUACAUUAUUUUUGUUUAAAUUUUUUUAUUUUAUGUGGGUGUGCCUAAGUAUUUUUCAUAUGAAAUUGUUCCCAUUGAAGACUUGCUCCUCCAUACCAUGGACGAGUAAAUAUUUGUGGUUAUUUUUUCACCCAACACUGUUAUUUCAUAUGAAAUUGUUCCCAUUGAAGACUUGCUCCUCCAUACCAUGACUUUCGAAAGCAAUUAACAAUUGAUAUGGUGGCACAUUGUCACUAUUUCACAUCUUAGUUUUAAUAGAAUGAUAGAUAGAUAAAUAGAAAGACAGAAAGUCAUGCCAACAAAUUAAAAAUGGUUUUUUAUGCAUUACAAAAUAAAAACUUAGACAAAUGCUCUAAGGCAGAAAUCUGGGCAAAGCUUGUAAAAACUAAUCAUCACCGAAAGCAUGAUGGUUCUGAGAAAGUAGCAUAAUGUCACAGUACUCAGUAUGGCGGAGGAUAGAAUCCUGAAAGAAAGAAAAAAUGUGAUAGAAAUUAAGCAAGAGAUGAAAAUUGAAAUGGUUGGCAGAGAGACAAGAAUUACUUACCAGCGUUUGGAGGAUAACCUGUAGGUGGAGGGUAUGAAGGCGGUGGAUAGGCUGAAGAUGGAGGAUAAGAGUGGGGAGGAGGGUAUGGCGAUGGUGGUGGUGGUGGAUAGGGUGAUGGAUUGUGUGAAGCAGCAGGGUAAGAUGGUGGUGGUGGAUAAGCAGAAGCAGCAGCAGCAGGUAUUGCUGGAUUGUGAUAAUUAGAGUGUGGUUGUUGCUGUGGGUAGUAGGAAGGAACCUGAUUAUAUAACGGGACUGCCGGCGGUGUUGCCAUGUAAGGAAUAUGGCUUGAGGAGCCUGCAGGUUUCUGCAAUAUAUUACCAUCACAAACACACUUAUUAAUCAUCAAUUCCAAUCCUUAUAUGUAUGUAAAUAAAUAUAAAUACUGAUGAAAAUAGGUUACCUGGUGAUUCACUUUGGCAUUAGCAUAAUGCAUUAUGAGUUUCACUUCACCUGCGUGUCUGCCAACCAGACAGACAAAGAUAUAGGAAUAAUGCACUAUCAAAACUUGAACAAUAGUAUCGGAGAAUCUAUCUAUUAUGAAAGCCGGAAAUUCACAAUAUAUAUAUGUGAAAAUUAGGAUAUAGUAAUAUGAUCUAGACACAAAUAUGAAUGUAUAUAAUACUUGUAAAGAAAAGAUGCAUUGAUAUACUUCAUUAAUAUAUAAUUGCAAUGAAGCUAUGAAGCACGGAUAUGGACACCGAACACAGCUAAUAAUUUGAAAAAAUCACAUAUAAUUAAGUGUAAUUACAAGCGUCGUAUCAGUGACACCGAAACAUGCCUAAUCUAAGGAGUGUCCAUACUUCAUAGCGAUGAAUUUGAAACAGCCUCGCUUAUAUAAUAUCUUCUUUCUUAUUACUCUCUUACAUAAAAAAAAAAAAAAAACACAUAACAUAUAAGUCUAGUUCAUCAAAAACAAUUCUAUCGACUAUCUUAAUUACAUAUGUGAGGUCUCAAUAAAAAUAUAUUUUAACAAAAUAAAUUAAAGGUAAAAUUACACAAUUAAUCCCUUAAUUUAAUUUUAGGUAACAUUUUCGUCCUUUAUCUUUUUUUUUUUUUAACGAUUUAGUCCUUUAUGUUAUAAAAUAACAACAUAGUUAUCCUUUUUAUGAAAAAAAUAAUCAAAAAUUCCAAAAAAAAAAUUCAUCAAACUCAUAGACAAACACAAAUCUUCAUCAUACUAGCCUAGAAAAUCAAAUUUCAUUGAAAAAAUCUCAUACAAAAAUGAUAAAAUAGUGUCAUUUUAUAACAUAAAGGACUAAAUCGUUACAGAAAAAAGAUAAAGGACGAAAGUGUUACCUAAAAAAGUUAAGUAACUAAUUGUGCAAUUUUGCCUAAAUUAAAAUAUAAUUUUGAUGCGUGUGCGGGACUGAUACAUAGUUGGGCUUCAUACUAAAUAAAUGAAUGGGUAAAUUAAAUGAAGGUAGCAAUAGCAACAGAAAUAGGCAUAACAUAUAUACCUGCCAUUUUUAGUUUGAAGUGGCCAUGCAGAGUCAUCAAAACCUUGAGAGAGAACCUUGUGCAAUUGAACCUUUCCGGUGCCGAUAAAGUCAUCAGAGGUGACAGUAUUGUAGUUCCAAACAGCGACAUUGAUCUCACGAAGGCCUUCAAUGAGGGAAAACACAAACUUCUCUUGAAAAACAGGGUUUUUUCCACCAUCUGAAAUCAAAAUUGAAGGAGUAAACAAAAAGUCAAGAUAAGGGUCAAACUAAUUAACCUACCUACCUACCUACCUACGUACCUGUGCAUGUUUUGGUUCGGAACUUGUUGGUCGCGUAUUCAAGGCAAACAUAAGGAUCUUGUCUUGAAAUCCAUUCUGUGUCUUUCAAUUUCGAGCAACACACCACUGCAAAUCAAACCAAACGAACCAUUCAUCAUGUCUUAAUAAUAGUCAAAUCAAAUAACACUGUUGUUGUGUUAUGUUUGCUUACCAGUAACCUCGAGAGGUUGCCCUUGGAUCCCUGCUAUCGUUCCGCUAGACAUCAUCGUUUUCUUUUAAUUCGUUUCUAAGGAAUCGAUUCAGAUUCAAUAUGCAGAUUUUUGAUCCACAACAACAUGUCUUACUUAUAAACAAAAAAGUUGAUACUAUUCUAUUAAUUACCAAAAUCUUCUCCAUUUAUUAUUAUGCCAAUUCCAUUCUUUUUUCACACGUUUUCAUAAUUACAACGCGUAUAUCCCAUUUGUUUUUUCUUUUCAAAAUACUUACUGCUUUACCUUCUUUUUUUUUAGGAAUACUUUACAUUUUAAAUGAGGAACAAAAAUAUAAUUUACCAUAGGAAAAAAAAAAAAGAAAAAGAGAGAGAGAGAUUCUCAUAGUUUUUUUUCUUUUUACUAACACGAACAGCAAAUAAAAAAAAAUAAAAAGGCUCGUUUUUAGUUUAGGAAGAUAAAUUAUUAUAAUUAUCGACUAUAUUUUAUAAUAAACAGUCAAAAGUGAAAAAGUAAUUUUUAAGUUAAUAUUUUUUUUUGGUAGAAAAUUUUUAAGUUUUUUUGUUUGGUAGUGGCCGGGGUUUGAAACCCAAACCUUACAUAUUUUAUGCAUCGUCCAACCAACUGAGCUAAGCUCACGAGAACAAAUUUUUUUUAAUUUAAUAUAAUAACAAAAACUUUACCUUAUUUUUUAAAGCUCGUUUUUAUGAACUUUAUUUCAAAAGUAGUUUAAAGGUCAUAAAAAUGCAGGGCCAAAAAAGAAAAAAAAAUUAUUAAAACUUUCAAAUGUAAUAUAUUAUUACUAGCAUUUAGACGACAUGUAUGUCCGUUCUUCUUAUUGCGCUAACUAAUACAUAAUUAUGAACGGUAAUUUUUAUAAAAUUUUGAUUAAAAUUAUAGAUAUAGAUAUAACAUAUAUUUUGUAUUUUAUAUUGUAGGAAAUUAUAUUUGUCAUUUCAAAUGAUACCACCAAUAUAAUAACUAUAAUAUUUCUCAAAAAAAUAAACAAAUAUAAUAUAAAUAUUAUCUUUUUGAAUGAGACCAACAAAUAUUAUAAUAAUCAAAUUUGUUUAAAGUUAUAAUCGAAAAAGAUAGGCUAAUUUUUUUUUUUUUUUGUGGUGGUCGAAGUUCGUACCCCGGACCUUGGGGAGUGCAAGAAGCUCUACAGAACCGGACCUCUAAAAACUAUGGGUCUAAAAAAAAUUAUAAUACCCACCCCCACUUAAAUUAAAAAACACUACAAGAAAAUCAGCAUUUUGCGACACCGCAAUUGCGACCCUUAUUUGCAACAGUUGUUGCGACAGUUAUAGUGAACAGUCGCAGUUUUUUUUUUUUUAAAUUAGAAGGCGCGUAGUUAAUUGCCCAUUCCCUGGCCAAAUUUUUCAUUCACUCCAAUACUUAGUUUCACCUCCCGGUCUAUCUCACUUUCCCAAAAUUUUCUCUAAACCCUAAGACCCAAUUAUGUCUACGUCACUCUCAAAUGUCAAAAAAUUUCUCAAUUUCAUCCCCAAAGUCUUUGUUCCCUAAAUCUUCUCACUCUCAAUAGCUCACCCCCAAAACCUAACCUUUCAAUCGGAGCUCAAUCAUGGUCAACUCACUCAAUCGGUGCUCAACUCACUCACCCAAUUGGUGUUAUGUCUGAAUCGGUGCUCAACUCAAAACCUCUUCAACAACAUAGCCUCUUCAACAACACAACUAUCCUCUCUCUUUCUCUGGUAACCCUCAAAACCUUAUUAAUCUUUUCUUGUUUUACGCUGUUGUUGUGAGUAUUUUUAAAGUAAUGUUAUCCAGUAACCCAUUGUUUCAUUAAAAUCUGUAACCCUGUUUUGAAAUUUUGAGUGAAAUAUUAAAAUGAGAUUUUACUACUUUUUUGAGUGAAAUGUUGAAAUUUGAUGACCCAGUAACCCUGUUUUGUUGUUCUUGAAGUAAUAAUUUAUCUUUUAUCUAUGCUGAUUGUGAAGUUUAGGAUUUGGAAGUGUUUGUGAUUUGGAAGUUUAGGAUUUAGUUUCCUAUGUAUAAUUUUGUAGUAAUUUUAAAAAUCUUACUGUGAAAAUGAAUUUCAGCAGAGUAACUGGUUUGUAUUUUUCUUGUUAUAGAUUUUUUUUUUUUUUUUUACUGUUUAUGUCCAGGGGAAUUGAUGACGUCUUCUAACAUUGGCCUAGUACUAGAGUGAACAUGUGCUGUGAAAAAGCUUUCAUAAUACGUGUGUUCUUAUGCUGAUUCUUUGGUUUCUUUGUGAUGAAAUUCUGUAUUUUUCGCAUUUUUGGGUUUCUCUAAACCAUUGCCGACAAAUUGAAAAAGGUUAAUUUGUUUUGUUUAGGAUUAGUUGAUCUGUGAUAUGGUUUGAUUUUGUUGCUAUGGUGAAUGAUUUGAAAUGUAUUUUUCAUUGCUAUAUGUAUUUAUAAUUUUAGUGUGUGAAAAAAAAAGAUACUUUAAUCCUUUAAUUGGUUGUUCAAAAUUUCAUCAGUUGUAGGAUGCAACUACAAUGAUUGUGGCUGUUGUUUAUGAUUUUUGACAACUGAUUUCUUUUUUCUGAAUGUGUUGUGUGAGCAUUAGUGUGGUGAGAUUGUUCAAAGGAAAGUGAUUUCCAUGACGCUUGUUGGGUGUGAUGGCUUGUUCAACUGAAUUCACUCGGUUAUUCACUGUUGCAGGAGCAUUUAAUGUACUUUUCUUGCUCAGUUAUUGUCUUUGAGAUUCUUACCAACGAGUUUUGAAGCUGCUUCGGAAUAUUCAGUUCCUAUCUUUUUGGUAAUAUUCAGUUCCUAUUUAUCUCAGUUUACAUGCAUAUUGCAUUUGAUUUAGACUUUUCUCACAUGCAUAUGCCUGAAAUAAAUUUUUAUGCAAAAUUAAUUUAAGAAAGUGUGGUAUGAAAUAUAGAAUAAUAAGGAGUGUUCUCAAAGUGUGCUGAUAUGUAAUUUUAAAGAGUGGCGUUGUGUUAGUGGUGCAAUGGUUUUUACUUGUGGCAUGAGAUGUGACAUUUUAUGUUAAGUUUUAUUUUGGUUUUUAAUUGGGGGCUGAUAUUUCAAGUCUAUUCCUGAAGAUAGAAAAAGUAGUAAUGUACCCAAUUUGACAAGGCUGUGAAAUCUACGUGGAUAUGUUAGAAAAAUAUAAUAUUAUAGAUAUACCACGAAAGAUAAAAGAAAAGUUGAUUAUCAUCUAGAAAAGCUUUAAAUUAGACCUUGAAUUUUGAUCAGUUCGAAUAAUGUUUGGCUUUAGCUCUUGGUUGAGCAGUUACUGAUAGGUCCAGGCAGAAGGGUGGGGCGUGUUUUUGUCAUUAGAUGUAGCAGGUGCAGUUUUGUAUUGGGGGAUAAAUAGCUGCGUUUUUUGGUGCAGGUUUUUUAGUUUUGUGUCCCUUGGUCAAUCCUCUAUUGUUUUCUAGAUUGGCUACUUUAGUCUUUGGUGAGCCGAGAUCCAAGAAAUCAGGUUUUAACUUUAACUGUAGUAGAUUAAGUUUUUUUUACAAUUAGUGUUGGAAUCUUUUAAAAAAUGUAGUGAAGUUGCAAGCUGCUGUUCGUGAGCACUAGGUUAGGAGGCAUGUCACAUUCAGAUGGCACUAGGUUAGGUUCGCGAGUGAGUGUGUGGCUGCUAUCUAAUGCUAUUGUUUACUUUAUUUGAGGUGUGGGUGUCACCAGAUUCAAAGUCAUUGGUAAUUGUAUGUCAGACUAUUUAAUGACAUUGAAAACAUCUUUAACGUGGUUGAUUUAUUUGAGGCUAUAGAUUAUAUGAGAUAUGUCUGCUAUUUUCUGUUUUAUUGGUGUUAUUUAUCAACAUGUUAACUCUACUAACAAAAUGCUUACAACAGAUUCACAACAAGUCUGAUUUGUUACGUGCAUAUUGUGUCGCUUUGCCAUCUGCUCUGUUUGUGCAUACUUCCUUUUGUGUCGCUCUCUGUUCUGCGCGCUAUUGGUUUUUUUAACUCUGGUGCUGUUUAUGUAAGUCUUUUUUCCCUCAUGUUUUUUUAUCUUCGACUGUUAAGUUUGCACAUUUUUUCGAUAUGUUAUUGUUGGAAUUGCACAUAUUUGCUGAUGCUAUAUUCUGUUAGUAUAGAUUAUUUCAUGCUUGCUUUCAUGUAUAGAUAAUUCUGAUUAUAGACCAAAACAUUGGACAAGAUUUGUCUUCUUCUUCUUAUGUGAAAGAACAGUUGAAAUUGAUAUGGAAUAUGAUACAAAUUUUGGAUAUAAAAUCAUAUGAAACUAUCAUUACUGAAUGUUGUGUUUUUACUUUUAUCUUGACAACUCUGGUGCUUUUUUUUAGCAAUACAAGUACUCGAAUAUUGUGCCAUUUAUCGAUAUAUUUGACAACUCUAGUGUUUUUUUUCAGUUUCAAUAUUGUGUUUCAAUUUACUAAUCAUUGUCUUCUUUAUUUUUCUUCUUCAUUCAACCAACAAAUUUAGAAACAAGAGAUGGUAGACAUUCAUCGAAGUCUAGCUACCGCCUCGAGGAUCAUUGAAGCAACAUCAUUAGGGAAUAUUUAGAUAUUUUAUGGCUUAUAAUUUUGCUACAGUUGUUUUGAAUGUUCAGUCAUUAGUGUUUCGAUUUUUUGAAUGUUUAAAUUUGGUGCUAUAUCUUUUGUUUUAGUUAAGUUGAUGUAUGGAUCAAACUUCUUACUCUUGAAUUAUGUAUAUUUUUGCAUUUCAAGUCUUUAGUAAUAUAUUUAUUUGUGAUUGUCUUCAAAUUCUAUAGAUAAAAAAAAUGAAAUCAGGCCAUAUCAAACAGUCGCAACAUAUUAAAUAUAUAUAUAUAUAUAUAUAUAUAAACACUUGCGACUGUUCAACCAAUCGUAGAAAAUUAAAUUUUAAAUUUGACUUUUGCAACAGUUAGAAACUGUCGCAACUUCCUUGAAAACCAUGUGAAAGAUGUACAUUUGCGACUGUUGGGAACUGUCGCAACACCUUUUGCGGCUGUUGGUGCGACUAUUCUACGAAGGGUCGCAAAAGACAGUUGCGACCCCAACAUCCGUGACUGUUAGGGAACAGUCGCAAAUGUACAUUUGCGACCCUUCUAACAGUCGCAAUCAACGUUUUUAAAAGUCGCAAAAUGCAGUUUUUCUUGUAGUGAAAUUACAUGUUACUUUUUUUUCUUCUUCUGGACACGUAUGAGUUUUUUCUAGACUCUAGUUCUACUUUUCGGACAUAAAUUUGAUGCUAUCAAACCACCAUCAAUUUGUAUAAUCACUUAAUCAGUCAAUUUGAAAAGCUAUUUCAUUGAAAUAAUCACAACAAUUAUUUUUUUUCCGCAUAAACCAUUCGUUUUCCCCUUUCUACGAAGUAGUAGUGACAUUCCAAGUGAAAACCGUUAAGUAAAUUUCACCUCUCUUUCACUUAAUUUUAUUUUGUUUUGUUUCCUGUUUAAAAGUUCUUUUGAUUUUGAUUUCUUAAUGAAACUUAGCUACACAAAAAAAAAUCGUUUUUAUUUUACUGAAGCCUAUUCUAAAAAUAGAACCAAGCCUCUUAUUUCAUAGGAAUGACCCUGCUUACAUAUAAUAUGCAUUGUUCAUACCAAUUGAGUUAAGGCUCACGAAGAUAAAGAUAGUCUAGUUAUAAAGGUAGACUAAGUAUUUUUAAAAGAAAAAACUCCGGUCAAAAUAAAGAAAAGAGACUAAGUAUUUAUUUUUAAAAGAAAAACUCCAGUCAAAAUAAAGAAAAGAAAAAGCAAAUGGAAUACGCGUGAAGAGAUAACUUCUGAAAAUAGGAUAAUAUAUGGAGUUAUUUUUUAUUUUUUUUUGAAAGAAGGAUAAUAUGGAGUUGGUAUGACAAUAAAUGCCCCUGAUUUCCAGUCAAAAAAUAAGUGCUUUGAUUUUGUUAAUUAACACUUUCUUCAUCCUAAUUAUCUAAUAUAUUUUUUCCAAAAAGAGUAAGCCAUUUUGCAAAGAUAUUCCGUCUCAAAUUAGAUGUUCCGUUUAAAUCUUACAUGUUUAUCAAAAAAAUACUUAAUAAUAUUAAUUUUAAUGGAAAAAUGUGUUUCGGUUAUUAAAAUACUCGUAUUAAUUAUAUUCGGUAGAAUAGUUAAAUGAUUGUUAUACGAAAAAUAAAAGUAUGAUAGUAAAAAAGAAUAAUAAACAUUAUAAAAGAGACAACAAAUAUUAGACUGAAAAAUAACGAAGAUGAUACGUUAUUUGCGAAAGAGAAAGUAUAGUAUGAUAAUUAACAUUUUCAAUUUUUAAUACAGGAUCAACGCCUUUUUCCUUAAAAAAAUUAAAAGACUUUUUUAAAAGACUUUUUUAUAAUGAAAAAGUCUUUUAGUAUUCAAUCAAGACUCUUUUCAAUUUAAAAAAAGUUUUGUGUUAUUCAAUCAAGAUUCUUUGUCAUUUAAAAAAAGUCAUGUGGUAUUCAAUCAAGACUUUUAAUCACUUAAAAAAAGUCUAGUGGUAUUCAAAAUCAUUCAAAUUUCGAAGGAUUGUUUAAUAAACCAGAUUUUGAUGGAUUUUGUUGGAUUUUCCAGUGAAAUUUUAAUAUGAAAAAGUCUUUCAUAAAAACAUGAGAUUUCUUAAAAUUAUUUUUUUUCUUUUAAGAUUUUACUCUCUCCCUUCUCUCUUUUCCUCUCUCUCUCUCUCUCUCUCUCUCUCUCUCUCUCUCUCUCUCUCUCUAAUUCCCUCUCUCUCUCUCUCUCUCUCUCCAGUUCUAGCUCUAGCUCUCCCGUAAAAAAUAAAAUAAAUAAAAGAGUCUUUAUUGAGAUUUUGUGAAAGAGAGUGUGUUAUGAUAUUUUUUUCAAUUAUUUCUUAAAAUUCAUAAAAUCUGUUGAAAUCUCUUGAAAUCUAUAAAAUCAUUUCAAAUUUUAUGAAUUAAAUCUAUUGAAAUCCUUAAUAGUCUUUUAAAAUUAUCAAAGUCAUCAAAAUCCUGCAAAGUCUUUUAAAAUCUUCAAAGACUUUUUUAAACAAAAAUUAUCCUUUAAAAUCAUAAUCCAAUACACCCCCUAAUAUUGCUCGCAUAAUUUUCAGUUCAUGAACUUUUACUUUACCUUGCUCGUUUUUCCGUUUUCACUAUUUUUAAUUGUAUGUUUAUUUCAUCGUAUUAUUUGGUUAUAAAAGAUCUAACUUCUUCUUUGAGAAACAUCUAACUUAUGUUAUAUUGUUCAUAUUAUCGUUUGUAAAAUUAUUCCUAUUCUAGAAUUCAACUAAUCUUUAAUUAAAAAUUUAAAUAUAAUACUAUACUAAAAUAAAAUUGCAAUUAUAGUCUUCCUAAACAAAUUGUAAUUCUAACAGUUUCAACAAGUAUUAUAAUUGAAAGAUGAAAAAACCCGUUCAAAAUCAUGUAUCUAUUUUUAUUUUGUUACAUGAUGGUAUGAAAUUUUCUUCAUCGCUUAACAAUGAUUAAUCUCUGCUCAUAGACAUACAAGAUGUCUUGUUCCCAUUAACCAUAUUUUUUGAUAUACAUGAGACAAAAACCAAACCUCGGGGCUUGAUCGCAUCACAUGUUUAAGAAGCUCAAGUCCCUUACCACUUGAACCAAUCUAUUGUUGAUAAACUAUGUACCUCUAUAGAUUAUGACCGUUCGAUUUCAAAUCAAUGAUUAAUAUUCAUUGCAACGUAAAAGUGAGUGAGUUAUUUACAACAAGGAAUCCCUUCUUUUGUUGCUUAAACCUUAUAUCCUCCGCACGCAACUGCGAAAAUUAAUUAAAUUAGAAGAGACUCGUGUCAUCUCAUAUAUACGUUUCAGGUGGAAUCCUGUUUUUUUUUUAAUUUUUUUUAAGUAGUUUCAAUAAAUAAAUUAUAGGAAAUGUUAACGAGUGUUCCCAAGAUACUUUUUAAGUUUUUAUGGAAAUUCAUGUAAUCACUGCAUUUAAAAUUGUAAUAGUUAACUUUUAAAAAAAACACUCAUCUCCACUCUCAUGAUAAAAUAUAAACAUUCCUCCCCUUUUAUUAAAAACAUAUUAGAAAAUAUUUCGCUCACCUCCUUCGAGAGAAGCUUGAAUUACACUUCCCAUUCAUCUUAUGUUAAAAUAUACGCUUUACUCUUUCAAUAAUAUUUUUUAUUUCUAAUAAUCUAGUAAAAAAAAAAAUCUAACAAACUUCAAAGAAAAACAGUACUGCAAGUCCAUUUUAAUAUAGUCAAAAUUUGAAUGCAUAUUUUUCGCUAUUUUUUAUUCACAAUUUCAUUAACAUGUAGUUUUAAACCAUAUUAUAAAAUACGAAACAACCCAAAAUAAAACUAAAAUAUGUGAAAAAAUUACUAAAAUCAAUUACAUAUGUUUACUUAAAAGUGAAUUUUAUACUCCAAAUCAUAAAAUUAAUAACAAAAUAUUUAAGUUUGAUUAUCAUUGACAUUUAAAUUAAAAAGAAAUAAAUUUGUUUAUUUUAAUUGGUGAUUUUAAAUGGGAAAUGUUAUCUUGUGCGACACAAGUUAAUGAGCUAAAAGUGGAAAUAAAUUGUUGUAAUUAAUGCAUUUGAAUUUAAUUCUUUAACUUUUGAUUAAUUGAAUGCACAAAAUUCAAGAGAAUAUUUCUACUUUGGGAUUGCUUAACAUGCGUCCUUAGAGCACAAGUUAACAUGACCCAUUUUAAAUUAGUAUAUAUUGUAAAAAUAUUUAUUUAUGUUAAAAUAGAUUAAAGUGUACUGUAUAGUUAAUUAUCAAGGGAGGAGGUAGUAAUUCAAGCAUCUCAUAGGGGAGGGGAGUAUAAAUUUUACUUUUCAAAGGAGGGGAUUGUAUAUUUUAACAUAAGAGUGGAAGAAAAUAUAAUUCAAGUUUCUCUUGGAGGGAGGAGUUGAGUGUUAUUUACUCUUAAAAUAAUAAUUUCUAAAUUUAAGAUCCUUAAAAAGUGUCUUAGGACCUUCGUUAACAAGAUCUAUACAUUAUUCUUUUAUUGUUUUUGUUUGAGGUAGUAAAUGAAUUAUUCUAUCUAUCUCUUGAUUUCCUUUCUGGGUUUUGUUAACGAGUGCCCCAGACACUCUUUAAGCAUACCAAAAUAAACAAUUAUUCUUUUAAAAAGUCAAUAUUUCAAUUUGAUUAGAUACAUUUUCAUAAAUACUUAUUACUUAUGGUCCUUAAAGAGUGCUAUAUGGGCACUCAUUAACAUUCUCCUUUCUUUAAUAAGCAUGUAGAAGGGUUCUCCUAAAAAAAACAAACACGCAAGUAAGGGAGAAAAUCGGCUAGGCCAUAUCAGGUUUUGUAAGGUAUAAGUCUGGUGUAUUUAAAAAAUUAUAUGCAUGAACCUGACCUAUUUCUCGUCACACUAAUAUAUCUGCUACUAAAUAACCAAAUCACAUGAAGUCUUGAGUUUAUGAAGAAAAAACUACAACAAUAUCUAUAAUGGAAGAUAUAUUAUAUAUUAAAUAUUUAAUAGACCAACAUGAAAGGUUUAAUAAUUUUUUUUUGUAUGGUUUAGCUUGAUUUGUUUAAAGGGAAAUGUUAACCAAUGCCCCAGACAUUAGUUAAGCCCUUUAAAAUGUAACUUAUCAUAAAAUUAUGUGUAAUCAAUGUAUCAGAAAUUGAAAUAUUUGAUUUUUUUAUAAAAUGCUUCUUCUUUUGGAAUCCCUAAAGAGUGUCGGGAGCACUCGUUAACAAGAUCUUUAGUAAAAAAAAAAAAAAAAAAAAAAGUAGGUGGGUUAAUUUGGGGAUGACGUGACGAAUAAUAAUAUUUAAAGAAGACACACACGAUACGGGUGAUGUGAUCUGUGUGCAUAUAUUCAACUAGUAAAAUACCCGUGCAUCCGCACGGGUACUGGUUGGUCGGGGAUGAUUUUUGGUAGUUUAGAUUUGACAAAAUGUAUUUGUAAACAGUUUAACUUUAGAACAUUCAAAAGAAAAUUAUUUUGAAAAUUAAAUUAUAUAUGUAUUUGAAUUUUAGUAAUGAAAAUGUUUAGAUUGUAUUAAUGUAUGAUAAAGGAAAAUAUUAAUAUUAAAUUAUUUUGAAAAUUAGAUUGUUUGAUUGUGAUAGUAGUACAAAGGAAAAUAUUAAUAUAAACGUAUUUUGAUUUAGAAAUAAAAUUUCGUAACACAGUUAUAUUAAAACGUUAAAUAUUUGUGGUCGCAAACAAUGUUUAUAGAUAAACUUAUAUUGUUGAUUGAACUUAAUAUUUAUAGAUGAUAGGACAAAUUAAUUGGUGGAUAUAAUAUUAAAAUAAGUAAGGAGAACCUGAAUAUUAAAGAAAUGUUAUAGAGGCACAGUGGAAGUCGUAGAAAAAGGACAAAAUCUAAGGCAUAUAGUUUCUAUAACAAUAAAUUAUGAAAUGCGUAGUAAAUGUUAAAAGUAAUAUUACAAUAAUAAUUUAGUUUGUAGUAGUAGUUAAUAACGUCUAUAAACUUUUUGAACAAAAAUAAUGUUUUUGGCCAUAAUUGAGUCGCAUUUAAAUUGGAGUAGACUUUUGGGAGAAAUGUCAUUGUGAAAGCAGAAAGAUCUCCAACCACGUGUAAUAAUCACAGUUCUUGUAUUGCUUUUGACAUCCUUUUUGAAAACUAAUUUACAAAUAGUUAUAGUAUUUGAUCCUCCACAUACUCGUAGAUACUCAUGGUUUAUGGUUUGGAAAAAAAUUCCAAAUGCAGGUGGUAGAAUCUGAAAUGUAUCACAUGGAGUAAUAAAUAAAAUAAGAUAAUUAAUCAAAAGUAACCGUUAUUGUGUAUAGAUAAUUAAAGAUGGAAUGUUUACCAAUUUAGAAGUUAUUGGCGAAGUAUCUGGCAUAUCAACUUCGAAUGUAAGAUCUUUAAGACAUGAAGUAGUUAAUGUAUGAUAUCGUGGAUAUUCAUUGUUUGGUGUAGAACCGUUGAAGAGUUUGAUCAGGAAUAUACUAUUUCCUACAUAUGUAAAAGACAUUAGUGGAUUUGAUGUUAUAUUAUAAUAAUUUCUGAACUUGUCCCAACCCCUUAUAAUUAUUGGCAUGAGCAUAGAUUUGUUAAAUUCAACUUCAUGAACAUUUGCUAAACCAUCAAUUAAUGUCCAUUGGUCAUCAAGUUCAUCAAAAAGUUCAGCAAUAGUAAGGGGGUCUAAUUCACAGAUAACCUGUUAUAUAAAUAAAAUGAUUUUAGUGCAAUGUAAUCAUAAUUUAGUAGAAAAAUAAAUUAAUAAUAAAUAAUAGAUAUACCUCUGUGCAAACUGCAAUGAAGAAAGGUCUAUUACUUUCAGAAGUCAUCAUUGGAGCUAUGCUGCAAUUAACUGAUCUUUGAUUUUGUGGUAGUUCACUAAUUAAUGAAGAACUUGAUUCCAUUGUAAGUGUGUAUUGGUCUGCUGUGAGCUAUUGAAGUUGUAUUUAUAGUGUCCAUGUCCAAUUCAAAAUUUUACUAUACUUAUAUGAAUAAUACAAUAUAUUAUUAUACGAUGUGUAUUAGAGUAGUUGGGAAAAUAAAUAAAAGUAUGUUUGGCUUUAAAAAAAGUUAUAAUGAAGUUUCCUGAUAAAAUUACUUGUUUUGACAGCUAAGAGAGUUGGUCAAUAAAAUGUUUUGUGGGAAAGAGUUAUAUUAAAGCUGAGCAUGAUAUAUAGAUGUGCAGUACACCAUGAAUAGAGAUAUUGAAUGGUCAUUCAUGAAUAAAAGAUUUUGAAUGGUCAUGUCACAAUUGUAAAUGUUUUUUAUUUUGUUGUUUUGUGAAAUCAGGAAUCUUUGCAGGGUAUGCAAUAGUUGAUGUGAAUUGAUGUUUUGUUCUUAAUGAUGUAUUAUUUAAAUUGAAAGAAGUAGUAGUUUUUUUUUUUUUGAAGAAAUGAAAAAAGUAGAAGUUAGAUAUUGGUCUUCUACAUUAGUCAUACAAAUUGAAUAAUAAAAUCAAAAUGGUCAUUAUAUUUAAAAAAAUAACAAAAUUAAAGGAAAAUAAUUACAUCAGAGGCUAAAAUAAAUAAAUUAAGUGAAUAGAUUUGUAAAAUAACUAAAUUAAAACCUAUAAAGCAAAGUAAACUAUUAAGAAAGAAAUUGGACGCGGUGAAAAAAUUAGGAGACAUAAAUAGUCUGAAGAGGUAGAUAUUGAUGAACUUAUAGUAGCAUUUAUUGUAAAGAAGAAUAUCUAAAGUAUUGUCUUGAGUACUCCAUCAGUUUAAAAAUAUAAGCAAAAUUUAUUUUAUAGGUUUAUUUAUUUAUUGAUGUAUGUGGUUUAUAAUGGAAAAGUGAAUUUGGUUAUAGUAGCGUUAAAUGAAUGAACCUAAAAAGUGAAUUUUACUUAUAUUUUAAAACGGAGAGAAUAAUUUGUUUUGAUUAACAAUAAGCUUAGAAAUAUAGAUUUGUAUUUAUACUUUUUGUCUGUUGUGUUUGAUUGAAAAGUCAUAUAAUAAUUUAUGCUUUCUGUACGUUUUUUUGGAAGAAAUAUGGGCAAAGUUUGUACGGCAUAUGUUUACUAUAAUAAUUUUUUUUUUUUUGUGAGAGAAUGUGUACUAUAAUAAUAUAUUGUUGUAUAUUAUAAUAAUAUAUAGUAGGGAUAUUAUUUGACCCUUUUUGAUGCUUUAAAUAGUAACAUUACUGAUAAAUUUUCUUAUACUUUGUGUUCCCAGUAUAGUAAAUUUUGUUGUGGAAUUUGAAAAUGUCUUCCUCCAGAAAGUUAGAUUUUGAUGCAUCAAGCAGCAGUGUUGAUACAAAAAAGAUUGAUGUAGCCGAAGAUGUUGUAGCAGAGAAAUCUGAAAUUGUAAUUGUUGACAAUUACCGUGAGCCAGUGGAAGUGCCUCCAUUUUUGAAUGUUAAAAGAAAUUCAUGGGAGAUUAUUGUGAAUGAAUAUCAUGUACAUCCAAAUCACAAGCUUGUAAGUAUUAUUUAUAUAAGUUUCUUUACAAUUUUAAAUUGGAUUAAUUCUAAAAUAAUUUAUUUUGAAUAUGUAGCGUCUCCCUCAUCACCUUACAUAUGAAGGUGUUUUGAGUUCUGAUAAGAACAUCAUGCUCACUCAACUUGAUAGAGAUCAAGAUGCAGUUGAUGCAUUUGGUUGUGAGGUUGUUGCUGAUGAAGUAGAUCCUCAUAAGAGAUACAUAGCUAGUGGUUGGCAUGCAUUUGUUAAGGCAAGUCAAGUUGAAGUUGGUGAUAGGUUGUUGUUUCUCCAUUGAGAAUUAUGAUAAGAAUAUCUACGUUCGUUUUGUCUAUGAAAGUGACAUUGACAGUGAAUAUGAUAAUUGGAGUGAUUAAGAUCUUUAAUGUAGUUUGUUUUAAUUAUUAUUAUGUUAAAAUUAAGGCUUGAAGUUAAGUUGGUGUUUAAUUAGUUAUAUGUAUGACGUUUUGUUUUUUUUUUUUUAAGGAUAGUUAUAUGUAUGACGUUAUCAUGUUGUAAUGUAUUUUUAUUUAAUAUAAUAUGUGUUGUUGUAAUGCAUUAUUAAUGUUGAGUAGUCAUUAAUGUAUGAAUAAUAAUUAAAUUGGCAACCAAUGAGAAAAUUUAUAAUUAAUAGUUAAAAUAAUAAAAGUAACGACGACUGAUCCUACCGUGAAAAUAGUAUGAAUAGAUGUUAAAUUGGCCCAUUAGUAUUUUGAUAUAUUAACUUUCAACAAAUUGAAAUAAUUUCAAGAAGGGAAUAGUUAAAAAAGUAGUGAAGACGUGAAUGAAGUAGAUAAUGAAUGAAGUAUAGUGGAGAAAAAUGAAAAUGAAAAUGAAAUGAGAAUGUUUUAAAACUAAGAAAAAUGAUCAAAUUGUGUAACAGAGAUAACUUAAGCGUUCAAAAUGAAUCGAAUUUUAUUUAACAGACGAAAACGAUAAUACCUAAAUAGUUAAGAGACCAAAGAUUGAAUGUAGCAUAAAUGUAAACAUGCAUAAAUUUUUGAACAACAUUGUUAGUGGUCUAUACACAUCAUAUAAAUGUAUAAAUGUAUAUAUGAAUGAUAGAGAAAAAUGGUUUUAAGUGUUUUUGUUAGUAUUGGUCUAUUAUACAAUGUGCUAAAUGCAAAGUAGAAUAUAUUGAAUUGAGAGUGAUAAAAGUAGUAUUAAGUAGUGUUUUAUAUCUUAGUGAAUACAAUAUUUUUUUUUUUUUGGUAGAAGUGAAUACAAUAUUAUUGUGGAAAGUAUAAUAUAUUUUGUUGUUUUGUGAAAUCAGGAAUCUUCACUGAUACAUGCAGGGUAUGCAAUAGUUGCGGUGAAAUGAUGUUUUGUUCGUAAGGAUGUAUUAUUUUAAUUGCAAAAAGUAGAAGUUAGAUAUUGGUGUAACAGUUAGAUAUUGUUCGUAAGGAUGCAUUACUCAUACAAAUUGAAGAAUAAAAUCAAAUUGGUUAUAAUAUUAAAAUAAAUAACCAAAUUGUGAAGUGUAAAAAAUUUAUACAAAAUAUUAAUUUGAAGACUAUUAUAAGACAAAAUAAAAUCAGUGGCGUAAAUAAAAUAAAAUUAAGUGAAUAGAUUUGUAAAAUAAUUAAAUUAAAACCUAUAAAGCAAAGAAAACUAUUAAGUCUGAAUAGGUAGAUAUUGAUGAACUUAUAGCAGCAUUUAUUGUAAAGAAAAUAUGGUGACUAUUAUAAGACAAAUAUUUUAUCCUAUUAAGUUUUAGGCUUCCAAUCUGCCCAUGAAAUUACUAAUUAGGAUAAAAAUCAAAUGAUUAAUAUUUUUAUGGGUAGAUUGGAAUGAUUAGUAAUUUCAGGGACAAAAAUUUAAAUGAUCUAUAUUUGCAGGAACGAAAGAGCUAUUUAAGCCUAAGUUUUAUAAAAGGUAAAUGUGUGUUGUUGUUUGGUUGAUAUAUGUCGAACAUUAACUAAAUAAUAUGUCGAUCAUAAAAAUGAUAUACCGUGUCUGCAUGUUCUGUGAUUUGCAUUAAAGUAAGAUUCGUUUGUUAAUUUGUUAAAAGCAAACAGUAGCAGUCAACGUUACAAUCAAUAAAAGUAAUUUUCUCAACUGCAAACGUUACAAUUGUUAUCUACCAUCAUAACUGAUAGUACCCAUUGAAAAAAUAAUAAAAGUAAAUAAGUUACAGUAAAAUGUUAAUGCCAUAUAUUUAUAUAAAUAAGUGGUAUCACCAAAGGAGUAACGUUAUGCUUGAAGAAGAAAGUGCAGCCAGCCAAAAUGUCAUCUUGUUCCAGGUUUGUUCCAGUUGGCUAUUGUAUAUAUAAUGUUUUAGGACAUACAUGAUUAGCCAAUGAUAUAAAUGAUAAAUUAGUUGCAAAAGAUAAUGUCUAUUAUCUGGAUUAAUAACCAAAUUAUUUAACAUGCAGUGUUGAUAUAGAUCCUGAUUAUGCACAAUUUCUUGCGACAUACAGUCCAGCUGAAUUUGGCGAAGAAUUUUGUCAAUUUCAUGCAGACUGUACCCUAGAGACUCUAUCAUGGCAGUUGAUUUUUAGUGAAUCCAAUCUGAACUCUCCAAGUGUGGUGGUAAGGGUAAUUAGACAAUAUUAGUAUAUAAUGUUUGAAAAUAUUAAUUAUGAUUUAUAUAUGGUCGUAAGGAGGUUAAUAAUUUUGUUGUAGAUUAUUCGAAAGGACAUUAACAUGCUUACCAAUAUAUUAAUUAUUGAUGAAGCUAUUGGAUUUUCAUGCAUGUGUGAGCUAGAAAAUUUAUCAGUGAGAAAUACAUAGGCUAUGGACGGCAGAAUUAUGUUGAAGUAAAAGAUCUGGCUGUUGGUGAAAAGAUGGAAUUAAUGGUCUCGGAUAAUGGAAGAUUUCUGAAAGUUAAGAAAAUUUGCCAAAGUUAGUAUUGAUGGUGUUUAGGAAGUGAAAAUGUUAUGUGUUAAAAUAAUAAAAUGGUUGUUUGUAUUGUAGUAUUUUAUUUGGUGUGGUGCUUAUGUUGUUUAAAAACAUCUUGAAUCUUAUUAUAAGCAUGUUAAGUUGACUAUGUUAUAUAGUAUUUUGAUCAUAGAAGGCACUUAUCAUAUAUUUUAGAGUAAUUGUGUGUAACAGACAUACCACAAUAAAAUUCCAGUCAGUUGAAUGAAUGCAUUAAACAAACAUAUAUAAAUUUAGAACAGAUUAACAAAGCUCCGAUCUCAAUACAUAUUAUUUAUAAGUUAAUAUAUGAUAACUUCGUUGUUUGAUUGUUCCAGGUUAGACUUCAAUACUUGGCGUUACUGGUAGGGAUGGUUGCUUUCCAAAACCUGUGUAAGUACACAUAUAUUUUACGAACUGUAAGUGGCUGAAUAUUGAUAUUGAGUUAAGUAACUUGAAAAACAAAAAGGAAGAUAGAUAUUUGAGUACUUACAUGCUAAACAUAUUGAAAUACUUCCUUAUAAACCACAUUUGUAGUAGUUUCCUUUGGAUUUUUGUUUUCAUCAUGUAUCAAAAUUUUGAUACCUUUUUUGCUUGUUACCCUUGAUAUGGCAACAUAAAUUUGACCAUGACUAAAUACAUCUCUUGGUAAAUAUAGACCAACCCAAUCAAGAGACUGCCCUUGAGAUUUGUUAAUUGUCAUUGCAUAUGACACAAUUAUUGGGAACUGUCUCCUAGAUAAUUUGAAUGGCCAUGGAGAUUGUGAUGGUGACAUGUCCAUCCUUGGAAUGUAUGUAACAUUACCAUGAUGUUUACCCCCCAUAAUCUUUGCUUCUAUUACAUGAGUUGCCAGCUUUGUAACAAUCAUUCUAGUACCAUUACACAACCCUUCAGUUUGAUCCAAAUUCCUCAAAAGCAUUAUUGGAGCUCCAACUUUUAAUUUGAUUUGAUGAUUUGGAAGUCCUGAAGUGCGUAAUGAGCUUAGAAAUUCUGGAGUUAACACUUCAAUAAUGUUGUUGUCAUUAAUUUCGGAUCUAUCAAUUGAAUUGGCACUAUAGUAAACUCUUUCAUCACCUAAAAAUUGUGCAUAAAACAAAGUAAUUGGCUUUUACUUCUGUUUAUAUAUUAAUAUUGUGCAUAAAAUAAAUAAAUUGAAUUUUAACCUGGCAUUAAAUCAAGAACGUAAUCAUUGAUUUGAUCAACUACUUCAAUAGUUGAUGCCAAUAUUGCUCUAUUCUUCAAAUAUUCAUAAGAUCUGUAAUUAUCCAAGAAAUUUGGAUAUGUACUUGUCACAAUUGCUAGAAUUGGAUCUUGAAAAUCCAAGAUUAACAUGUCCUUAGGAAUUGUUAUCUCAGCAUAACCGUCAUUAGGUUCUGCAAUUUUCCCUUCACCUACCAUUAAUAGCCAAUUUGAAAAUUCUGAAAUCUGCAAAUUUUCUUCAGGAUUAGAACCUUGUUUUAAUCUCAUGUUCUGUGUCAAAGUGAGAACUUGACAAUGAUCCCAUAUAUAUGAGGCACUGAUGGAAGCAUGCACAAUAUCUGAUCUAUUUCCUCUUGGAACAACCGGAAGAAUUUGUCUAAAAUCUCCUCCAAAGACAAUGACCUUUCCGCCAAAAAUUGUGUCACACUUAGUUAUGCCAUCACCCAUUAUAUCUCUAAGUGUUCUAUCCAAACACUCAAAGGUAUAUUUAUGUGCCAUUGGUGCUUCAUCCCAAAUAAUCAAUUUGGUUUGCCUAAGUAGUUGUGCCAGAUCACUAUCAUGAUCAAUUUUGCAUGUUGAAUUUUCAAAUGUUGGGACUGGUAUCUUAAACUUAGAGUGUGCAGUUCUCCCACCAGGAAGUAGAAGGGAUGCAAUUCCGCUGCUAGCUACUGUGAGAACAAUCUCAUGUUUUGAUCUGAGUGCACUUGCAAGUGUUCGCCACAUAAAGGUUUUACCUGUUCCACCAUGACCAUGCAAGAAAAAAACCCCUCCUCUUUGAUUUUGAACAGCCAACAUGAUUUUGUCAUAUAUUUGACUUUGUUCAUUCUUGAUAUAGUAUAAGAAAGAGAAAUCAAAUGUUAGGUGAGGGAUUCACUUAAUACAACACUUGAUUAAUGGAUGAAAAUAUAUUAAAUUUUACCUGUGAGUGAUGCAUGCAGUUGAGCAAAUUCCUGUUUUAAGGCAUCUGUGUUAUAGUUGCGCUCAUCAUAUAUAAGUCUAUUGCCAAGCUGCUCUAAAACAUAUCCUUUAGGGUAAGGAAUUGAAGGGAAUUCCUUCAAACUACGUCUGCUUGAUUGUAACAGUUUUUCAAUCUCAAGCAAGGUUAAAUUAUGCAGAUCUUCAUUAGAAAGGUAUAACUCUGUGUAUUGAAUAAUAAAAAUUGAUCCCAUUAGUUAAUUUAUGAAGUACUGAUAUGUAGUAUAUCCGAUAUGGAGUUGAAACAAAUACAUGCAUGUAAUAGAAAUUUAUACCUUGAUUGUUAGCUAAAAUUCUCUGAGCAUAUAAUACUCCAUCUGACAACCAAUGGACGGUGCUACGCCAUACAUGAUUUGGUCUAUUCAUUGCUCCAGAUAAUAGCAAAAUAACAAACAAUCUUCUAAGGAAAUAGCCUGAACCCCAUUGAUAUGCUUCUCUUAUGGCUCCUAUAAAUUCCCUAUCAUCAUCCAAAAAACCCAUGGCGAAACAUGCAUCUCUAAAACAAUGAUACUGAAUUUCCCCAACUUUGCGAAUUUCUUCAUAAGUAGUUGGUCCUUUGACAACAGUUAACAUUAAUCUCAAAUAGAACAACUCUCCGGUAGUUGGAGGUACCCAUAUUAGUCUACCGAUAGUAAAUCCUCUCUUCCUUGGGGUCCAGGCUCUGUUUUUUUUGUUGUAAACAAAUUUGGUUACAAACUGACCAUAAGUGAGUUCUCUGGCUGCCACAUAUUGUUGAUUUGCAAUUAGCCAGGCUGUGAACAUGGAUUCUGUAACACUUGCUUUUUCAAGUACAUUUUCCAUUCGAGAGUGAUCAGUAAAGUAUAUUGCUUUCUCUCCGACCAUAUGAAAGAACAUCCGUUCAACUGCAGGUUUACGGCCGUGAAUUGGGAAAGAGUAAAUUCUCCAACACGCUUCACUUGGAGAAAUAUACCUACAAUCAAGGUAUUGUUUGAUUUCAUCUAUGGGUUGUUUUUCAAUUCUUGAUUGUUGAUUAGAUGGCACAAUUUGUGCUGUAAUACGAUCAUAACCUUUGUGAAUGUACUUGAAUAAGUACUUAAUUGAAGUGCUCUGGUUACACCAUUCCAUGUUAAUAUGAGCUUGAUAUUUCAACAGUAAAGUAACAUUAUAUGGAACAACAUGUCGAUUAUCCAAGCUCACACCAUUUUUGACAAUUGUGUGUGUAGUAGCACUCCUCUUGUAGACUGGAUAACCAUUAUGAUCCACAAUGGUUGUUUCAUUAAACUUUUUAGGAAAGAACUUGGAACAUUUCUUAUCUUUCAUGCAUGGUGACUGCCACCGAGCCUUACCACAUGGACCAUGAAUCAUAUGACUCCUGACCAAAUUGUAUAGUUCAUUGUGUAUCUUAGGAUCUGGUAUUUCUGCUGAAAUAAUCUUGUCUAUAUCUGCAGGUGUUGGAUAUUUGCUUGUUGGAUGUAAGAACACCAAGAUAUGAGCAUGUGGUAACCCUCUUUUCUGAAACUCAAUUGUGUACAUGUCUGUCAAGUCCAAUAACUUGUGUUAAUACCAUUAACAAAUAAAGAUUAUUUAGAAAUUUGAAGAAAUGAAAUUAUGGUUGACAACAAAAUACUUACAUGCUAAUACUUUACCAAGUAUAUGUCUUUUGGUCAAGUCUUUCAUAAGUUCAUCAAACUUGAUCUUGAAUACUCUAGCAACAAUAUCUGGACGAUCCUGUGGUUUCAAAUUAUAUUGUGCAAGUUCUCUUUUGAUUUCAGGCCAUGCUGGAUUGCAUGUAAAUGUAAUAAAGAUGUCAGGAAACCCAACAGCAUUUGAAAUAGCCAUACCAUCAAAAUACAAUUGAUCCAUGUAUCUUUUACUACCAACAAAUGUUGAUGGUAACACUACCCUUUUUCCUUUCAAUGUUGGUCCACUUUGGUUAUUUGUGGUAGGAGUUUCUGCUAUCUGUCUGUAUUUUCCUACCCUCAACUUCGAUUGAUUUCUCCUUAACCAAUUAAGCCUCUCGGCUUCCAUCAUUGUAUAACCAUCACAACUAAAUUGCUGCAAUAAUUUCCUUGAGCACAACAAAGUAAGUGCCUCACCUUUUCUUCGUUGCAGUCGAAAUGAUAGCCAAUGCAUAAUUGUCAACUUUUUCUUUUUUGUAAUGUCUGUAUCAUCUACAAAGCGUAGCAGUAUUGAUGGCCGAUAUCCAUCCUCACCAUAUGGAAAAAUGAGAGGAUAUUGGAAACUCAAGUAACUUGCAUGAAAUUCAUCUAUUCUUUGCAGAUUUCCAGACUGUCCUUGCAUAAUUAUAUCUCUAUAUGAAGCAGAGUCAAUAUCACCCAAAACUAAUGCAGCAACUUCGGAAACAGUAGGUUUGUUGUAUAUUCUGCCAUCAGUUUUCCUGUCUGCAAUUAACUUUAAUUUCACAUCUUGAAAAUUAACAUCAUUUAGCAUAUCCCUUGCCAUUCGAAAAACCUUUGCAUGGACAUUGUUCUGAUCAAGCAUUAAUUUGAGCUUCUUGACAAUUUCUUCAUCUAUAUCUUUAUUAGUCCUAUAUAAGAUUGAUCAUAUGAAUGAGUAAAUUUUAUGUUAAGUAAAAGGGAAGAUAUAAUUACUACAUAAGUAAUUGCGUUAGUUAUUAAUUACCUGAAGCUAUUCAUUCGAUUUGAUAUUUCAUUAUCAGUGUCGAAAAUGUAUAGCUGAGCAUAUUUAGGACUAUCCCCUGGCAAAGGCAACAGACUUCCAACUCUGUGACAUGUUUGUCCUUGCAUUCUUAAAGUUGGUGGACCUUUUCCAUUGUUAAUUUUAGUAUCCAUUUUCAUGCCAGGUGAAGUAAAAGAAAACAUGGCAUUGUAUGUCCUUAUAUUUGUUUGGAAAUUUUUGGUAGCUGGUGAUUGGUUUCCAAAUAACAAAUCUUGCAAAAGUUGUGGAGGUUGUUCUAAAAGAGGAAGUUUUACUUUCCCACCUCCGCAACAUAACUGAAACUUAGGUACAGUUGAAUGCCUUGACUUAUCCUUUCUUUCUUGAUACCACAUCAAGGCUCCACACAUUUGACACUCCCAAAUAGGAUCACCUAUAUCAGAAUAAACUGUUUCAUUUUAACGAAAAAAAUAAUAUGUUAGUAUAACAAUGUGUUUAAGUAGUAAAAGUAACAAAAUGUACUAAGAAUAGUUAAAGUUCCUUGAGUACUUACCUUGUGCAACAUUGUCUACAACUUCAUCAACUUCUUCAAUGUCUUCUGAUGAAGUAUCAUCAGAAUGUACUGAUUGAUCAGUAUCAUCAGAAUCAUCUUCUGAUGAAGUAGUAUCUGAAGAUCGAGUUGGUGUUGAGGUCAUUGGUAGAUGAAUGAUGUUCGAUGAAUAGUACUGUCCAUCAGUAGUGGGUGCUUUUCUUUUGUUAGUAUGAUGUACUCCCACUCCAUUUGUUGUUGGUUGUUGUGCAGAAUGUUGCAGACUUACAUUUGAAGUAGAAGUAGAAGGUAUUUGAUGAAAUAUGGAAGCAUGUGGGUUUAUAAUCUGCGGAUCUGUAUUUUCUUGGUUGUUUGGUUUCUUUCUUUUACCAUUGCGGUGAACUGUCUCAGUUGAUAAGUCCGUCUGAAUUGACAUUGCAUGGUAGUUUUGUUGUUCAAAAGUAGAAGAUGCAUAAUUACUUUGUAUUGGCUCAACAGGUCUUGAGUUGAAGGUGUUUGGAUGAUAUGGUGUUCCAUGAAAUGUAGAAGUAACUGGGUUUGGAAUACUUUGAUCAAAACUAUUUUGUGUUCGUGGUUGUGUAUGAAGCUCAGUUACCUUGUUAGAGAUAGUGGGAGAUUGGAAAAAACUUCGGACAUUUGUUGAGGUUAAGUAACUUGUAACAAAAGGUAGUGGAUUGGUUAGAGUAGCCAAUGGAGUAGAAAAGGGUGGCUCGUGAAUUUCCUGUUGUUUUUUUUGUUUUCUCUUAGCAUUGUUUUGAUCUAGUCCAGUAGGUAAAGAUCUUGUUAUAGAUGGUAUUCCGUGGUAUUGAGGAGCAACUGGGUGUAGAAAAUCUGGUUUAGCAAUUUUCUUGGUUUUUGUAUGUUUUGUUAUGACAUUUUUGUUGUUUGAUUCAACAGAUGUUCGAAGACAAAUGUUGGUGGUAGGGGUUUUGUUCUUGGAAGUAGCAGCAGAUGCAGUUAAAGCAGGUCCAGGAAUACAUUUAUCUGUAUCUGCAAAUUUGGUAAGAAGAUUGAUUCCAGCUACAUGUUUCCUUUCAGGUAAAUUGGUAGGUAUUAUGAAAUUGGGUAAAUUUGGGGAGCUAUAGUUUUGAUGAAAGUAUGAUGUAGUAGGAAUGUUGAGUACAACUGAUGUUAUAUCAGUAAGUGGUGUUGAAUAUACAGAUUGUUGAUUUUGUUGGAGUUUGGCAUUGGCAUUGGCACCAGAACUUGGACCUGGGGAUUUUUUAGGCUUCUUAGUCUCGAGUAAAGUUCUUCUUCUUUGCCUUCUUUCUGCAGACCGUCUAUUAGAUGGUUCCAUACAUUGUUUGUCCAUGUUUUUGACAAUGGUCUACAUGAAAGUACAGAAACAUUAUGUGCAACAGACUACAUGAUGUGCAAUAUUUUAGGAUGCAUAUUUAAAUGAUUUAAGUAACAAACAAUGCUUCCAAUGAUCCAUGUAGCAUUGCUAUUAUUAAAUCAUAUAUAUAAUAUGAAUUUAAUAAGCUAUAAUUUAUAAGAGUAAAAUCAUGUAAACUUAAAUAACCUAAUUUGAUUGUGAAACCCAGUUAAAAUUGGAGCCUAAUGAUCAGUUUCUUGAUGACAAUAUGACAUAAUAAUGUGUUACUAUUUUGAGUUCCUAAAAAUGAACAGUUAUAUUGGUAUUUCUCUAAACUUGAACUAAAAUCUUAACAUAUAGGAAACAAUUUGUAUCAUACCUGGAUGUAUAAGCAGACCUGAAUGGCAAAGCAGGUUGAAUGGAAAGUUUCAGUCCUCCAAUGUUCUUCUUAUCCCUGGUAAGGAAAACAAUAUAUAUGUUGGCACCUUUAAUGAAUCAGUAGACAUGUAAAAGUAUUAUAAAAAUGUUUAGACUAUAUUAAAUUUUUUGAUAAAACUAUAUAUUUAGAGUCUUGUCAAUUAUUUUAUAUAGUGUAAAAGCAAAAAAGGGAUAAUGGAAAAUUGAAAUAGACAUGUCUUACAUAACACGGGUUGCAGAGUAGUAAAAAGAGGCAAAAGACUGUUCACCAUGGUACAUUCAUUAAAUGAGUAGCACGACUUGCUAUGCAAAUUUUCAAAAGGUCUUCUCCUAGAGAGAUAUAGGUUUGUAAUGAUAGUCUUUGAUGUGUAGCUGUAAUUAGGCAAGAGCACAUCAUUCAAAUUUAAUUAUAAUAUAAGAAAACUGAACCAAUUCAUUGUGAAAGUGUGAUCCAAUAUAAAUGAUAGGGUUAAACUUAAAAUUAAACAGGAACCAACACAUACUUUUAGUCGUUGUAAAAUUUGUAUUUGUUUAAUUGUGCUUAAACUUUUAAAUUUGUAACUAAUUUAAAGAGUGUCUUACGAUGUUAUGAACAUGUAUGUAAAAAAAUCUUUCAAAAAUUUAUAAGUUUAAGCAUAAUUAAACAAAUUUUAAUUUAACAGGGACUAAAAACAUUAACAGAAAAUUUUAUAGGAACUAAAAAAUGUGAUUUAUUUUUAUAGGGACGAAAAACAAAACUGCAGAUUUUUAUAGGGACCAAAAACUUAGUUAGAAUGGAAGCAAUAAUAUUUAACAAUUGCAUCAUUACUUGACAUUGUUUAUACGCAUCAGUUGAAUGUUUAUUUGUUAUUUAAUAAUAAAAGGAAAAUGAACCAAUAUAUAUGUAAACGUUCAAGAUGAAGUCAAUAUAACAUUGAGACUGUUGAAAUCAGCUAUAGGCAUGAUAAGAGGAUUGUGUACACUUGAAUUGAGUUUGGGAAAUUUUAUGAUCAUAUAUUGUUGUAUAGUAAUUAUUAUUAGAAAUAUUUAUGAAAUUAGUAAAUUAUCUGGAUUCUGCAAAUAUAAGUCCUUUAUUCUUGAUAGACAUGGUUGUUUGAAUAGAUUUGGAUUGAAGGGGGGUUUAAGAUUUGUGGAAAAAAUACAAUAUCUUAUAAGGGUUUUAUAACACAGAAAAGUUAAUUCCUUAACACAAAACUUAUGUGUGAAUUAAAUCUAUAAUAACGUAUAAUAUUUUACUAUAAGUUGAUGAGUUUUUGAAAGUAUUUGGAGGAUAUACAGGCUGUGAGCAUUUAAGAAGGUAAGCUGAUACUUGUGAUGUAUUGUUGUAUGAAUAAUGAAACAUAAGGUAUAUUUGUUAGGCGUAAUGUAACGAACAUAGACAUAUCAUAACUCUUACAUAAUCAUAGAUAGUAUUCAAUAGUGGAUAAGGAAGGUAGGUACAAUCACUUGUUUAAAAGUUUGUUUCCAAGUGAUUGUCAUGUACUAAUAAUAUUACAAAUCAGCAUAAAAGUAGUAAAUGGUUGGACAUUUUAAAAGUAGAAUAUAGUAUGGAAAUAAAGCAUAUGAGAAUGCAACAGCAAGCACGUUGUUGUUGCUAUGGUCAUAUUGUGAAGACAGCUUUCACUUCUUUUCAGUUUUGAUGACCUUAACCCUCUUGGAUGAAGAUUGUUUUGCCGGAAUGAUUUCUUCAAAUAGUGGAGGAUUAGGAAGCAUGACUGGUUGAACCAAUGUCAUAGGUGUAGGAAUAUCAAAGGAGGGAUCUUUGUUCAAUUUCAGCUGAAGCUUAUCACUAAUUGGUGUCAAUUGGCUCAAAGUAUCAGGGUCGUUUUCUGCGGUUCCAGACAACUCCUGCUGAAAGACAAACAGAAAUAACAUCGACGUUUAUAAGUAGGUUAAUUGCCAUUUAAUUGUUGAAAGAGAUUAUACAGAAUUAAUGACAAUUUGAGUCAGAUUAAACUUACAGCAGACAUGGUAACUUCUUCAGUCAAGGAGGUAUUAUCAUUAGGCUUAUCAACACCAACAGAUUCAUUUAGCAGAGGAAUAACCUGUUAAAACUCAAACAGUUAAGGUGCGCAUGGUCUCCUCUGAAGUAUGUAUAUAUGUUGACAUAGGGUAUUGAAGAUAAUUGAUUAUGUAAGAUAGACAAACUUGACAGUGGUGUAUAUUACAUUAUAAGUUGCAAUACCUUGGCAUUGGGGAAUUUAGCCUUGACCAAAUUAACUAAAGCAUCAGCGUCUCUGUAACAGACAACAGAAGUUGUCUUCCACUUUGGCUGCCACUUGACCUUGAAGACAUAUGUCUUUUCACCAAUGCCAUCCAAUAGCAUUGGAUACUCAAGUCGGUUUGUAAUCCCAGCCUAUGACAUAGACAUAUAUAUUAGGAGUUAGACGUAAAUAUCGUAAAUUGGUUUAAAGCAUACCAGUAUAUAAAAGGUAAUAUUUAAAACCUGAAUCAUGUUAGUGCGGAGCUGAGCGGCAGAAAUGCCCAAAAGCUGUGUGGCCUCACGAUCCCACAUAACAAAAGUUCCUUUGGUAUUCUCAUAGGAGACAUUCAGGUCAAGUUUAUACCUUUGUUAAACAAUGUAUGAAUCCAUCAAGUUAAAAACUGAGAAGAACUCUAAAAUCACAUUAUAGGGGUAAAGUAUUAGAUAUAUACCUAACAAUCUCUGUCUCAGUAUUAUGGCCAGACUCGCAUGUGUAUGGAGGAUUGUCACCCUUGGCAAUCUUCCCACAUUUGAAGCAUGCGAAAUAGUACCAACCAAACUUAGUUGAGUUAACUUUUUCCACUUCAGCCACAGUGACACAAUAUGAAAUCUGGAACGAAUAAAUCACAAGUCAUUAUAAAAGCUAUCUAAUGUGAAAUAGUGUGAUAUAUAUUUAACCGCAAUUCAAACAUCUAAAAGUACCUCUUGUAGUUGAAGUAUAUCAGCUAGAGGCAUGAUAAGAGGAUUAGAGAGCAAGUCAUCAUCAGUAAUAAACUGAGAGCUAGAUUGGGAUUGUGUACACACUAAUUGAGUUUGGGACAUUAACUGGUCAUCUUUGGGCAAGCUAUAUAUAUAUAUAUAGUACUUGAAAUUAGUGUACAAUUAGUAAAUUGCAAUAAUUUUGAAAUAUAUUAUGAAAAGUCAGAAUGAAACUUGCCUUUCCCUAAACCUCUUGAUCUCAGCUAUGUCUUCAUUUAUAAGCAACUUCGUAGCACUAUAAGUAUUUGUGACACUAAGAGGGUAUUUGCCUGAAAGUUGUUCUUGUUAAAUUUAUUUUAUGGUGUAUAUCAUCUAAAAAAAUAAUGGGACCAAUAAUAAAACGCAACAACAAAUAUUAAACACCAACCUUCUUCCUUGAUCUUGCCAUACUUCAACAUAACAAUAAUGGGACCAGUUUCUUUGUUUUCAUUGUUAAACUUUAUGAACUUUGCAGCAUAAUCCUCCCAAAGAGUGCAGUUAAGAGAAAUAUCACUGGACUCAUAUUUGAUUGGUUAGAUAAGUCUUAAUAAGAUAAUACAUAAUAAAUGUAUCCAAAAAAACAUUAUUACAUGUAACUAACCUUAGGUCUUUCAUCAGAAAAUUAACCUGUAGCUUUUUACCAGUUCCAGCCAUAACUUGACAAUAUCCAAUUUCAUGAACAUACCCUAUGACAUCUAAAUAACAAAAACAUUCAAAUAAUCAUUAUAUUGUAUAUAUGAUAUGAAACGUUUAAUCCAAUGUUAAAAAAUUGUAAUGACAUACGAACUAAUAGAUCAGCACGCCAUUUCCCAGCAAUAAUCUCAGCCAAGGGCUUGAACUUCAUGUUAGGUAAGGGGAUAUCAUGGACAUUUGCGUCUACAGCUGUAGUUCCACCAGUCCAUUUCAACUUGUACUUGUUAUCAGAUGCUUUGAAUACCAGGUCAUUUGGAAAGACCUGAAAGUUGCUUAAAGUAUAAGUUGAGUUAACCUUAAUAAGUUUCUCAUAUUCAGCCCUGUAUGCCGUUGGAAUGAUAACUUGAAUGUCGGUUCCCUGUUCAACAGAUCAAAUAAAGGGUAACAGUAACCCAAUGGUUAAGUAAAAAUUAUAUAACUUUAUAAGUGAGGAAGAAAAGUUAAUAUUCUAAACUCUAACGACCAUAAUACCUUGGCAUCAACAAUAACCAUUUCCAUGUGCUCCAUCCCAUCCUUUACAACGCUCCAUUUGUCUGUAACCUUAACAGCAACUUUCCAAAAGUCUUUCUUUUCAUUGAUAUCUCUCAAGAAUGCAACUGGUCUCAACAUAUCAGCUGAUUAUUGGUAAAAGAUUACAGCAAAUAAGUUAGGCAGAUAAUGAAUUCAAUAAUGCAACCAUAAUGAAGAGCAUGCAUUAUGAGAUGCAAUAGAAACUGAGAAUUUAACCUUGAAAAUUCUGAAGCAGAUGUUUGAAAAAUCAAAUAUAGAUCUCGAAAUCUUGUAGUGGUAGUAGUUUGAAGUUUGAUGUUAUGAGUAGAAGAAAUAAAUAUUUGAUAUGUUACAUUAUAGUGUAUUAUGGAAAAGAGUGAGGGUGGUGAUUUGAUACGGUAGCAGGUGAACAGUAUAAAGUAAAAGUUGGUGAUUUGAUUCAAAUUGUGUUAUUGUUUUUUGUUGUUAACUGAACUGAAAAUAGAAACGUCAUUGAAGUAGUUAGAAUUGAAGGGAACACAAAGUUUGAAGAGGAAAAUAAACCAAACUAAAUAAAAGAUGACAUCAUUGUAGCAAACCAAUUUGUAAAUGUAGUCAAUUAGUUGGUAAAAGUAAUUUUUAGACAAAGAUUACCCCUAAAUUAAUGACGUGUCAUAAGGGUAGAUUGGGUGCAUAUAGGAUUUUCCACCACGUUUAGUUUUCAUAGGAUAGGAUAGGAUUGAUUCGCUCGCUCCUAACAAACUCAACUCAACUCACGAUGAUGAUGUCUGGGAUUCAAGGCCAACCUCUCGAGGUUACUGGUAAGAGCAAUUCAGUUGAUUUUACUCUUUGACUUUGUUUUGAUUUUAUUAUUAAGAGAUGAUGAAUUGUUCCUUCCUUGUUAUUGUAGUCGUUUCUUGCUCGAAAUUGAAAGACACUGAAUGGAUUUCAAGACAAGAUCCCUACGUUUGCAUCGAAUACGCUUCCACCAAGUUCCGAACAAGAACAUGCACUGGUAAUUUCAAUCCUUCUUCUUCUUCUUCUUCUUCUAUGACUGACUUUGUUGACCGUAUUUGAAUCGUUGACUCUUUCAUUCAAUUCCAGACGGCGGAAAAAACCCUGUAUUUCAAGAGAAGUUCAUACUUCCCCUAAUUGAAGGCCUUCGUGAGAUCAAUGUUGUCGUUUGGAACAGCAAUACCGUCUCCUUCGAUGAUUUUAUCGGCACCGGAAAGUAACUAUAUUCACUUCACUACUUCUUAUCAAUCAUUAUCUAUUACUCUAUCACACUAUUCAUUCUCUGUCUUAUUUUAUGUUAGGGUUCAAUUACACAAAGUUCUCUCUCAAGGUUUUGAUGACUCUUCCUGGCCACUUCAAACUAAAACUGGCAGGUAUAUAUGUUAUGCUUAUUUCUGUUGCUAUUGCUACCUUAUUUUGCCCCCCCCCCCCCCCCAAAUUAUAGAUGAGACAUGCUUCAUACACUUGUUUCUUAGAUACAACUCAUUCAUGCUUUUUAUCCAAAAUAAUCCUAGUGACAAAUUCACAACAGGCAACACUUGUUUUCACUUCAUUAUAAUUAUUAUACAUUAAUAAACAAUCAUCCAUACCAUCUUUCUUCAACAUUUUUAUCCUAUAACUUUUCUCAACUUAUCAUAUUCUUAAUUUCUAAAUUUUCAUUUAUCUUUAUCACACCCGUACUACAGAUCUUGGAUUCAUAGAUAGAUUCUCCAAUACUACUGUUUAAGUGUUGAUACUACAUUAUUAUGACUAUGUCUGAUGCAUCUUUGACAGACACGCAGGCGAAGUAAAACUCAUACUGCAUUAUACCAAUGCCAAUGCCAAUGCCAAAGUGAAUCACCAGGUAACCUACAUUUUCAUUACUAUAUAUAUAAUAUAAUAAUUGGAAUUGAUCUUAAUGAGUGUGUUUGGGAUGCUAAUAUAUUGCAGAAACCAGGCUCCUCAAGCCAUACUCCCUAUACAGCAAUGCCAACGCCGGCAGUCCCAUCAUAUAAUCACGUUCCUUCCUACUACCCACAACAACCACACUCUAAUUAUCACCAUCCAACAACACCUGCUGUCGCUUAUCCACAGCCACCACCUUACCCUGCUUCACAUAAUCCAUCUUCUUAUCCACCAUCCUCAACAUAUCCAUACCCUCAAUCAGUGUCAUCUCCCUAUCCACCACCCUCAUCAUCAUCACCAUACCCUUCAUCAGUGCCAUCUCCCUAUCCACCAACCUCAUCAUCAUCACCAUCACCGUACCCUCCUCCCCACUCUUAUCCGCCAUCUUCAGCUUAUCCACCACCAUCAUACCCUCCACCUGCAGGUUAUCCUCCAAACACUGGUAAGUAAUUCUUGUUUCUCUGCCAACCAUUUCAAUUUUCACAUCUACUGCUUUAAUAAUUUUUUCCUUUCUAUUCACAUCCUUUUUCAGGAUUCUACCCUCCACCACCAUAUUGACACAGAUAUGCUACUUUCGCUACCAAGGAACCACCGUGCUUUUGUACAUGAUUAGUUUGUACAAUCUUGCCCAGAUUUUGUUUCUUAUAUCUCUACAGUAGGAGCAUUUGUCGAAGUUUUUAUUUUCUAUGCGUCAUAAAGAUAGUUUUUAUUUUCUAGAUAUACUAUCUAUCAUUAUUUUUUUGGGUACAAAUCUAUCAUUCUAUUAUAACUAAGAUGUGGAUUAGUGGCAUCAUAUCAAUUGUUUAUUGCUUCUGAAAGUCAUUAUAUGCUCUCAGUUACAUUAUACAAGCGGACGGUUUAGUAUCCAAUUUGGUCAUACACAGAGAAUGACAAAUUUGGGUAUUCACCCAUCCAUGUUAUGGUGUGAGUAGGCUUAGUAUUCCCUAAAUUACACAUUUAUUUAUAUUUUACGGUUUUUGCACAAUCUCGCAAAACCCAUCAAAGGAAAUCUUGUAGAAAUUGCUCCUUAGUUGUACUUUUGUCGGGGGAUUAGUUAUAACUACGUUAUAGUUUUCAAUGUCUCUCGUGUUUUGUAGUUAUCCUUUAUAGGGAGUAUGUAAUUGGACCAAUCCCUUUGUUUUCGGUGUCGUGCCUCUAAUAUGAUUAGAGAGCCAGUGGGUCUACCAUCUGACCUUUUAUUAUUGGAAUCUCUAUAGGUGUCUGGUUUUGGCAGACAUGAUCUAAUCCCUUCUUUCCUCUGUGUCAGUGUGGUUGAAUGAUCUAUGUCCUCUAGGUGUAUUUUGUGACUCACCCUCAAACUAGUUCUUGGGGGAAAAGAUUGUAGAUGAGGCUACAAUUCACUUUUGGCAUGAUAUUAAGCCGGGCUCUUCAUCAUGGAUUGAGGUGUUCCAUAGGUUAUAUUAUGUAUCGGAGCAACGACAUGAUUUAGUUGGUCCUCGUGUGAGUUGGCCGGAUAGAUCUUAGGUAGAGGAGGAUCCUAUUUGUUCGGGAAGCUGCACUACUUGUGAAGUUAUUGUCUAUAUUGUCUUUAUAUAUAUAGACGGUGUUGAUAGUGUGUGAUAUGGAUGAGGUUUUCUCAGUGAAAUCCACCUAGUAUAUCUAGUAUCCUCAAAGCUUCUUGGUCAGUAAAGCUUUUUCAACCGUGCGAUCUUUGUUUAUGCUCCUUCCAGCGUAUGUGAUUUUUCUUCACAAUUGUGGGACAAACUCCCUGCAAAGGCCAAUUUGUUUUGGAGGAGAGUGAUUUUCGAGGUACCAAAUGCUGUUUGUGCCUUGUGUGAAGAACAAAUUGAAAUAAGUUGUCAUAUAUGUUUGAAAGGUGUAUUUCUCCUUUUAUAUAUUAUAUGGUAUUUCUAUCUAUCACUAGCUAUGACUUGUGUUAUUGAUACCCCUAAUCUCUCCCAUCCAUUCUCUAUAUAGUUCAUCAGGCAAGAUUCAAAAGGGAUUGUCAUUUAUAUGACAUUAAGUUUUGUUGUGAUAUGGGAUGUGAGGAAAGAGGAAUGAAUGCAUCUUCUCUAACAAAGCUUAUCAAUAAAACAACGAAGAAAUAUUCUAAUAUAAAUCUCCAAUAUGGGAGCAAACAUGUGAGGGUCACUUCAUAGAUCCGUUUUAAGGAAUCAAACAUUGAAGUACUAAUCAUGUUGCUAAAAUGUGAUAUAGCAAUGAGGAUGCUAAAAUGUGAUAUAACAAUGAGGACCACUUAAAAUACUAGCAUUGGAGAUGUUUUAAGUGAAUCAAAAGUUGAAAAAAAAAAAAUUAAAUCUAAAUAUCGUCCCACAUAGAUAGUUCUGUUGAUGAACUAAGAAACAUUAAAGAAGUUUUAAAGAUGAGAUCCCGGUUUCAAUCCUGGAAACUAACAUAAUCACUAAUUUAACGAACAUUUGCUUAUCAAAUUCAAUAUCGUAGUGUAUUACAAUAAAUAAUGUUUAAGAAGAAAAUAUUGAUAAGUUAUAAAAAUUGAUAUUUAAUGAAGGAUACAAUCUGUAUACACAAAUGGUGCAAUUUUUUUUUUUCUUACACAAAUUAAAUGAAAUCCAGAUAGAUAUUUGUAGAGAUAUUUUAAAAACUGACUCAUAAAAGUGGCACUAUAGGAUAUAAUUGGAUUCGAUGCAUGUGUAUAAAAACUUGGCUUAAUUACACUUUUGGUCCUCGUGUUUUGACCUACUCACGAAACUGGUCCUGCCCUUUUAUAACAAAACAAAACGGUCAUUCAAUUAUCAUUUUGUUGCAUUUUUCGUCCUACCUCCUAUUUUCAAACUCCAGAAACGCAGAGAAAUGACAAUUUUAUGCGGUUUUAGACCUACCCCUAUGCUCAACCAUGAAAUGAACAAGGAAUAAAACAUGUGGGCACAAGAAAUCUAUUAUAUUCAGCACACUAACCAAAAAAACUCUAAUUUGAAACAUAUCUUAGAAAUUAGGGUUUUUUUGGGUUAGUGUGUUGAAUAAAGUGGAUUCUUUGUACCCACAUGCUUUAUUCCUUGUUUAUUUCAUGGUUGAGCAUAGGGGGUAGGUCUAAAACUGUCAUUUCUCUACAUUUUUGGAGAAUAAAAUGGGGGGUAGGACAAAAAAUGCAACAAAAAUGAUAAUUGAAGGACCGUUUUGUUCUGUUUUAAAAGGGCAAGACCAGUUUAGUGAGUUGGCCAAAACAUGAGGAUCAAAAUUAUAAUUAAGCCUAAAAACUUACACUUUUACUGCAUAGAAAUUAAUCUCAUUAUUUAUUUAUUUUUGAAAGAAGAAAUUAAUCUCAUUAAUGAAACCAAAAUGCUACAAAUAAGCAAAAUAAUAUCUUUGUACUUUUUUCCAAGGAGAAUAAGGAGAGAAAAAAAGGAAAGUGUGCAUUUAAAACAAUAUUUUCCCAUAAUAACAUUGAUUGAUGGACCGCAAUCCAUAGUAUACGACUCUAGUCAGAAUUACAUGGUAAAGAUGUCCAAGGCAAAAUCAAGAUUGGAUACCAUGAACCGAGCAGAAUAUGCAUUUGAUACCAACAUUUUUUCUUUGUUCCUUUUCCUUUUACAAAGUAAAUUGUGACGUUAUCUUUGGGAAUACAACCCAGACAUUCUCCUAUCAUGUACAAAAUCUCAACUAGCGUUAGCAAAUCCAUGGAACAUACAUAAUGUCCCUGACAUGUCACAGAUGCAAUGCCUUUUAAUGUUUUUGCAUUUUUCUAUUAUCUUUGUGCAUGAAAGAUACAAUUUUUUCUAUCAAGUUAUUCCUAACAGUAACAUCCAUGACUUGGCAAACCGGCCAAGGGAAAAAACUUCAACACAUUCAACUGUACUUCUAAAACCCAAGGAUGUAAACACGGGAAUACCUUAUACACAGCCAGGUACAGCUCAAAAACUGUCUAGCGGGCUUCCUAAACAACAGCUGAUGCAAUAUGUCACUAUUCCUUGUCACAGCUGGCAAAAUUCAGACAGCACAGUACCUCAUCAUCCCAUUGUUGACAUUUGAAUAAUAUUCGUUAUAGUUGAGAUAUUCCCAGAAACGAGAAAGCCCAAAAUUCACAUGCCUAGGUUCCUUGACAUAGCAGACGUGCAAUUCAUUUAGACUUCUUUCAAACUUUUGCUUUAUGGAAAGCACCUGGAAAUAAUUAGAAACAGCUGGUGUUAGGAUCCAAUAUUUGGUUCCCAUCAACUGGUCAGCGUAUUGUUUACUUGGAUAGGAUCAAAAUAUUUGAUGACACAACUAACAUGUUCAAGAUAGGAUGUUCCAUUUUCUGUUAUGUUCUUAUCUAAUGCAUGUAUGUUUUUCAAAAAGGCCUUUUGGCAAAGAUAAGGUUGUUUCAGAGGGAAUCAGACCCUACAAAAAAUAAAGUGUGAACAUUGAGAAGUUUUGUAGAAUGAAGGGACGUAUACACAUUGCCAUACACAGCAACGACAGUUAGUAAUGACUCGCAAAGUCUAUAAUUGAGACGCCAAAAUGCUGGAAACAGUAUUUUAAUUAAAUUCUACUUUAUAAAGUAUAAAUGUAUCAGAUAUGUGAUGUAUAUGGUACAUGGUUUACCUGGGAUAUAUUGAUUGUAGAAAGUUCUCCUAAGUCUCCCCGGCAAGCUCCUAUUGUAAGACAAGACCGGAAAUCGAGUGCACAUUGCAAAAUGCUCUCAAUAAUGCUGCCCACUGCCUUUGUUUCAUCAGACAGAAAACAUCUGCAAUAAUACAUAUACAUAAACCUCUUAUUUACCCUGAGCUUAUGGAAAAUAUUUUUAGUCCUAUAGCGUGGUAUGUCUUCCAACUAAAAUUAUGAUAUGUGACACUAUAAUGUUCUUGUUUCCUCUUGCUGUAAAUUUCUUUAGCAGUUGUGAAAGAAAACUUCCAAAUCCAAAGGUUUUUUUUUUGUGGGUGGGUACAAGUUCAAAAACUUGCACUAAAUAGUUACCCUAUUUACACAUCAAACUUGCACAUAAGCUUUACACUAUUGAUCAGUAUGCAGAUAACCAGUUACUAAUAUUACAAUAUUAAUCGAUUGGAAAUUAAUCAGUAAGCAAAUACCUAGUUAACUACUCCCUCCGUUUCAAAAUGAGUGUCGCGUUAGCCAAUUGCACACAGAUUAAGGAAUGAAAUGAAAUAAUCAUUAGAAAUAACACUUUUACUAAACUGCCCUUGUAUUAUAUGAAAAAGACAAACUUAAAGUUGCAUUGAAAAUUGUGUGAGAAAAAAGUUGGAGUAUUUAUUGAGGGUAAAGUUGGAAGAAAAAAAUUAAAGUUGUAUUGGAAAUGUAAAGUGACAUUCAUUUUGAAACAAUUUUUUUUUGCUAAAGCGACACUCAUUUUGAAACGGAGGGAGUAGUAAUCAGUAUUACAAAGGAGGACCAAACCCCGUGGAUACCCACCAAAGCCCACCCCGACAUUAAUGGGAAAAAUCCACUUUGACUAGGGCUUAUGUUGGGGCAGAGAUGGGUGUCACAUGUUGAAAAAAGAAUUUAGAAAUCAUCCAUGUCAGUCAAUUUGUGAAGGAGUAACCGCACAGGAAAUAGAGCUGGGUCGAAGAUAAUGCAAUGAAGUUGUGGCAGUGGACGGAAGAACUCUUCCCUACCCCCCACAGCCACAAUUGCCAAGCCUAGCAAGAGCUUGCCUACAGGGUGGCAUGCAGAUAUUGGUGAAGAUCUUAACUAGGAAAACCAGAUUAGACAAAUUCAUAAUUCAAUUUGUUAGCUAAAGUAAUCAUAAUUACCAAAAUACUUUCUCAAAAUUGGCUUUCUAGUAACUGUCUCUAUAAAUAAAAGCAGCAAUUAAAUGUAAACUUACAUGCUUAACGAAUCAGCAAGAUAUUCCGUGUGCACUGACUCGAGAUCCAUCAUAUCUUUCACCUGCAUGAAUGGCGGGAAUAUCCAAAACAUUGAUAUAGUGAUUGAAUUUUGAAGUCAUACACAUCAUCAUAUCUAGCCGUGUAGAGUAUUUAAUUUUUACGAAAAGGUUUGGUGCUUUUUUUGUUCCCAAUUCUAAGAAAAAGCCACAAAUUUUAAGAUGUAUUGAUUGCUGAAACUACUUUAAAAUCCUUCACAUGUUUACAAGAAAUACAUCUUUCUCCAUGUAAGUGGGUGGGGGAACAUUUAAUGACGAGGUAAUAUUUGGAAUGAACUUUCAAAACUGUAGUGUUAAAUUAGUCCUGAAUUUUUCUUCUUGUAUAUGGGACCAGAGGUAGCAUUCAUUAAUAAUUAAUAAAAUAAAGAAACAAACAGGCAGGUACAGCUCAAAAACAUGUGGCAGAUUGGCGUCGUGACGUUGUCAAAGAAGAUAACCCUAAAAACAGAUAUUUUGCCCGUAACGCCCUUGGCCCUCUUUAAAGAAAGGGUAAUGAGAUACUCUUUAAAGAAAGCAAGCAUUCUUCUCAAACCAAAGGAUAAUAUAAAAUACACAGCCCAAAACCUGGUACUAAAACAUUUAAUUUUAACCAGCAGAAACUGUUCCAAAGCAGAGGAAGCUAAAAGCCUUGAUCCUUCAGGAUUAAAACUGGUUUCCUAAUAGUACUCGUAGAACUAGAUUAGAAAUGAGAUGCGAGUCAAAUGCAACCUAAAGAAUAAUGUGCAGGAUGUCUUUAUCUUUUUUCUCUUAUUUCCUGUCUUAUAUCAAGUUUCCCACAAUAAAAACAGAAAUACAGUCUCCUAAGAAGGGCACAGCCCGUGCAGUUGUAUGCAGUGAGCUUACCCAAAAGAUAGAAAGUAAAAGUCAGACCUUCAUUUUGACUAAGCGACCACAGUUAUUAAGACACAGAUCAGAAUACAUAAGCAGUUCAGAAAAAGUGAUUUUGCGCUGAAAAUAAAUACUUAUAAAGCCCCAUAAACACAUCAAUUUAUACAUUGAAGAAAAGGAUACAAAGAAAUGAAACUAAAUAAAUAGACGCAUUGGCUUCAAACCUUAUGCUGAAGGGAAUGAAGAAACCUGCACCAUGACACAUGUGAUAAUUGUGACUCCACAUACUGCUGCAAAGUAGAUACAAAAUGGCUGAUCUGGUGCCUGUCAAUGAAAGUGGAGCAAAGGAUGCUUAGAGGUACUAAUAUACAUAUAAAGAAGCUCAUGUUCAAUAUUCAAAAUUUAUUGGAGGAACUAUUUGAACCAAUGCCCGUUGAAUUUCCCUUUAUAAUUAAUGGAUUUUUUUUUACAAACUUCUGUACAUUUGUAUCUCUAAGAUUUCACGGGACUUCAUCAAGACAGUGUCCCCACCUAGACCACAUGGUCCAAACCUCCAAGGCAUACAUUAAAGACGAUAAUAUGACGACAGAAGAAGGCCUAUCAUAGAAAACAUAGUUCAUGGUCCCAGACUUCCCAAAAAAUAUCCAGUACAUAUACCUCAUCUUCAUCAAUAUAUUAAGAUGCCCUGCCCCAGGCUGGUAUGGUUCAGCAUUUAGACCCUUAUUCGUUGUAUGUGCCAUAUCCUGUUCACCAAAAUUGAAAGAAAAUAAGCACUGCAAUAAAAUCAAAAGCCCUUAUUCCCUUGAAAAAUCAGAAUAUAAAUGCAACUCAUAGCAAUAGAAACAAUUCGGGAUAUCAGAUUAUACACUUCAGAAUGAUGCUGCAGACUAAUAAAAUUGCAGGCUCUCAGACAUUGUUCCAAAGUUAUUCGUAAUGAAGUAUAGAGAAACAUGCAAAGCAUGUCCAAACUUUGAGAUGGUAUUAGAGUCGAUCCAACAUGUAGCAUGUCCAAAAUUGCAAAACUUCACUCCAAAUGUGAAAUAUCUAAUCCUAUGCAUGAGGGGGGUGUUGAAAAUUUGAAAAACCACAUCAACUAAAGAUAGACCAAAGUAAUCCAAUAAGACUUUGACAGUCCUCAUUCAAAAUUAGUGGAAAAAUUUAGUUUAGAAAACAUUAAGGCAAUAAAUAGUUACUCGUCGAUAACUCUUUGGACAUAUUUAACCAAGAAGUGUUCAAUUAUUUUUAAUUGGAAAUUUCCUGCCAAUAAAUUGCUAAACCGAAAACUUGUUGAGGAUAGAAAUAAAUGCAGUUACACAAUAAUAACAACACGAAAAGAAAAAGGGAACGGCUGCAAGAAACCAAACCUUUAAUGAGCACCACACAUCAGUCAAUGAAAAUAAGGCAAGCUUCACUUGUAUUAAAAAGCUGAAUAUAUCAGCAUAUAUUUUUAACGCAGCAGGUGUCAAAAUAAUACAGAGUGGCCAAUCCACAUGGUAACCCAGUCCUAAGAAAUCGAAAGAACGAAGCCCUGCCAUUAAUUACGAAUUUCCUUAUCAGAAGCAUAAUUUAACCUUCCACGGACAGGUGGGGUGAGCUUGUCAAACUUGAAAUGAAAAUGAAAAUAUUAAUGAAACCAAAUAAGACAAUAAUAAAAACAAAAUACUGGAUCUCUAGUAGUAGAAGUAUAGAUAUACCUAUAGCAGAUGCUGAAAGAGGCAAUUUUCCACGUCCUUUCAUGUACACAAACAACCUAUUCUUAUUAGUGUCUUGCUCACAAGAAGACUUCUGGAUUGACAGUUCAAGUAGGCCUUGAAUUUCUGGAAGUCUCUCAGUGGCUUCUGUAACAGACCACUUCUGUGAUUUUAAGUAAAACAAAGAAUGAAUAACCGUGCAGUAUUGUAGACUAUAGUCAGAAAUCAAAGCUAUGAAAUAUUAAGGAAGUCAUUGUCAAUCAGAAUUUAGGAAUACAUGUCGCCAGAGAGACAAUAUGAACAAAUCUGCCCAAUCUGCUAAUUCCAUAAAAUGAUACCGCCGCAGUGCUAAAAGAUGCUCUUGCAACUUAAAUGCCUCCUCAAGCACAUUGAUGAUUAGUUUGCUGACAUAAUUGUAUCUGGUAUCUUUAAGGACACGCAAAGCUAUUACAUAAUACUUUCCAAAAGAAAUAUCAUACCAACCCAUUUGAAUCUGAGCAGUUAUUGAUAAAAUUCAACGUAUUGUAUAAUACUUAUUCUACAUUGUUUCAUCUGUCAACUUUCACACAUAAAUUCUAAACAUGACCAAUAAAUUACCAUUGUCCGCCUCAACAUAUUACACGUUAUACAGGCUUACUGUAUAUUUUGCACCUUGUUUAGUACAAUAAUACUCUUAGAAAGGUUGGGCCUAACACAACCUCACAAAACCGGCUUGUGAGGUGAGGACUGCCCCCACUUAUAAACACAUGCUUAGACCAUCUUUUGUCCGAUGUGUGACUCUUUAACAAAUACUCAUAGCACAAAUUUACUAUGGAGCAUGAAUUCUAAAUGGCAUCAAUUAAUUCAUGUAGCUUGUCCUACCUGAUGGGGUAUGGUCUGCUUGUUUUUUUUUUUUUUGAAAAUAUAUUGAAGCACCACUAAAUCGUUCUAUCAUUUCAAAAUAUAAAAUAUAGUACUAGGAAUUAGUAAUAUUUGCAUUUCCAUUGUGAUUUUUUGCUUGUUGAUUGUAUAACUUUCUAACCCAUCAGUAAAGAAGCUAACUGAGGCUGCAUUAACUAAUUUAUAGAAGAUAAUACAACUGACAACAUUACAGAUGCAUGAACAGUAUUGAAAGGACCCAGAUAUUACUGGGCGCCUAAGUCCCACAUCGAGUAGUGGGGGAUGCUUUGUAUUUAAGUGGUUUGGUUCUUCUGCUUGAUAGCUAGCUUUUAAGGAAGGGUUCCCCAAGUGCUAGGAUACAUAUCAAUUAGUAUCAGAUUUGUCGUAGCUCGAAAAACUACCUAAGAAAGAACUGACUGAAAAGGCCGAGUAAAGCGUUGUAAAGUGUAGUUGUUGUGACAUCGCCUAUCAUUCUCAAGGGCAUAUUGUGAUAGAGACUUGGGCAUUAUGGAGUGGCUUGGUUGUUCCACCUUGAUUGUUAUCUUGUAAGGGAGGGUUCCCCAAGUUCUUGUAUAGUAUACCUAUUGAGUAUCAUGCUAAGAAAUAAUAGAAGCUAUAGAGCAAUGAAAUAUAAAACAGCAUACCUAAACCAUUCAAUUAGGUUACCAGAAUAAAUAUAAAAAUAAGGAUACUGAACCAUGAUUUCCUGUAUUAAGCACUUGUCAAUUAUAAUAUCAAGUGGCAUCUCAAAUGUUGACAACAAAGUUUGCCUUUGAGUAGCAUCACAAUCAACAGUUUUCCGAAAACUGCCCAGCAGUCUUCCCCAGCUGCUCCCACCAGAUGUAUCUGUUAAAACAUAUUGUUUAUGGUCCACCACAUCCAGUGAAGCAUCAAAACCAUAUUUGGGUUCAUCAACCAACCCCUCUUCAUUACCACGGUCAAUUUCUCCAUGAUCAUUAUUCUGAUUACCAUAAGUAGAUGCACAGCUAUCCGGUGGAAAUGAAUAUGUGUUUGUACAGAUUGAAUCGGUGAGUAACUUGUCCAUAUAAACCUUACAAGGGUCCUCUACAGUAGAAAAGUUGAAGUACGGAAAUGGCUGUGCACAAUCUGCUGUUUGUUGAGGCAAAACAUUUCUAGUCAACAUUGGGUUCAUACUAAAGGGAUUAAUGCUAGGUAGAUUACACUGAUGGUCAACUUUUAGUGGUUGAAAAUCACACAAGAAUGAAGCCGGCGUAUUAUUAACAGGUUGGUCCUCACUCAAGGUUUCCACACUCAAAGAAUCACUAACAGCAACGCGACAUAACUGGGAAUAUUUCAUGGAUUGCAGGUGCUUUUCUGUCAUCUUUUGCUCAACAGUUCCAUCAGCAUCAAAUGAUUUUUUCAGUAAAUCGUCCAUUGCUGAAUAACUGUCAAUGCAACUACCUCUCUGUUCAAUACUGAAUUUACUUGAGUACCACGAAUUCUCAGGAUUUUGAGGGUCAAACAUGUGACUUGAUAUCAUUCCCUUAUUGGAGGACUUCAUCAAAUGAUCAACGGCGUCCAUUUUAUCACAUAUUUCAUGUGAAUCACUGCCUGGCUUUUCAUGAUGACGGGAAUUUUGUAUUGAACUAUUUAAGGUAGUGAACUUCAAGAAGCUUAAAGCAGAUAGAUGAUUUUGUUGUCCUGCUGCUGGGCAAGGCCAGCCACUAAGCUGAUCAGACUCCAGUUGCUCGUCAGAGCUGUUUAACGAUGAACUUUCAGAUUGACCAUACAUAUCUUCCAGCAAAGACAUCUCGUCUUCCAUACUUGAGACAUCCGAGUCCAAAUUAUUAGAUCCCCUGAGAAUUUUUACAAAACAUCAAUGACGAAAUAACAAAGGGAAAUAAAGUCGUAAGGACAAAUAUUUAAUAAGUCAAGCAGAGAAUGAGAGAAACAUGUUAUUAAGUGUAUGCAUCUUCAUGCACACACAUUUUUCCUGGGGGUGGGAGGAGGGGAAUGAAAGUAACAGAUUACAUAUUUGAAGAACUUUUAUCUGCUGUUGAACAGACAAUAGGUUCGUCUUCUGACAUGAGCUGGCCUAGUUUGUCUAGAGUCCCCACAUCAUUAUCAAAAGAAGAAACUGGAGCAUGCAUAGGUACCUGCAAAAAGGAAAUUCUUCAAGCAUGAGAACGAAAAACAGAGAGAAAAUAAGUACCUACUCGUAGUGGGAAAAUCAGUUCUUUUCUGCUCUCCAUUUAUUUUUAUUUUUGUCCCUAAUGGACCAAAUUUUAUACUUCCAAUGCUCCUUUUUCGAUUAGUGUCACUUCCAAAAACUUAAUAUUGAUCAAAAUAAGAUAAAACAAGACCAUUGAUAGGAACAGGACCAUGACGAAAUUUUUUUAUUCCAUAUAAGGAGCAGUAACAUUCUUGAAUAUGGAGCAGUAAUAUGCAAGCUGCACGCAAAUGUUAUGAUCACAGCAUGAAUCCAAGAACCAUUGCACUUCAGAGUAACAAGUAAUAUAUAACAAUUAGAUGAAAACAACACAUAACUCUAAACUACAUAACAUCCAGACGGCAAGAAUCAAGCUUUUACUGAUGUUAAAGAAAUACAACGUAAAUGACAGUACAAAGUAAAAAUACAAAUAAAAUUUAAACUAUAUCUGCUGUGCAGAAACAUUGUUUGAUGUUAAAAAAACCACAUGAUUCCCCAUAUCGUAGUAUUAAAAAAUAACAAACUACAUCUAAGGUGAAGGAUUGCCUGAGCAUUAUAAAGACUAUUUUGGUUAUAUCUUCAGUCGACAUGGGAUCUCAACAAAUACUAAUACUUAUUCUAAACAAAUAGGAAACAAAUGAUGAAAAUAACUAAGAAAUAUGAAAACAAAUCAUAAGACAUAAUCUAAGAUACUCUAAAGAUAAGAUCCAAAUAUUAUAGGAUAUUUUUAAUAUCAUCUGACAUAAACAAGAAGGAAAAGAUCUUGGUACAAACAUAAUUCUAAAUCAAUAAUGGGAUGGAUUUAGUUAGAAAGUAUCACAAUAAUUUGUUUUCUUCCUUACGUAUGACCUACAUCCGUUUUAAGUGAAUUUGCUUAUAGUUUUUUUUCUUCAUAAAAUAAAAAUCUGAUGCCUUUUCUGUAUUUCUUCAUCCAUUGGUACCUGUAAGAUAAUAUCUUGAAUUUUUGGCCUUGCAAUCCCUUUCUAUUCUCUUGAAAGUAAAUUAUGUAUUGGUACCACAAAAUAACUGAAAGUAAAUAGAGAUAAAAAGUUCACUGUACAAGAAACCAAAACUAUGGAGUACGAUUACCUGCUGAUAUCUAACUUCUAAGCUGCUCAAAAGGCUUUCAAUUUUUUCAUUCAUCCUUUUAUAGUAGCUUUCUCUUGCAAGCACCAUAUUAUCUAUAGUAUCUUUGUUGAAAGUCAGUGGAGAGAAAUAAGACAGACUGUUGCUUGAAAAGCCGCUCCAGCAGGGUAGAAAGUCAUCAGAACUAUGUUGUCCAGCAGCAACAUCAAUGCACAGCUCAAGUAAUUUCAAUAGUACUUGAAGCUGCUGACCAGCUCUAACAAGUGGAACCAAUGAGUCCUUGAGAAAUCCAGGAAUGGGAACUCCAUCUCGCAACUGACAUUAAGAAGUCCUCACUAUGAGAAUCAAUAUAACAAGGCAAUAGUACAUUAUUAAUACACAUGAAAAAACAGGCUGCAGGUCAGCACAGAAAAGAAUUACCCUGAUACUUGCAGAUGGGAAGUCAGCAGAAUUACCAGCUUUAACAUGCGACUUAGGAGAUAAACACCCUAUAUUUUCAACUAUAAACUCCUUGUAGGGAUCAUGUAUUUCAGCUUUGAAAAUCCAAGAUCUAAUAAACCCACAAUAUGGUUCACAUGAUUGAAGAAAAAGAAACUUGAGAAGAGUACAGUGAGCAGAAUCAGCAACCUAAAUUUCAGAAAACUGUAAAGAUGAGAAGAAAUUUAAAAAAAAACCAAAAUUUGAGCAACCUAAGAAGAAACAUGCACAAGUUCAUUUAUGAAUCAUAUUUUUUGCAACCAUAUUUAUCAUGAAAUUGCAUUUUAGUCACAGGUUAUUAUCUAUACUUAUAUAUACAGGGGAUACACACACGAUUUUGUGAUGAUACUUUUUCUUGUAAACAUACCUUUCAUUUAAACUAUGAUUGAAAUAAGUGAACUGACCUGUAAUUGAUGAUACAAAAAUGUUAAUAAGCUCCCUCCUCUGUAGAAGUCAGCAAAUUCCGAAGUAGCUUUAGCAAUGACGUUUUCAAAAUCAGUAUCGGAAACACAAUGAGCCCACUUUAGUAGGUUACAUAUACUGGCAAGGGCUUGAAUAUGAAUUCUGAGUUGUUUUGUGUGCAAAUAUAACUCAAGCAGCGUAAUUUCAGAAUGUGAAACACUGUUGAAACAACUAGAGGCAGAGAAAUCAACAGGUAUCUCCGAAGCACGUCUGAAAAUGAGAGAAGAGUGGAUAGUGUCGAGAGAAGAAAUGUAACCUUCCAAGACCUUUCCAACGGCAACAGCAAAGGCUUGAUUAACAAGAGUACAGGGAGGGAGGGAAAUAGUGAAAUGAUCAACGAAGUGACGGAGAAGGAAAACGAGAGAAGCGGUGGAGGCAAUGGAUUGAAGGAUAUUUGAGAAAGAGUGAGUGGUGGAAGCACGAUACCAGAGAUGAAGGAAAGUGGUGUUGGGAUGAUGAGAAGAAAAGAUGGGAGAUAGGUUAUGGAUAGCGAUGAUGGAUGAUUUGGAACCUAACAUUGCAUUCAUAACCAAACGAACCAAACUGGAUUCCUAAAGUAACAGAUGAUGAAAUGAUUAGUUGCAAUUAAAUAAAUAAGAUGAAAAGAAACAAAAGAGAAUAUUGAUUGAAAUUGAAAAUGAGUACUUACAGAGAGAGUGGUUUGAUUUGAAUUUGAAUUUGAAUUAGAAUUUGAAGAUAAUUGAAGAGGAAGAAGGGGUGUUGGUGUUCGUUGUUCCCAAGUGUUUGGAGGAAGCCAUGGAUCGUGUAACUUCAAAUUCUGUAACAACGAAGCACUCAUUUCCCAUUCCAUAUUUCAGUAAAACCCGCCUCACGCUCAAUUUGCAAGAACAACUUUACUUUACUCCAUGUCACUCACUGGGUUCUUCUUCUCUUCACAACAUUUUUUUAGAAUUUAGAAUCAAAAUACAUUAAUCCUUCGAUUAUAAAGUCAGUUUUUUUUUAGAGAUUUGUAUAUUAACAAAACUUUGAACUAAUUAACUUUAUUUUCCUAUAUAUAUUUUUUUUUUUUUGUAAGUAGCCCACAUUUAAAUGCAAGAAGUGAGAUGUUUGAGGUUCGAAUUCUGUCCCUUGUUCAAUUGUUUUAUAUGGUGGCUAGUGUUCGAACCCAAAUAUUGUAUAUAUUAUGCAUUGUCUGUACCAAUUGAGAUAACUUCACUAAAGCAUUGUUUUUAUUCAAUUUAUAAAAAGGCAGUUUAAUCAUUUUAAAAUUAUAUAUUAUUCUUUAAUUUUCUCUAUGUGAAUUUUAACCAAUGAUAGAGAAUACGUUCGAAAGUUUGUGUUAGAAUGUGUAUUGUUAACAUUUCUCAUACUCUAAAAUAGUUUAAAAUACUUAAAUAUUCAUGUGACAUUCUUUCUUUUUAACUUAGUCAAUAAGAAGUUAACUUAUCCAGAUAAUUGUGAUUUCAACUUGUGUUGUUGACGCCAACUUCUCUAUGUAAUUGAUAAUUUGUAACAACUCUAUUAACGUUUGAGGAGUCUUGAAGUCCAUCCCUCCUAUCAUAUUAAUUAUAAAGUCCAACUAACCUAAACUCUUUUUAUUAAAAAAAUUUCUUUUUGUUCCAUUGUUAUUUUAUUAUGUACUACAUUUGUCUCAUUUCAUUUGUCACUUUCACAUUUUUUUUCUUAAAAUAAUUAUCAUUUUAAAAUAUCAAUUUAAUUUUUUUUUCAUUAAUAUACCUUUAAUUAUUGAAUUUUAUACAAACUAAUUACUCCCUUGAUUACAAUUAAUAACAAUGUUUUAAUUCUUUCAAAAAAAUGAUACUAGUUUUAACAUUAAAAUCAAUUCAACUAUUUAUUUUUUUUUAAAAAAACGUUCACAACUCCAUAACAACUACUUAAAAUAAGAGAAAAAUGGUUUGAACAUUUUCUCUAACACUAACUUUUUGUGGAAUUAAAUUUAUAUGAGUAUCAUACAUUGAGUGAUUUGUGAAAAUUAAGAAAGGAGUGAGUAAUGUAAAGAAAAUUCUUGGUUAAUAUUAGUCCGGCAAAUAAAUAACAAUAUAUAUAUAGGAGCAUAAUGUUCUGGAGAAUGAUUAUAUAAGACAUUUAUAAUGGUUAAAAAACUCAACAUCCACUUUUUCUUUUUCAAACACUCCACAUCAUUUUCUCUUUCUUCCAGCUAAUAAUUCAACACUCAUUCAACUUAUACAGUUUCCAAUUUUUUUUUUAAAACAUUCAACACUCUACUCUACCACUUUUUAUUUCAUAUUCUUAUUUAAUUUUAUAUUUUGUUUUUAUAAUUACACAAAAUUACAAUUAUCGAUUAUAAUUAAAUUAAAAUAAUAAACACUUAACAAUUUAUCUUUUACUAAAAACAAAAUUUAUUUAAAUAAUUUAUUUUUAUUUUCUUAACUUAAAAUGCAAUACAAUAAACCAAACACGCGACACACAAAUAACUUAAAUGUAAGACAACUUAAAUUGAUAAUUAGAAGAAUUAUGGGUGUUGAAAUUAUUAUUAUUGGGAUCCAUUUUACCAAAAAGAAGAUUAAAACUUCAAAAUAAAAGUAAAUAGAAAGAUAAUAAUAUUAAGAUAGUGGAAAAUUUCACUUCUUAUCCACCAACCUCUUCUUUCUCCGCGUCUGCUGCACGCGCUCUCUCCUCCAACCAGUUUGCAUUGCGUGGCCUGCUUUGUUGGCCAUUUUUCAGCAUUCAACACGUUGAAUGUAUUCAUCAUCAUCUCUCUCUUCCACAUCAUUUAUCAACAAACUUCAACUCCCCAUUGCACAUGUUCUAAGUGUUUAAAUUGCUAUUCAACACAACCAUUGUAUUUUUUUUUGACAAAAAAAAAAUGAUAUUCAUUCAUUCAAAUUGAUGGAGUACAUCGAUACAAUACAAAUCCAAAUUCGCUAAAAACAAAAAGGAUGAAUCUGUGAACAAACUCACAACAUCCAUGUUAAUAGCCUAAAACGGCAAAGUACCUAUGCCUACUAAUAUGGCUAAUAUGACCGUAUUCAAGUCUCCGGAAUACUCAUGUCUCCGGAUCUGCAACGUUGACAACGCCAAAGUCAUUGUCAUUGAUCAGAUCUACACUUGCUCAAGCUAAUCUUUCAACCUGAAUCAAAUAAACACCGCACCACGACGGGAAAUCAAAAAACACACCGCACAAAGCCAGGAAAUCAAAACAAACAGAGUCGUGCGCAGAGACGACGAAAUCACAAAAACAAACGAAAGAAAACAUAAAAUAUGUGAAAUCACUUAUUCAAUUAGGAUAUAAGGAAACACAACUCGGAGAGGUGAUUUUUGAGUCAAAAUUGACCUUAAAUCACCUCACUGAAAAGAAAAGAAGAAAAGGGUUACCGCUAGAGGUUGAGAAGGAGAGAAGAGAGAGAGGAAGAAAGAAAAUUUGAUAACACAACCAUUAUAUUUGGUCUCAGUAGAAUUAGAAAAAUGACAUUUCAUCUAUCUACAAAAAAAAAAUAAAAAUAAAAAUAGAAAAAUGAUAUAAAAUAAAAUAAAAAAACAUAAAUGGCAAAUGGGUCUUUAUCAUGAACCUAGCAAGCAGCAAAAGAGAGUGAGUUGGGAGUGUAAAUCACAGUAAGAGUGAACGGAAACAACAACACACAACACAACAGUCGCAAUUCGCAAAUGAAAGAGGCAAGCAUGGAUCCUGCUGCAAUGUAUAUGCUCCCUCUUGAAUUGAUCAUCCAAAUCCUACUUCGCUUACCAGUUAAGUCUCUUAUUCGUUUCAAAUGUGUUUGUAAGUCUUGGUUAUCUCUCAUCUCCAAUGAUACCCAUUUUGCACUUUCCCAUUUUCAACUCACCUCAUCAACUGCAACACUCACUUGUAGAAUCAUGUUCAUUACACCAAUUCCAUAUCGUCAUCGUCAUUGUCAUUGUUUAUCUAUUGAUUUUGAAGCAUCUCUUAAGGAUGAUUCUUCUUAUGCUUCCUCCAACAUUUAUUUUAUGUACCCCCAUGAUCUUCAAUUUAAAGUUUCUUGUAGAGGCUUUUUACUUCUUCACGGUUCUUUUGACAUCUAUAUAUGGAACCCAUCCACUGGAUUUCAUAAACAAUUACCUUUGUCUCGUUAUGGUUCCUCUUAUCGAAAUUAUUUCUAUGGUUUUGGGUAUGAGGAGUCAACAGAUGAUUACUUGUUGGUGUCAAUUUCUCAUGACCCCAAAUUAGCUAAUACUAAGCAUUUGGAGAUUUUCUCAUUGAGAGAUAAUACAUGGAAAGAAAUUGAGGGUAUUCACUGCCCUUAUACCAAUUCCUCUACUGAUUACCCCAAAAUAAUAGGCUCUCUUUUUAAUGGGGCUAUUCAUUGGUUCUCUUUUCGUCAUGAUCAUUUACAAAUGGAUCUUAUUCUUGCCUUUGAUCUAAUCAAAAGGGAACUUUUUGAGAUUCCUCUCCCAAUUGAUAUUGACUAUGAAGCUACAAAUUGUGAUGUAUGGGUAUUUGGACAAUUUCUCAGUAUAUGGGCUAUGGAUUAUGAUAAUGAUACAGUUGAAAUAUGGGUGAUGAAAGAAUACAAAGUGCAUUCAUCUUGGGGGUGAGUGGAACACAGAUGAGGUGAAUCUCAAUGAUCUGGACAAACUAGUAAGGGAGAUAGGUGUGGAAGGUGACUAUAAGUUGUGGUAUGUUAUACCUGGUGGAAGUUUGGGUGGUGGUUUAAGGUUGCUGAAAACAGAUAGAGACUGUGUGAGGUUCAUUAAUGAGUUUCAGAAUCAGGUAGCUGCUGAUAUUUAUGUUGAGACUCCACUAACUGAAGGAUUGGAUAGUAGGUAUGACGGUGAUGUUGAGGUGGUAGAAGAGGUAAAAGGUAGUGAAGACUCUAGCUCAGAUGGUGAAUACAUAGCUGAAGGUGAAGGUAGUGAAGAAGAAGGUGAAGGGAGUGAAGAGGAAGGUGAAGGUGGUGAAGGUUCUGAAGGUGGUGAAGAGAAACAAUCUGAAGAAGGAAGUGUUGAAGGGUUAUCAGAGUAUGACAGUGAGUAUGAUGAAGACUAGGAGUGGACAUCUGUCUUGCCUGAUCACACUUUGAAUCCGCUCCAUCUUCAAGUGUGUUGCCUGUUGUAGUUGCUGCUGCUCAAUCAUCUAGGAACCCUGCUCCAACUACUCUCUCUGAUUUUGAGGAUGACAAUGCUGAUUCAGAGGAACUAGAGAGUCCAUACUCUUCAUCUGAUGAUGGUGUUGGUAAGAAAAAAUUGAGUAAGUUUGUUUUGAAUGAGAAUGAGCAAGUUAGCUUUCAGGUAGGUCAGAUAUUUGCUAAUGCCGAGUUAAUUAAAGCUGCUGUUAAAGAGUAUGCUUUAGAAAGUAGGAAAAAUGUUUAUGUUAAGAAAAAUGAGAGAAAAAGAGUCAUUGUCAAAUGCAUGCCUAAGUGUCCAUUUCAUAUGAGGUUUAGUAGGGAUGAACCAAAAACUUAUUAUGUGUUAUCUAGGUAUAGGUCUGGUCAUAAGUGCUAUUUCACAAAAAAAGCUAGGUUAUUGAAAACAACUAUUUUGGCUAAGAAACUUGUUCCAAUUCUGAAACACACACCAACUAUGAAACUAAAAUCUUUAGGGGAAGAGUGUCAGACUAGGCGGGGUGCUCAUUUAAGUAAGUUUCAGCUGUAUAAAGCAAAAAACAAAGCCUUGGAAAUGAUUCAUGGUGCUAUAGAUGAGCAAUAUGCUCAUCUUAGGAAUUAUGCUGAGGAAUUGCGUAGGAGUAACCCUGGGAGUACUGUGAAGAUAAAGUGUAAUGCUGGUCUUGAGGGUCCUUUGUUUGAGAGGAUGUAUGUGUGUUUCAAUGCAAGCAAGAGAGCUUUUGUUCAAAGUUGCAGACCAUUGAUAGGUCUAGAUGGGUGUUUCUUGAAGGGUAGGUAUGCAGGACAUAUGUUGUCAGCAAUUGGUAAAGAUGGGAAUAAUCAGAUGAUGCCCAUUGCAUUUGCUGUUGUGGAGGCUGAAACCAAGGAAUCUUGGGAUUGGUUUCUAGAUCUGUUGCUAGCUGAUUUGAAUGGUAUUCAACAUAAAAGAUGGGCCUUUAUGUUAAGAUAUGAAGGUGAUAUUUGUCCUAAGAUUGCAAAAAUUAUGGACAAAAAUAAGAGGGAUGCUGAUGGAUGGUCACCAAAUUGGCAUGGGGACAGAGAUUACUCCUCAUUUUCUGUGGGUAAUGGUAUUGAUAAGUAUGUAGUUAGUCUGAAAGAUAAGUCAUGUGCUUGUAGAAAAUGGGACAUCACUGGCAUACCUUGCCCUCAUUCUAUUGCUUGUAUGAGGUUUAAUAACCAGAAUCCAGAUGAUUUUGUGGCCUGUUGGUACAAGUAAUUAUGUUGUUAACUAUUUUGCUAAUUAUGUGGUACAAGCAACAAACUGUUUACUAACUGAUUUUGCUAAUUAUGUUGUACAUGAAACAAACUUUCUUAGAUUGCAAUAGCAAUCCGAUGUUGCCAUCCAAUGGACCUAAGCUUUGGCCAGAAGUAGUUGGUGAUCCCAUAUUACCACCUAAAAUGAGGAGAGCUCCUGGUAGACCAAAGAAGUUGAGGAGGAAGACAAAUGAUGAACCAAAGAAACCAUCUGGUGCUGGUGGGAUGAAGAAAAGAAACCAAGAAACUGUGAGAUGCAGAAGGUGCAAGGAGUUAGGCCAUAAUCAGAGAACUUGUGGGGGAAAGACUGGUGCAGAUAGGAAGCUUCCUAAGGGAGGUAACAAGGUAUGAUUGAAUCUUGUGAACUAUUUAUGAUGAAUGUUGUGUAUACAUGAUGUGAAAUAAGUUUGAAUGAAUGUUGUGUAUGUUUUAUGUAGACUGGUGCAGAUAAAGGGAAAGGCAAAGCAGUUGCAACUGGUGCAUCAAAGAAAGCUAAGAAGCAUACACAAACUGGAGGUAGUCAAGCCGGUGGGAGUCAUGUUGGUGGUGUACUUCAAGGUGGUGAGAGCAAUGCUGGUGGGAGCAAGACUGUGACACAAAUUGUGACACAAACUGCUGCUAAAUCAGCCUCUGUUACUGGUGGGAAACAUGUAAUUGUUGGUGAGGCUACAAUGUUUGUGCCAAGAAAGAUAUGGACAACAUGAGUCAAGAGGAAGGUGGAUGAAAUUGGAACUCAACAAUCUGUCAACAAGAACAAGUCCUUUUUAAAGUCAUGAGACUUAUGUAAUUUUGGCAUGUAAUUCAUAAGUACUUUUUGCAAUAUUUAUGUUAUUUUGGGAUGUAAUUCUGCCAAGUACUUUCUGCUAAGUUAUACUGCUAAGUUGUUCUGCUAAGUUAUGAGACCUAUGAUUUUUUGGUUUGUAAUGUUAAGUGCACCUUUGGUGUAUAACCUUUUAGCAUGUAAUGAUUACUACUUUUAUGCUGUUAUUUCUAUGUGCUUAUUUAAGAUCGCUUUUAGCAUUUAACUUUUGUUCAAUAAGGUAACACAGUUGCCAUAUUAACACAAACAAACAAACACUUUUGAUUAAUUUAUCACAAAUUACAUCAAACUUUAACAACACAUAGUGUUUCAUAAAAUUACAGAAACUUAAACAACACAUUAAGUUACUAACAUUAAGCUAAAAUGCAUAAAAUUACACCUAAACAACAGAAACUUAAAGACACUUAUAGCAAACUACACCAACACUCAAGACCAACAAAACCACUAAUAUGACUAUCACUUUAUUGUUUUUCUUCAACAACCCACUAAUGAUUUUCUUCUGUCUAUCUGGAACUUCAGGAUCAAACCAACGAAAGAAGUUGCAUUUCCUUCUUAAGAAAAAUCUUCCACAUCCAUGGAAUCUCCUUCAUGGGUUUUCUUCUGUCCAAGCAGUCACCAAAGGAGAUUCCACACCCAUUGAAGCUUGAGGAUGAAAAUUGAGACAUUUUCGAAGUUUCUGGAAAAACAAGGUCCGCUAAUGGAGAUGGAGGGAGGGAUGAAAUAAGAGAAGAUGAAGAUGAAGGUUUGGGUCGGAAUUUCUUGAAAGGAAUUUUCUGGAAAAACAAAGGAGAGGAUGAUGAAAUAAGAGAAGAUGGAGAUGAAGGUUUGGGUCGGAAUCUUCGAGAAUGAAGGUUUGGAAGAGGAAGAUGAAGAUUUUGUUUGGAAAGAGAAGAUGAAGGUUAUUAAAAGGAGGUGAUAUUACCGUUUGGAGCUCGCACGUGCCUCACCUUUUUCUUUGUUAUUUUUGGUUUAUUUUUUUAAUUAAUUAUAUGCGAGGAAUUAAAAAAAUACAAAAUAAAAAUAAAUACACAGGUGGCGUGCCACAUAGGAUUGACUGAGUCAAAAUUGACGUUUUGCAAAAGGGGGUAGACAUGGGGUCACUUUUGCCAUUUUUUUUAAUAGGGGGCCAAAAUUGCAACUUUUGCAAACUUAAGGGGCAAAAAGCGCGUUUUAGCCUAGAAAUAAUUGUCACAUCAAAUAUUGCGAUGUGCUUAAGAGAAAGAAGAUUGAAAUGAAAGCACUAUUUUUGAUACUCGAGCUGAUCGGAUUCAGAGUAUGUAUACAAGCAAUUUUUUCGUACAGCAACAAGUCACUUCCUUGAAUCUCUAUACAUUCUCUAUAUAUAAAGAUUAGGAUAGAAAAUGGGGACAAGCUGUGAAGAAUUUGUUUUUUUGAGAGAAGAGUGAGAGAAAGAGAAAUAAGAUGAAAGAGAGUGUUGUGGGAGAUAGGGUGUGGUUUACGCCAUAGAGAACUCCCUAUAAGAAAGGGAUCAAGGCAACUCACAAUCCUAACGUGGACGGUGCAUGCAAUAGAGUUGAAGGGUAUCUAAUAUCUUUCAACUACAAUAACAUGGGACAGACAGACAUACAUAUACAACUAGAAAAAAAAAUAGUAUCACUUUAUUCAUGAAAUGACCAUUUCAACAUAUGGAAAAUGCAAUGCCAAUUGAAUUCUCAAGAAACAUACGUUACAAACACACUUGAAGGCAUCAAAUUGAUAGCAGAAUCUCAAACGGAAGAAGCUACAAAGAUGAAACCAAGUGAAUUAAAAAGACUGCUACACUUUGAUCAUAACUCAAGAAUUUGUCACCUCCCAACUCUUUUUCAUGUAUGGAGGCAAAUCUGCUUCCAACUCAAGUGAUUCAACUGCUGAAAGGUCAUAACUUGAAUCUGAUACUGAUUGCACAUUUUGCAGUGCUUGAGAUAUAUUGGGCAAGACUAUUUGCUUGCAAUGAAGAUGUAAUCGUGGAUGCUUGUCUGAGAUGCUCCCCUUGUUCAAAUUAAGGCCAAAAGGGAGCGCCUCUUCCUUGAGAUGUUCUUCAGUUGAGUCCUCCAGAUUAGAGAAAUCAAACUGUCCCCACUUCUUAUGAGCUUGCCGUCCAUACUUGUAGUCCCCAACUAUCGGUGUACCUAACACUUCAGCACAGUGGACACGGAGCUGCAGAACCAGCACAAACAAUCAGAAUAGAAAUUAUGGGGAUGCAGCAUAUGCAUUGAUUAAACACUUUAAGUUAGUACCAAGAUCAGCUGGUUUUGAUUUUUCCCUUUUUUCUAUUACCUGGUGUUUUCUACCGGUUAAGGGGGAAAGCUCCAACCAUGUAAAACCUGCAUCAUUACCGGUGACAUGAGUAGGGGUUGGCAACUGAGAAGAUCAGAAGAGACACAUUUUGAAGGAAAACUCAUCAUAACAAAGGGGGGAGAGGGAAGGAUGCAUCACAAAUUUUCAAUAUAUCCUAGGCUCGAACAUUUGCAAUUAGGUCUGCUGUGAUAAAAAUCAUGUAGGACAUCAUCUAUUGGUUUAAUUACUUGUGCCCAGACUAUAUUCUAUUUCCCAAAUAUGAAAUUAAAUUGAAAUCCUGCUUUUUAUGUAGCUAUCAGUUCACUUUUGUGUAUGCUUUUUUGAAUAACAUGUGAUGAUAUGAAAUUAUUAAACUAAAUUAUGUAAUAAAUCAUUUUGUAAAUUCGACUAGUUUGGAAGCAUGCAUUUCAGAAAUUCCACUAGGAGGGAUGUUAAUUAGUGCUUGAGAGGACGAAACUAAAGAUAAGUUUAAAAUGUCAAAGACACUGCAAAAGGGAAAAAAGAACCUGAACCCAGAAUCAUGUUGUGCUAUAAAACACAAGUUCACCCACACUUAAUGGGACAAUCACAAAUGUCAAUCUCUAAAGUUAAGGUGACUUAAAACUCAGAAUUUAACCAACCAUGAGACGAUGAUGAAAUCACUCGGUACUCUGUAACUGCAUGUUGCGAUGACAGUAAUGCAGAAUUGUCAACGAUAGUUAUUCGAUCAGAUUUUCCAUUGUCAACCACCACCUAAAACCAAAUGAACAUUAUUCACAAUAUGAGGACAUCCAACAACAUUGUGACAUAAGUAAGUUCAGAAUAUGGAUACAAACCUUACCGAGUGGAGCAUUAACAACCCCGCCUGAACGUCUAGGACAUCCAAGAACCAAUGCCCAAUACCUUCUUUGUAGGAUUAUCUUUUCAGUGUCAUUCUCCUCAUUUGAAGCCCUUGAAGUUUUUUCACGGAAGAUGGAAUGCAGAAGUGCGGUAGAUGUCUUUGUUCUUCCCAUGACAAGAAUUCCAGAACAGUCUCUGUCUAGUCUAUGGACCAAACGAGGAGGUUGAGAGUAAUCAUAAUUUAAAGAUUGAGCAGCAACAGCAUCUAAACUCAGUUUGAUAUUAAUGCCACCCUGCACUGGCAUUCCAGGAGGUUUGUUUAGAACAAGAAUGUGAGGAUCUUUAUAGAUAACAAGAGAACGAAUGAAGUUUAUUUGUUUAGCAGUGAGAGUGAGGGGAGAUUCAUGUUUGGGGGGUGUAGGAGUAAGAGGAAUUUGUUGUUUAACAGAAUUGGGAAGAAAUAUACGAUCUCCUGAGUUCAAAGUAUCCUUAGGUGUUACCCUUUUGAAUUUGUUAUCAUCUUGUUGUCGUGGGAGCAUUCGAACCUGUUUUAGACGAAAGAGUUUAUGAAUAAGGGUUUUAGGUAAUUCAGGGCAACAUCGAAUAACCCAUUUCAGGGCAGGGGUCGAAGUCGAAGAGGAGGAAGUGUUUACAGUAGUACUCACAGGUGGCAGUGUAAGCCAUUUUCCAUCUUCCGCCACCGCCGAAGAUGACAACUGACGACGACGACUCCAUGAUCUCACGGCGGCUCCGACUCGGACAUACAUGUAUGUUUAGUUAGUGCUCAAUGAAAAAUGAUGGCCGCCGCCCAACAUUAACGAACCAGGUAGAACGACCGUCAAGAUCGGUGGGCCCAAACCAAAUUGUAAACAUAUACUAUAUGCUAAUAACACGCCUUAUUUUCCUCUUCACCCCUAGAUUCUACUAAGUUUAUACUCCAUCCGUCCCUAAUUAUAUGUCUUUUUUUAUAAGACCAUUUUGUCAUUUCCAACUACAUUAAUUAUUUCUUUACAUACAUGCCCCUAUUUAUUAUACAUCUUUUUCUUCAAUCAGCAAUAAGUAGCAUAUGGAAAACAUAAACUAACUCUCUCUCUUAAGGAUAAAAUUGUAAAAACAAUAGUGAUUACAAACAAAUUUAAUACAAAUAUCCGCUUUCUUAAUUCCCGUGAUUUUAGCAAAAGGGUCUUAUAAUUAGGGACGGAGGGAGUAUAUACUAUAAGGUUAAUUAACUAAGGCUUAAAUAUUUAUUUCAUCUUGAAAUUAGGGGUCGUUUAAAAAUUAGUCAUUGUAAUCGUUAAUUCUGGAAAUUUAACCUUGCAUUGUUUAAUCAUUUAAAAUUUCGUCCCUCCCCCCACUUAAUCACUACCAUGUCACUAAUUUGAUGACGUGGCAAUCACUACCAUACAUGAAAUUCCAAUUUUACCCCUGGGUUUCCAAUUCUUUCUUCAAUAUUUUGUCCUCUUCUUAAGGGCAAACUUGAAAUUUCAUGUGUGGUAGUGAUUGCCACGUCAUCGAAUUAGUGACGUGACAAUGAUUAAGUUGGUCAAAGGACGAAAUUUUAAAUGAUUAAUGAUUGCAAGGCUAGUUUGCAAAGAUUAGCAAAUACAGGGACCAAUUUUUAAACGACCUCUAAUUGCAAGGAUGAAAUACAUAUUUAAGCCAUUAACUUAACUGUUCUAAUAAACAUCCAGAAUUUUGUUUUUAAAACCUUAAAAAAAAAUCAAAAGUUUUACUCCUUUAAAAUUUUCCCUAUGUUAAGUCAAUACUUUAUAUAAACUUUAAAUCGUUUACACCGUUGAACCUAAUUUUAUUUUCCAUUAAUUUUUCUUCUGGUUGAAUGAUAUACAUGUUUCAAUGUUCAAUUAAGUGUUGGUGGAAAUUUUAUUUUAAAAUUCUAGGUACAUGAUGAAUCAGGUAAAAAAUCAUUUCUUCUUAAGGUAGAAGUAUCACUAUAAUUAUCAACGACAUAAAUCCUAAAAUCAAACCAUAGAACUUACGAUGUUUGAUAUAUACCUACUCAAUUGCUUCCAAGUUUCAUCAACCCCUGAAAUUUUGAAUAAGGAAACCAUUUUUUGACUUUCAACAGUUAAACCAUUGAUAAGUCAACGAGUAAGAAAAAAGUAUGAAACAUAACAGUUUACUCACAAUUUUAAUUACUGAUAGUGGAUCUUAAAUGCAAUCGGAGUUGAUGGAAGCAUGACUCAUAACGGUGUGAUACCUACAAACAAUUUAACGUUCAAGUCGAUUGAGGUAAGUGAGAGGUUUAACAUAACGAAACGUGUACAUUUCUCAUAAUGAAGAUGUUUAUAGCAUGGGAUUUAAAGGAAAUGAGUGAAAAUUUGUAGGUUGUCUUUGAAAUCAAUUAAAACCAAUCACAUGUACAUAGUUAGUGGAAACGCGUGGUAGAAGUCUUCAUUUAAGUCAGCCACUGAGUGAUGAUCGUCCGAUCCGGCCCGUUUACGUGUCUUAGGCUAUCAUCCAACUCAGGAUGUUAAUUACCGUUGAUAGAGAUUAUGACGUAGACUUCUACUUUGGAGUAGUCUUUGAAUGUGUGACAUACUGAGAAGUUUUCCGGUAAGCGUGCGAGUGAGGACAAAACACGCUGAAAAGACUCGUGUUGGUUUCUACCAAAACAAAAAUAAUGUUAAAUAUAUGUUAUAAAUUGCAUAUAGUAAUAAAUAACUAAAGUUCGAAGUCCACAAAAUAUAUAUACAUAAAUGACUCAAAGCCUAGAUGCAAAUAUUUUUUAGUAGUCAGUAAUAAUGCUAAACAACCUAUACAAAAUACUUAAAAGGCAAAUCCUAAAUGCCUGACAAAAUACUUAAAAGGCAAAUCCUAAAUGCCUGACAAAAUACUUGAUCACGAUUUCACAAGUGAGUAAGGCUAAUUAAGUUUCAAGGCAAAGACCAGAUGCCUAACAAAAUAUUUAAUGGCAAAGGUUAUAUGUAAUCAUAAAUCACGAAUAAAUCGUCAAUUAUAUGGAUUAUCUUCCAUCAUAUCAACACUUUCAUCUUCAUCAUUUCCUCCAUCAUCAUCAUCAUCAUCACACCACUUGCACCAUUUCCAUUGUCUGUCUUCUAUAUCUUCAGACACAUCAAACUCAUCCACAUUUGUUGCAGAUGCAGAACUAGUACCACUAGUAUUUCUGGUACCAAUCAGCUCAACAUCUAGAUCAAGUGGUGAAAAAAAGAACAAUCCCUUGUAACUAUUGUAGUCUCGGAGCACUUUUGUCUAUAAAAACGCAAUCAUUGUUGUGAAAUAUUAGUCAAAUCGUCAUCUUGCUUAAUUUCAAGUUCGCUAACACAGUCUUUAAUUUCCAAAUAGUUUCUUUUUAUCGCUCCCUGAUAAUAUGAGUAAAUCAUUAUUCGAGGGAUGUAAUGUUGUCAAUGAUAUUCAAUUCUAUCAUUUCAAAUUUCUAAGUGGACAAAUUCAGUAGCAAGUUUUAGUAUUCAUUAGAACUUUCAAUAAUAUAAGGCAAAUAGUUGAGAUUUUUCUUGUGUGUGUUAAGGUGCGUGGGUGACUUUACACCAAAUUUAUAACCAGCAUAUCAUACUUUUUUUGACCGAACCAACAUAUCAUACUUAUAUUAUAACUGCACAAAUAAGGUAUUACCCUGACUUAAGAGAGAUACAUAUGAUAUACAUCUAACCUGACCAUAAAUAGAAGAAUAUUGUUGCAAGGAAGUUAUAUAUGAUGGCAUGAUGCCAAAUAUUUUGAGUGGAUAUGACAUUUCAUUCAUUAUGCGCGCGCAUCCACUUUAUGAGUUCGAGAGACAAGAAUUAAUGUAGCAAAGGCCUAGUUAGUGUAACGCCUCCGCUUGGUGGGCAUAUAACACCCGAGGCUGAUGAGGACGGGAAGUGGUCCGGUUCUAGGCAAAACUGAAUCACAUCGGAAUGAGAGGGAUCCUGAGGCCGUACAUGUAUGGGACUGCAUGGUUGAAGGAAGGCUUAUAAGAAUUGUUUGGUACUACCUAUAUCAACAAGAUGUAUCUUCUUUUCGGUAGCUCAUUCCAUAAGAACUCCACAGUUAAGCAUGCUUGACUUGGAGCAAUUUUGGGAUGGGUGACCUACCGGAAAGUUUCCCGGUAAACGUGCGAGUGAGGACAAAACACGCUGAAAAGACUCGUGUUGGUUUGUGGGAUCAGUCCGCAAUCCUGAAAGUAGUCUGGGAUGUUACAGUUAGCAGGGUCAUUCAGAAGUGCAUAUAUAUAGUAUGCUAAAAAUGCAAAUAGAAGACUUUGUCCUGCGCAACUUGAUUAUGGUUUUGAAUUUGAACGGAAAGACAUGGUGAAGGUGCAUGCAUAUAUAUGACUUAGAAGUUCCACAUUAAAUAAAAGAGGAGUGUUAUUUGAACAAUCAUUUGGUUGACAAUUUUUGGGACUUAGAAGUUCCACAUUAAAUAAAAGAGGAGUGUUAUUUGAACAAUCAUUUGGUUGACAACUUUUGGGACAAUCAUAAUUUAUAAAGAAAAAGUUGAUAUUUGCACGAAAACCAAAGCAAUAGAGAGAUAAAGUAAAAAGUAAUGUGAGUAUGAGAGAGAAAGUUGUCACAAAAGUUAUCAUAAAAUGGAUGUUCAAAUAUCAUUUCUCUAAAUAAAAAAAAGUGAAGGUUGGGCCAAGACAUCUAAAACCCUUGGUUUAGACCUCUGAACAAAUAUUUUUAUUAGAUUUUAUAAAUAAAAAAACAUCAAAAGUAAAAAAAACAUGCAUAUUAAAAUUUGUUUUAGGAUUCAUUUAUUGAAAAUUAUUGGGGUGACCUUUUGAUAUUUUGAUAUAGUGGGGUAAAAAGGUAAAUGUCAGGGUUCAUGUCACCAGAAAAAAGUAUACAGUGUUUAUACGGUUGAAAAGGCAAUAGUAGUAAGCUGAAUGAGAGAAGAGAAGACAAACUGUGGUUCAUGCAUUUGAACAAAUUUUACACAUAUAGCUAUUUGUAAAAUAAAACGCAAAUUGUUAGAGAUUGCUUGAAAUUUGUAAAUUCACUCUAGCUAGCUACCACAUGAGUUAAGUUGAUUGUGUCCAGGUUCAGAGCCACUUGGCAAAAUAGAGACAUAUAGGAAAUAACAUUUUUGUUAUUUUGAUAAACAUUACCAUAAUUAGAUAUUUAACAUCAGAUCAACUUUUUGUGGUCUUAGGUAAUUAAGUCAAGUAUGAUGGUAAAUUUAACUAACCUUGUUAUGCAAUCUCAUGACACGUUGAUCUAAUCUAGCUACAUGCACACAUUAUAUAUACCAAUAUAUCAUGGAUUAGCUAGUUCCUGCAAAUUAAAGUAGAAGAUUGAUCAUAGAAGCAACCUAUGUUGACUAGAUUUCCCUGUAUUGUUUCUAAAAAGUGACAAAUAAUUUGCAUUAAUUGCUUAACGAGUUAAUUAAUUUCCCUUUGUUUGAUAGCGUAGACUUUAGCAAAUUAGGAGGUGGUGUCUCAAAACAAUUAAACUCCUUAUGAGCAACACUAUAAAUAGCAAUGCAUGUAUAGCAUGCUCUUCUAUAUAGCAAAAUCACAUACAAGUUAUUAAUAAUGGUUGGAAAAUCAGUCAAAUUAUAUUACUUUGUUAUUAUUGUUAUUAUUUUGUUUGAGUUGAGCUUCCAAUUCCAACAUGGGAUGGCUCGGCCACUAAAACAGCAUAAUGAUGAAGAUGAUCAGCAUAAUAUUAAUACUAAUAGUGUUGUAAUAAUAAGCAGUAGUUCAGCACAUAAUAAGAAAGUACUUGAGGAGAUUAACAACUCUGGUCCUAGCCCUGGAGAAGGCCAUAAGCAACAACUACCAGAUGGCUAUCAUCAUUAAUAUUCCAUCCAUCAUUUUAAUCAAGAAAAAACAUGUUCUCUCUAUUUCAUAUGAAUUUAAAUAUUAUAGUGGCUACUUGGUUGUCUGCAUUCUUGUAUAUAUGUAUGUUGUGUGUGUUCUUCAGGGAAUUAAUAUAUCUUGGCUUUAUUGUUUCCAAUGGUCAUUCUUAUAUCCUAAUCUUCUAGUUCUUCCUCAAUGUAAUAUUCGAACAAGCAAUAUAUAAAGUCAUAUAUAUCUACGAUCUUGUUUUUUUUUCCUUCAAUUUUUACAUAUAUUAAUUAUCAUGUUGGCAUACUAUAUAUAUGCUUACUUUUUCUUUUAAGUGUUUUGGCAAAGUGCCUUAAGAAAAAGAUUUGUCUAUCAUGUGUAAUAAUUGCACAUGUUAAAAGAACUAAAAGAUAUUUUAUUAUAGAAAAAGUGGGGUAAGAGUCUAAGAGAUUCAUAUAUUAGUUAUGUGCAAAAUAUAAAUAUGAACUAUUGCGUGAGUUUACAUGUCCCAGUCUUCCUUCAAAAAAAAAAAGAAAAACUACGGCCUAGUCAAUUUAUCUUUAAUGCCCUCUUUUUCUUUUUGAAAACAGAGGCUCAAAGCUUUUCAUCAAUAUGUAUUUUUGAAAUAAUUUUUAUAUGUAUUUGAUGAGUGUGUCUAAAUGAUAUUGUGACUAUAUAUAAGUAUUUCUCUUAAUUAUAUUAGAGGGUAUAAUUAGCAAAAGAAUAACUAAUAUCACAUUAAUAACUGAAAAAUCAUGAACAUAAAAUUUUAAUUUUUUUAACAAGAUAUGAAUCAAAUAUGAAUUUUUAAGAACCAAAAACAAAAAAAAAUUAUACUUAAUUCAUUUUUUUUUUUUUUUAUAGUUUGUCAUAAUAUUCUACCAAUUUUUGGAAAAUUUUAUUAAAAAAUAUUAUGGCUAGAGCUGGGUUGGCUAAAAAGUAAAGAGCAAAAGUGAUGAUGAAUUUUUGGAAUUUUUUCACCGUCCGGCGACCCCGGGCAUUUGCCCGGGUUCAAUCGGUACUUUCUUUAUAUAUGACACAACCAAUAGCCCAUUAACCCACUUAAAACAAAAGAAAUUUUUUAGCAAAAUCUAAAAAUUCUCACACGCAAAGAGGUUUCGGAAAAGAUAUUUACCUUCUAAUUUUAUUUAACACACUAUUGAUAGGUUCAUCUCUCUUAUUUUAAAGGGUUAAUUGUUUAAAUUGACCAUGUAAUAUACACUAUGUCUGAAAAAUGACCCUGUAAAAUACAAAACAUAUGUUGUCAAAAAAAAAAAAAUACAAAACAUAUAUUUUUUCACGAUUUUUUCCAUACAUGUUUAGCACGUUAAAAUAUAGUUUUACACUAAAAAUAAAAUUUUUUUGACCAGGGAAAAAUUAAUUAUGAAUUUUUAUUCCCCCAUAAUUAUGAAUUUCUUAAACAAUUUAUAAUUAAUUUGUAUCUCAUUUAAAAACUACAAAAUUUCAUUGUUAAGGUUCUUAUCAUGUUCUCGUCAUGCCUAUAAAAUUAGGGAACUAAAUUUGACCUAUGAGUAUACGUUUACUCGGAACAAAAUUUCAAUUUACAGAUGUCUCUGCAAAUAAUGAGCUCAAAAUUCGAUUUAUAGGUCGAGAUUUCCGUUGUUUUGUUUUUUGAUUUUUUGACACUUUAAAAAUUCAUAAUUAAUUUGUUGUUUGUCGAAAAUUUAUAAUUUUUUUUUUGUGUAAAGCCAUAUUUUAAUGUUCUUAACACGCCUCUAAGAAAUCAUGAAAAAAUUCAAUCUCUUGGUUGCUUUUUUAGACUUCGCGUAUAUUACAGGGUCAAAAUAUGUGUUAUUUAAUUACAGGGUUAAUUUUCAGACUUUACGUAUAUUACAAGGUCAAUUUCAAUAAGUAACCCUAUAAUGAUGAACUUCUUUUAUUUUGAUUUAUGAUUGUUUAUAUAUUAUGUUACAUGUGAAUUUGCGAUAAAUUUUUUACCCAAAUUCUAUAAAAUUCCUAACUCCGCCAUUGUGUUGAAACACAGACUAUUUUUAUGAGAGUGCAUAUCCUUUAAAUUAAUCCAUUCACAAAUGGUUAUUUAAAAAUAAAAUGGAAUUCUCUCUCUCUUUCCCCCCUUCCCCAUUCCUCUUUAUUUUGCUAAGGCUGAAAUUCCAUUUUGUUUUUGUUUGUAUGCUAUAGUACAUUGCUCAAAUCACUAGUUUUAGCGCAAGUUGUUGAUGCACAUAGUAUGUUUCUCCUCAAAAAAUUGUUUUAAGUGUAUAGGUUAUACUAGAGCAUAUAUAUACAUCUUGUUUGAUUGUUCUUUUUUCAUAAGGGGGAAUAUUAUAAAGUGAAAUACGUAAUUUAAGUCAUGUUAGAAAGUCAGGGUUUUAUUUGAAUUUAAAAUUACUCUUAUUGUUGUGCAUGAAAUAUAUGUUAAAUAAUAUUUUUUGUUGUGCAAUAUAUAUAUAUAUAUUUUAUGAACUGACCAAAGGCUCAAGCUCAGCACACAUAUAAUCCUCUUGUUCCCCCUCAAAGACUAGAAUUUGGAUUCGCAUCAUUACUCAAAAGGCUCUGUGCAACACCUAUAAGAGACACUCUUUACUCUCUUUUACUGAUCCAUUAGAGCUUCGUAACCCUGACCCAACUCCCAUCUAACAUCUUGAUCAUGUUUGCAAGUACUUGUGAAAUGAAUAUUGAAAACUAUAUAUAUGCUAUAUUAUUUGUAUUUUUGUGGUAUUCCCCGUAUGCUCAAUUAUCUGCUAAAGAUGGCAAACCUUGUACUAAAAACUGCAAUCAACAUUCAUCAGUUUAAUUAUACCUCAAAUUGGGGUGAGGUAGGUACAUAUACCUACAAGUCCAAAUGCGUAUAUAUAAGGAUAUAGUGACUUUCUAGUGCACCAAUUGAUCCAGAUUGCAACCUAACAUUCUUUAUUAUAGUACAUACAUGCCACUCAGAUUAUUAUAUAUAUAUCAUCUGAUCAUUCAAGGAAAUUAAUUAACAAAUUAAGAGAGAUGAAUGAGAUUAAAGGGAAAAUGGGGUGUGAUAAUGAUAUUGUAGAGCAUGUGUUCCUUGUAUCGUUCCCGGCGCAAGGACACGUGAACCCUCUAUUGAGGCUGGGGAAGCUGUUGGCCUCAAAAGGUUUGGCAGUGACUUUUUGCACACUAGAAAGCUGGGGCAAAGAGAUGAGAAAAGCUAGAGAUUUAGAAGAAGAGAAGGAAGUUGUGAUAGGAAAAGGAUUUAUUAGAUUUGAAUGGUUUGAAGAUGGUUGGGAUGAGGAUGAACCAAAACGGCUUGACUUGGAUGUGUAUUUGCCACAACUAGAGAUGGUUGGGAAACAAGUCCUCCCUACCAUAAUCUCCCAACAAAAUCCACCUGUCUCAUGUUUGAUUAACAAUCCUUUCAUUCCAUGGGUUUCUGAUGUUGCUCAAUCCCUUUCCCUCCCUUCUGCUUUGCUUUGGAUUCAAUCAUGUGCUUCCUUCUCUACUUACUAUCAUUACUAUCAUAAAUUAGUUUCUUUCCCUUCUCAAUCCCAUCCCCAUAUUCAUGUUCAGCUGCCAUGUAUGCCUCUGUUGAAUUAUGAUCAAGUCCCUAGCUUCUUGUAUCCCACCACUCCCUAUCCA
Molecule: long non-coding RNA, 116934 nt
Filed under: Medicago truncatula (barrel medic)
Lineage: Eukaryota; Viridiplantae; Streptophyta; Magnoliopsida; Fabales; Fabaceae
Description: long non-coding RNA (MTRU_LNC002688)
Source: RNAcentral